RNAcentral lists this long non-coding RNA (91965 nucleotides) under Salvia miltiorrhiza (redroot sage). RNAcentral describes it as "long non-coding RNA (SMIL_LNC006565)". The record is from RNAcentral. Lineage: Eukaryota; Viridiplantae; Streptophyta; Magnoliopsida; Lamiales; Lamiaceae.
UUUUUUUUUUUUUUGUUAUGUGAUUACAUGAUUAAUUAGUAAUUAUGGAAAUGAUCAAAUUUCAAAAUUUAUUAUAUAGAUUUUUUUUAUUUGUAUUGUAAUUCCUGUAGGUGAUGGAAGUUGUGGUUACAAAAGUACUCAAUUUGAUUUUUUACCGUUAAAACUUAAUUUAUUUUGUCAAAUAUUAGGCUAUUGGCGAUCCAAAAUUUUCAAGAGGUAACACUUAAUUUAUUUGCAUAAUAUUUGGAUAAGGGGGUAUAUUCUGAAAUAUUCCUUGUUGUUGUAUGAUAAGCAGAUUGAUUAUUAAAGAUUGAGUUGAUAUUGUGAGCUAAUUUAAUGUUUAAGUUGUCGUAUAAUAGUGCAAAUUGUUGCAGAUGUCCUUAGAUUUCAAUUCAAGCUUCAAUAGUUUUAUCAAAGGUAAUAUAUUUGAUAUGUUUGUAAUACAUACAUUCGUUGUUUAUGAAUUUAUAUAUAUAUUUUUAAUUGUAUUUAUUGUAAACAUUAUCUAUCGCUCUUUCUUAGUAAUAAGUUCUUCAAGCACACAAAUAUCAAUCCCAAAAUGACGUUUCAUUUCCCAUUUUCACAACAUCAACAGUAUUCAUAAACAAUGCAAUCUGAUUAGCAUCGACAACGCUAAAAUAUGAACUAAAUUUUGUUAGAAACAAGGAAUCCAUGCCGCUCUUUUGGAAAAACUAAGCUAAAAGACUAUCCCCAUAUUUGGACAUGUUAGCCGCCUAAGAUGUUGAUGUUCAUCAAACUGCCAAAUCAACAAAUAGUUUAACAAUGCACAACUACUUACAAACAUGAUGCAAUUCUGUCUUUUCUUCCUCAUAAAAGACAUUAGCACCAGCAAACUAACUAGAUUAUGCAACACAACAAUGAUAAGCGGAGAUAGCAAUUCUCAAGCUAAAGUAUAUAAACACUUGUAUCUUAGAUACUCUAACUACAUUGCACUAUCUCGGAAUCCAAGCAUAAUGGCGAAUUCAACAGUUUUUUACAUGUUGCUACUUGCGGCCCUCGUGCUCAACUGCCACUGUGAUGAGCGGAAGGUAUAUAUGUUAAAUUACCUACUUGUUGCUUCUUUCUCAUCUCUGCUGCCUACUUUAAUCUUGAUUUCCCUUAAACGCAUGCAUUGCGUAGCUACACGUCGUGUACAUGGGGGAUCGGCCUCAAGACGAUGCAUCCGUUGCAUCCACGCAUCAUACCAUGCUGCAGAGUGUGCUAGGAAGGUUGGUCAUUAAUUCUUCUUGAGUAGCAUUUACCUUUGGAGCAUUACAUAUAUAUAGAUAUGAAUGAUUAACAAUCUUUUGGUUCUUGUGAUUUCUUUGCAGUGCUUCAUUAGCAAAGGAUUCACUUGUCCACAGUUAUGGAAGAAGUUUCAAUGGAUUUGCAGCCAAGCUUAGUGAGGAAGAAGCUACAACCAUUGCAGGUAAGACGACAUCAGAGCAACACGUUUUCUUGAAAAAGAAUGAAGUGGAGUGUACUUACUUACAUGUGUAUAUCUGGUGCCAGAGAUGGAGGGAGUGGUCUCUAUAUUCCAAAAUCGCAAGCUAAACCUUCACACGACGCGAUCAUGGGACUUCAUGGGAUUCAGCAAAGGCGAACUUGGACCUGGCCAGGAAGGAAAUAUCAUCAUUGGAUUCAUAGACACCGGUGAAUGAUAAAUGUAUAGAGUUAGUUAGCUAUACUAAAAUCAUUGCGUUCUCUGAUGCCUUACAUUUGCUUUAUCUCUGUAGGAGCCUGGCCGGAGCAUCCUAGCUUCAACGACACAGGGUAUGGCCCUCCACCAGCUAAGUGGAAGGGAACGUGCCAAACAAAAAAUUUCACCUGCAACAAGUGUGCAUCCUCCAUACCUUUCUUUUGAUAAAAAAAAUAGUCCUCUGCAUGUAUAUUACUCCCUCCGUCCACGAAAUGAGUACCCAUUUGUGGACGGCACGAGUUUUAAGAAAUGUAUGGAGUGUAGUGUGAAUAGUUUAAGGGUCCCACUUUUUGAGUGUAUUAAUUAAAGAGAUGUGUGGGGUACACUUGCCAAAAAGGAAAAUGGGUACUCAUUUCGUGGACGGACGAAAAAGGAAAUAUGGGUACUCAUUUCGUGGACGGAGGGAGUACUAAUUAUGUGAAAAAUCUUGUUUUAUUUCAUCACAGCAAGCUCAUUGGCGCGCGCUACUACAACAGUGAAGAUAACUAUGAAGAUGGUGACAUCCCAUCCCCAAGAGACACUCUAGGGCACGGCACCCACACGGCCUCAACAGCUGCUGGUAAUGAGCUAGCUGGAACGAGCUUUCUCGGAUUAGCAGAGGGCCUAGCAAGGGGAGGAGUUCCAAAUGCAAGAAUAGCAGUGUACAAAGUCUGCUGGGUGAGCGAUUGUGGCGAUGCAGACAUCCUGAAAGCCUUUGACGAUGCAAUUGCAGAUGGAGUUGAUGUACUAUCAGUUUCCUUGGGCUAUACUGGGAUUUCUGAUUACUUUGAAGACUCCAUAGCAAUCGGAACUUUCCACGCCAUGAGAAAUGGGAUCUUGACCUCGUGUUCAGCUGGAAACGCAGGCCCUGAUCCCGUUUCACUCUCCAACUACGCACCUUGGAUACUCACUGUUGCUGCAAGCACCAUUGAUAGAAAAUUUGUUUCUAACUUAGUACUUGGCAAUGGAGAAACCUUGACAGUAUGUCAACUAUUCUCACUACUUGAGAUUAUAAUCUUUCACGUUACCUUGUGUUUUACUAAUGAAUUUGUGUCUGAAAUGAAGGGAAUCGCGGUUAAUAGCUUUGAUCUCAAUGGAACAUCCUAUCCUUUGAUGUGGGGAGGAGAUGCUGUGAACUAUACCUUUGGUUAUAGUCCAGCUUAUGCUUCAACAUGUGAUGAAGAAGCGAUGAAUCAUGCCAUGAUACCGGGGAAGAUAGUGAUGUGUGAAGGUUACCGGCAGGAUGGCUCCACCAUUCUUCUGUCCAACGGCAUUGGAAGUGUUAUAGUGGGCCAGGAUGAGAUCAAUCCUGACUACGCCUUCACCUAUCCGUUACCAGCAACACUAAUAAGCCCAGACGACGCCAAAAAGGUUAUGGCCUACAUAAGAUCCACUAAGUAAGACAAAACUUAGCUUCAUCUCAAGGCUCGUCCAUACUACUCUUAGCUUGCAUCUUUAAGUUUUUAACUAUUUUCAGAAACCCCGUGGCGACCAUCAUGGUUGGGGAGACCUGGAAAGAUGUUGUUGCUCCAAGGGUGGUUUCGUUUUCUUCAAGAGGACCUAGCCCUAUUAGCCCAGAUAUUUUGAAGGUGAAACAUCCAUCAUCUAUUUCAAAACUUCUUCAUCUGCAUAUACAUUUUCUGUCUAACUAUACUUACUAGAAUUACCAUGUCACAAUAUAUCUAGCCUGAUGUUACUGGCCCCGGUGUGAACAUCCUCGCCGGGUGGUCCCCACUUGCUUCACCUUCAAUGUACGACGGAGACACCAGAAGCGUCUACUUCAAACUAGUCUCGGGUACGUCCAUGGCAUGCCCCCACGCAAGUGCCACUGCAGCCUAUGUUAAAGCAGCACACCCUGAUUGGUCUCCUGCUGCCAUCAAGUCUGCAAUCAUGACAACAGGUAAGUUAGCACACAGAUUUAUAAUGAGUACUCCCCCCGUACUUAAAUAAGUGUCCCUUGCUGUCGAAAAACUCAUAUCAAGAAAGUGGGUAAUUUUACUCUUUGUGCGCCUAAAGAAAAUUGAAAUAGUAAAGAAUUUGUAAUGAUUAUAAGUUGGUAAAAUAUCGAAGUGGGAAGUUUUGCAUCAUUUUACCAUGGAAUUCUGAAGUGGAAUACUUAUUCGGGGACACAUUUCAUUUUUAAAUAGGAUACUUAUUGGGGGACUGAGGGAUUAGAUAAUGGUACAAUGAUUUCUGGUUUCUAAUAUUGUUUCUUGAUGAUAAAAACCAGCAUACGUUAUGGAUCCAAGACUCGAGACUAGCCUUGAAUUUGCCUACGGCUCGGGACAUAUAAACCCUAACGCGACAUUGGAUCCGGGGCUAGUCUUCAACGCAUCCGAAGCAGAUUACAUCAACUUCCUCUGCAAGCAGGGCUACAACACUACCACACUAAGACUAGUCACAGGAGACAACAGCACCUGCACCAGCACGACCCCUGGAAGAGCGUGGGAUCUUAACUACCCGUCGUUCUCACUCUACGUGGAAGACGGGCAACAGAUCAUGGGGACCUUCACUAGAACAGUCACGAACGUGGGUGCAACAAACUCAACCUACACUGCCAGCAUGUACAUGCCGCCGUGAUCAAUGUCAAAGUGGAGCCCUCAGUCCUCACAUUUUCGUCUACCGAAGAGACACAGACGUUCACGGUGACUGUCACCGGACCUGCCAUUACGCAGCAACCAAUCAUGUCGGGCGCCAUCAUGUGGAGUGAUGGAAUUCAUUCGGUCAGGACGCCUCUCGUGGUGUACAACUACUACCCUGGGGCUCCUUACACUACAGAUUUCGAGAAUUCUAUCACCAUGGAGGAAAAGAGAGAUAAGUUGAAGGGUUCUUUCAAGCAUCAUAGGAAUGGAAUGUUCUGAUUUAAGCCUCUCGUUUCAACUUUUCUCUAUACUGAUACAAAGAGAAAAAAAUAAAAAUUUCAAAAUAAGAUGGUUAAGUUCAUUCUUAAACAACAAAAAAGAAUUGAUAAAAUCAUGUAAUAACAUAAUUUAUUGCUCAGAAAACACAUAUAACUAUAUAAGCACUUUUAUGCCACGUGUCCAGGAAUUUUCAAUUUGAAUUCACGCAAGGAAAUUUUAUAUCUCUUCAAAUCUACAUAUAAUACUGGAAAUUAGCCCCCUCAAAGAAAAAAUAUACUGGAAAUUAGCACGUGGAGACGGUCAGAAUUUCAGCAAAAAUAGCAAGAUCAAAUUUUGGGCAAAGUAAUACAUACCCCUAGCAAUUUAGGCGUGAUUCUUUUCUGGUAUUAACACUAUAUGAAAGAUCUGCAGAUAGUUGAACCGAAGAUAUAUGAUGUUUUUUUUUUCCUGCAACAGUUAACUGUGAUAACUUGAAUCCAACUUGUUACGACAUUCUUGAUCACUUUAAAGGAAAGAACAAUCAAACCCUUAAGCAUAUGAAUGUAUUUCGAGUUAAGUUGAGCAAUAAGAUUACUGAAAUAAAAUCAUCAUUACGCAUACCUUUAUCCUUAAUUUAGUACUGCUGGACAAUUUUGAUCUUUCCACUUUGGUUUCAGACAAAAAAUGGUGUGCAUCUGAAUGGUGCAUCCGCCAGAACUAACUCAAAUUGUGGAUCAUUAAUCUCCAAUUAAGAAUUAAUAAACUUAAUUAGAAAUUACUAUUAUAUAACCCGUCGAAAUUCGACGAAUUUUAAAUUAUGAUUUAAAUUAUUUAUAUUAUUUUUGAAUAAUAUAAUUAUCUUUUAAUUAAUUUAACUUGAUGUAAUAGAGUUUAUGUUACCAAAAUGUUUUUGUUUCUUUGUGUCAUUUAUUGGUUGCUCAUUCUACUACGCUUCGGAUUCUCAUCCAUGGAAUGGCUUCUGCUAGGGUGACCCAAGAGAGACACAAGCAGGGACGGAGCCAGGAAUUAAGUUCGGGGGGGGGGGGGCGGAAUGAACGGGGUUCGGGGGCGGAGCCCCGAGAUUUUUUGGGCAUUUUGUAUAUUUAAGGUAUUUUUUUUAUUAAAAUACGAGCAUAAUACUAAUAAUAACGAACAAUAUUUUCAUAGAUUAUAUAGUUUCAAUAUAUCACAAAACUUUUUUUGGACAUUCCAUAUAAUUAAGACAUUUUUUAUUAAAAGGCAAACAUAAUAAUAAUAAUAACAAACAACAUGUUCAUAGAUUAUAUAUUUUCUAUAUAUUACAAAUUAGUUUCAAUACAUUAUAAUUUUUUUUAGCAUUUCAUACAUAUUAGGCAUUUUUUUAUUUAAAAGACAAUAUAAUAGUAAUAAUAACAAAAAUAUUUCAUAGAUUAUAUAGUUUUAAAUAACAGAAUUAUCCUUAAAUUAAGUAUAUAUGAGAGAAUAUAAUAACCAAAUACUCUUUUACAAAACAAAAUUAUUUUAUAAUAGGUAUAAACAUAUUUAUAUAUAUAUAUAUAUUUAAAUAAAAAAACUCAGAAUUUGGGAGAGGGCUCUAGCCCCCCCUGCCUCCAUCCCUAGACACAAGUAUUCAGAAAAAGAAGAGAAAAAAACAGGGAUGCGUCAGAUUGACUUAUCGCUGCAUUCGAUGAUGUGAGAGAUUGGGGGCCUUUCUUUGUGAUGAGGAGUAAUAUGUGCAGAGCAGAGAAGUGGUAUAAGUCAGAGAAGCGGGCUUCAUCAGAGAAACGGGCUUCCGCAGAGAAGUCAGAGGGAUGGGCCUUGACAGAGGAACGGUCUGCACCAGAGGAGCCAUCCUCGCCAGAUAAAUGGUCUUCGCCAGAGGAAUCACUAAAAGAGCGGGAAAAUCUCCCGCUUGAGGGCAAAUUUACUAUUAUGCCCCCGACCACGCAAGACGCAUGCUCUAGCAAUGAAAUUACCUUUUACCCUUAACGUGUAAUCUAUAAAUAGUCAUGAGCACGUACCUUGUAAACUUACGCUUACUUCACUUGCAAUACUACGGCAGCCAGAUUCUCGUGCUCUCAACUUCGUGUUUCUCUCUAGCUUUUCCAAACAACACUAGGUAUAAUUCGCAAUCCGAUAACAAUUCACCGAUCAAAUCUAUACUCACUCGGUUAUACAUCACCACUUUGCCAUCAAAAUUUGACAUCCCUCUCUAGCUGAGGCAAGAAGUAGUUCUCAACUAUUUUCACUUACCCCAAGAUGUUCUCUCUCCAUCAGAAUAACACUGUCUACAUCGGAUAUGCCAAGCUUUUCCACUACUGAUUUCAAGCUAAAUUUGAGAAAAUCAGCUGCAGUAUCUUCAAGCAUGUGGUUGGCAAGGCUUGAGACACGAAAAUUUCAAAGCUCUUAAACUGGUCCUCUCUCGAAGAACAUUCAAUGUCUUUAUGGAAAAUAAGUAUCUGCAUAUAUUCCAAAAUGAUCAAUUAGUAAACAUGUAUGCAUCACUAGUAAUAUUGAAGGAAGUAAUGAUUAUACUUACUUUAUCAGAAGCCACUUGUGUAAUAAGCCUUGCCCAGUCAUCUUCUGUGUGCACAGAACACAAUCCAUGAUAUUUGAAAAUUAGGAGAUCCUCAUGGUGAUCUUCAUCUUUGCGUACAAUAUCAGCGAUAUUUAUUCUCGUACAGAACCAAGCCUACAAUAACAUUGUAAUUAAAAAUAUAAAAUAUGUAACUGAAAAUAACCGAAACACAUAAGUACCCAAGUAACGGUCCCAUGCAUCCGAUUUGUGCAAUGGGCUAUUGUUCUUUGAUAUUUUUUUGUAGUUUGUAAAUAUUCUUCCAUAACACUCAUGGGGAUAUCCAUAGUACUCAAAAAAUUAUACCGCAAAGGUAAAAUAAAAAAGGUUGCAAACUCACUGACACAUGCAUAACAGUAUUGCAAAGCAUAAAAGCAACACUGCAAAAACGCAAUAAGUCUAUACUUACUUUAUCAGAAGCCACUUGCGUAAUAAGCCUUGCCCAGUCAUCUUCCGUGUGCACAAAACACAAUCCAUGGUAUUUGAAAAUCGGGAGAUCCUAAUAGUGAUCUUCAUCUUUGUGUACAAUAUCAGCGAUAUUUAUUCUCAUACAGAACCAAGCCUACAAAAGCAUUGUAGUUAAAAAAUAUAAAAUAUGUAACUGGAAAUAACAAAAAACACAUAAGUACCUCAAGUAAUGGCCUCAUGCAUCCGAUUUGUGCAAUGAACUUUUGUUCUUUGACAUUUUUUUUGUAACUUACCGGUAACUCUUGUAAAUUAUCAGUAAUAUUAAAUAAGUUGUAAGUUACCGGUAACUCGUGUAUGUUACCGAUAAUUUAUGUAACUUACCGGUAAAUCUUGUAAAUUUACCGGUAAUUUUAAGUAAGUUGUAAGUUAUCGGUGAUUUAUUAACUUACCGGUAACUCGUGUUAGAUUAGCUAUAAAUCUUUGUACGAUAUCUUGAAAUCGUACGGGGAAGAAUUGUCAAGUAAAUACAUUUUUCGGUUCGUUUAAACAUUGAACGAAAUUUCUCACUUCACACGCCACCUUGUGUAUCAUCCAUUAAAUUGUUCGAUUUCUUGAAAUCGUACGGGGAGCUUUCAAUUAAUGCAUAUCAAUGAUCUCUCAUGUGGCACAUAGUUCAAUUAUUUACAAAUAGGAAACACAAUGAAACGUAUUUGUUUCUUUGCUUUCUUGUUCUUGAUUUACACAUGUACUUCAAACCGUAUCCUCUUUGUAUCGGGUCGUUGAUUGGGUAUUUAAUGAUUAAACGAAUAAAAUUAUGUAAUUGGUGCGUCGUUUUACACCAAAAAUAUCCGGCAGUCAGCCGGUAUGCCCACACUGCGCAGACAGCAGUAAGCAAGAUCGUCUCCCAAGGGACUGGCGAGAAUUUCUCUAAUUAAAGCCUGCAAGUAACCCACGAAAAUUUGAGAAGAAAAUAUAGAAAAUACUAAACUUAAAAUUAAAUAAAUAAAAUCCAAAUAAACCAAUUUUUCCAAUAGCUAAAAGAUGAAUAAAAAUUCCAACAAUUAAUAAAAGAAUUCCAGCAAUCAAUUAAGUCCACUCUAGCUUAAUUAUUCCGAUCAUGGAUGCAAAAAUAACUUUAAAUUAUGCAAACAAACCAGUUAUAACCACCGAAGACGCUUCUGACGUGAUCUUAUUUCUCCUUAAUUAUUCGGUAACCAGGAAGACGCUUCACUAAUUACUACCCUAAUCGACUGACAACCGUAAGAGACGCUCUAUAGGUUUAAUGAGCCGACAGCAUUAAUAUCUAGAGAAACCCGAUUCAAAACCAAUAAACUCUGACGCAGGAUUAUUGAAUUAAGACUGCUUUUUCCUUGACCCUGAUGUGUCAAUUUACCACUAAUCAAAUCUAAACCACAAUUACGGAUGGCCGAUUCAAUUGACUAUAUAAUUAAUUCUAACCCAAUAAAUAUUUGCAACUAUCUAAUGGAUUAAAACAAUUAAUAUCAUUAAACAUGGAGAAUCGCAGAUGCAAGCAUAAAAUAAAGUAUAAGAACAAUUAGAUCUCACAUAAUAAUUUCGCUAGUGCUUCCCUAAUCGUUGCCGGAAUAAACGAAUUUAGCUAGAAAACAUAAUAAUUAAACAAAACAAAUAAAAAAUUAAAUUACGAAAAUAAUGGAAGAAAAAGAAACUUGAAUUGAAAAGCUCCAAAUUGCGUCUAAGUUCUGCUGCUUCAAAAACAAUGCGUCUGGAAUGUGAUCUGCUUCUCAAAAGUGGCGCUUGCUUCUAACUAAGGAAAAGUAAAUUAAAUACUAACCUAAACUAACUUAACAAAAAGUGGCGUAUAAGCCCAAACAACUAACCUAACAUAACUUAACAAAAAAGUGGCGCAUGGGCCCACUAACAAAUUAACUAACUUGUCCAAUUAACUUAAACCAAAAAAUAUGACGCUGCAUAGCUCACAAAACAAGCUUAAGGUAUUUCAACAUCUCUCAAUUAUAUUCGCCACUUUAGCAAUUCCAAAUAGCUCAAAUUUCAGCUUGUAAGUGUUCUGCUCAGCAAAACCUCCAUCCUUCAUAACUUCAAGCUUUCAAAAUUCUUCUCAAAACCAAAAUAUUUUCUUCAAAACCUAUCAAAUAGACAAAUACCAUCAAAAUUCAUAUAAGAUCAUAAUCAUAUCCUAAAGAUGAUAUUUAACACGAAUUAAACACAAAAAUCAUACUAAAAUCCCCCGAGUAUAAAUACACCCAAUCAUCUAAACAAGAAAAUAUUGUGCAAUAUAAGUUUUCACAAUUUUAUUCAUCCCAAAAGUUUCUCGCAUUUCAUUCGGAGAUCAUCAUCUCGAAAUUUUUUUAUAUUUCAUUAUGAGUAGUGAUAAAUUAACAUAAUAUAUUUUGGGGCAAUAAUGUCAAUUUGCUAUAUAUGAAAAAAAAAUUGUAAUUAAUGUAAUUAGAAUUUUACUUGAUUAGCUAGCCUCAAUAAAAAUUAAGGAAAAGAUUGAAAUUAAAUUUUGUUUUUAGAAUAUUCUGCCAAUAAUAGAUUUUUUUUAUAUAUUUAUAUAUUCAAAUAAAAACCUUCUAUAUACUCCUAUAACUUAAUUUGUUGUAGCGGUAGGGAAAUGUGACAAGACCCACCAACUGAGUUUAUGAAUUUGUGAUGGUGAGAUUCGAGCUAGAUUGUGUAUUUUAGGUAUAAGAUUUAUAUAUAAAGAAAACUUUAACAAAUCAAAUGAAAACUUAUCUCGAAAAACAAAGUAAUUUCCAAUCCUCCAAUCAAGAAUCUUUUCCUCAGAUUGUUGAGAACUUUAAGUAAUUUUUAAGUAAUUUUUUUUUGAAAUUAAAGGAGGUAUUUGAAUAUAAUUAAUUAUGCAAACCGCACGCAAACGGGACCUCGCCACCCAACGGCGGGAAGACAACAGAGAAACGCUCUGCGUGUGGGACCGCAACACUAAUACAACACCGCAUUCAUGUAGGAAUACAACACCGGAAACAUCGCCGUACGCAACUUUGCCACUAAAACAAUGCCUUAUUGACAUUUUUUAAGUAAAAUCGAUGCAGUCAUUUUGUAGUCCGAUUUUUUUCAUAAAAUUCUAGUUGUGCGUAACUUCUUUCAUAACACGAAUAAUGUAAUUUAUCUCAAGAAUCAAAAACAAAAACAAGAUUCUAAUUCCCCCCACCUACAACAAAAUAAAUGCGACACGAAAUUAAUUAAUUAAAUAUGUAUGUAAUAUGCUUACCUACCUACGUGUAUAAAUCAAGCAAAUGCGUGUUCUAGCUACUCUCUCACUCAUCUCAUCAAACAUUAUCUUUCUCCCUCUCUCUCUAUUUUUCACGCACAACACACAUUACGUGAAACGACGUCUUGAAGAUACAAUCAUCAACAAUAUUUGAAUGGCUAUCUCGAGAAGGUCUCGAGAAGCCCGACAAUGUGCUGCUUCGGACUUCUCGAGACCUUCUCGAGAUAGUCAUUCAGGCUGCCGUUUUUCAUAUAUUCGUAGAUCAAGUAGUGGCAGCAGAUUGCGGAGGCGAAUUUCUGCUUGGAUUUUGCGCAUUUUCAUGUUGGUCUCGUAUUUUGGGAGCUCCUGUGCAUCUAUGAUCAACUGUUCUGAUCAUCUUUAUGGCGAUUUCUUUGCCGGUAGAAUAUAUGGUUUUGUAAACCUUGGCCGCAUCCGUCCAGGUCUUCUUGUUUGUUGAUCAAUAGGCUGAAUAUUGUCAUGUCGGCCGGUGCCGAUGAUUAGCCUAAAAAUUGAGUAAAAGAUUAAUCCUAAAAGGAAUUAAUCCUCCAAUUACUCCAAGGGGAAGUCCGAGAAACCAGCCGAUUAUUAUUUUCUUAUUGUUAUUCUUGUGUUGCAAACCGGGUGACAAGGCUAGUUUCGUGCCGGCGCGGCGAGACAAUUUUCGGCGAAGCAGUAACAUUUUAGCAUUUGGAGGAAGACGAUGAGUAUGACUAAACUGAGGAGUGAUUUGGGUGAAGCCAUUGGUAGCCGUGGUGUUUGGCGAUUGAUUUGGUUGUGAUGUGAGAAAUUUAAUUUGUGCAGAGGUUACAUAUAUAUAUAGGUAAUUUAAUAUUUUGUGAGAAGUUAUGGGAAAAAUCUUAUAUUCCGAUUUUUUUAUCGUUUCAGUUAUUGUAUUUUUGUUCUUGUCAAAUUUUAAUUUUAAUCAUUUUUCCAUUCAAUUUUAAUGUUUUAAUAUAAUUUUAAGCGAAUUCACUAAUUCAAUUAAUAUGGUUUGUAAUUUUUUUGUAUAUAUUUAUUUUUAAUUGUAAAUUAAUAAUUAAUUAUUAAGGUUAAUUAAUCUAAAAAUUAAAUAUGUAUAUUUAAUUUUUUAAUAUUAAAAUAAAAUUAAUAGUGAAAUACAUGAGACAUAAUAAUCAAACGAUGUUAUUAUAUAAGGUGGAACACUAGAUCUCAUCCACUAAUAUUAACCCCCUUUGGCCUUCACAACCAAAAAAAUUAUGAAAAAAAUCCCAUUCCCACUAUUGCACUAAUAUUAACCUUUACCACCAAAAAAAUUAUGAAAAAAAUCCCAUUCCCACAAAAGAGGAGAGCGAGAGAGAGAGAGAAUGGUUAGAUUUAAACCUCCAAAUUCUACCUCAUUACCACCAAAAAGAGAUGCAUAUAAUCACAUCACAUGCCAUUAAAGAAGAGAUCAAGAAACCACAAUCAAGAGAGAGAGAGAGAGAAUGAGCUUACCGGAAGAUGUGAUCACAGAAAUCCUCUCAAGAAUACCGGCAACACCACUCCUUCGAUUCAAAUGCGUAUGCAAAUCAUGGCAUAACAUCAUCAACGAUCCCACAUUCAUCGCCAAGCACCACCAAACCAUCUCGGCCGCGCCGGAAUCCGAGGCGGUGAUGAUCAGCCGGCGCAGCAACGCCACCAACAGGCGGGUCCUCUCGCUGCUGAGGAGCCCCGACGACGUCGUCGACCACGACCUCCCGACGUUCCUCAACGACAUGUUCGGCCACGUCCGCCUCGUCGGCCCCUGCAACGGCGUCGUGUGCCUCUACGGGUACUACGACAACAUCGCGCUGUGGAACCCGGCCAUCCGCUGCUUCAAGAAGCUCCCGGCGUCGCAGCUGCCCCGCCCCUCGAAUUUCAAGGUGCGGGGAGGCGAUCUUGGGGUCGGGUUUGACCCCAAGACUCGUGAUAUCAAGGUAUCGUCGUUGCGUUAGAUAGAGCUGUCAAAAUUAGCUCGACUCGAAAAAAACUCGUAUAACUCAAUGAAAUAAGGUAUAGAGUAUAGACCAAAUUUUAGAUAUGUAAGAAAAUGGUCCAAAUUAGAGAUGCCAAAUGGGUCGACUUGGCCCAUUUGAUAAGAUAAGGUAUGGGCCUGCAACCAACUCGAAAAAGGCUGACCAUCGAAGGGGCCCAUACCCCUAAAAUUUGAGACCGAUUAAAUUUUGACUCGGCCCAGCCCAAAUUCUGCCUUGGCCCAAAUUUCAGACAUGUAAGAACAUAUAUGAUCCAAAUUAGAGAUGUCAAACGGGCUGGCUCGACCUGAGUCCAUCAGGCCGGGCCAGACCAGACCAGAUCGUUUCGAAAUAUAUUUGGACAACAAUUUUGACGACCCAACCCUAACUCCACUUUAUGCCAAUAGAUGAUGGCUUGGUCUGAUUUUCCAGGCUAGAAUGGCACGUGAGUCGGACUAUUUUUUACAGCUCUAUGAAAAUAAUGAAAAAUUAAUAUUAAUAUGUUUUUUAAAACCGAAAAACGUAUUUCUUUAUUUAAAUUGUUAUUUAUACUCUUAUAGAAGCCAUGUUGCUAUUUUCAUGCAGGUAUUGCAGAUCUUAUUUUGCGUUUCAAUGGAUUCCCAAAUUGUUUAUCAAGUUGAGAUAUACUCAUCAAGAAUGAAUUCUUGGAAGAAAUUGGAAUCUUCUAUGCCAGCAAAUAUCAUGUGCUAUAAUCUAUGGAGCAUGGUGUACAAGAAUGAAAAUUUCUGUUGGUGGGCCCAAGAUAAAAAUAAUGUUGAGGUAAUUCUUUCAUUUAAUAUGGUUGAUGAAGCAUUUGAAAUGACUCAAUUGCCCUCCGACAUUGAGCCACUAGGAGGGCAACAUAGGACUACUCGAGCUAUUAUGCCACUAAAAGAAUCACUUGCUUUGAUUGUGUAUCGACAAUUGGAAGAUGACAAGGUUUUUGAUGUGUGGAUUUUGAACGAGAUCGGAGGAGUUGAAGCUUGGAGUAAGUUGACGAGAAUCGGCCCGAUUUCGGGAGUCGAGAAGGUGCUAGGGUUUUGGAAUAAGUACGAGUGCAUUUUGGAGAGUAGAACGGGAGAGACGGUUUUGUAUAAUCGUGUUACUCGGAAGACGAAGAAUCUUGGGAUAUAUGGUAAACGAAGCAGGUUGGAAGUCCUCGUUCUUACAGAGAGCUUGUAUUCAGUGAAUUAAGCACGAAAUGAGUAUCCAUAUUUUCUUUUUCGUCCGUCCACGAAAUGAGUACCUAGCUAUUUCCCUUUUUGACAAGUGUAUCCCAAAAUCCUUUAAUUAAUACACUAAAAAAGUGAACCCUUAUUCUAUUAACCCACAUCGACCAUUUUUAAACUCGUGCUCCACAAAUGGUACUCAUUUCUGGACGAGAACCAAGGUAUGUGAAUAAACAUAAUGAGAUAAUAGAUUUUUAAAUUUAAAAGUGUUAGUGAUUCAAACUAGCGAAAAAUAUUUAGAAAGUUCAGUAAUUCAAGCUACCUUAUUGUGAAUUUUAUAACCAUUUACAAAAUAUGUGUCAUACUAUAANUCCACUUGCAAUCUCCUGCAAUAUGUUGUAUAUUAGUAUUUGUUUAAAGUAAUUUCGUGCUGUAAAAAAUUGUACAAUAGAGUUGUAAUAUCUAAUGUAUAGUUGUGUGAGGAAACCCUUUAAUUUUAAGGGGUUUAUAAUUCUAAAAUUGAUUGUACAUUAUAUCCAUGUUAUUGCGCAUCAUAAAAAAUUAUAUUUAUUUAACAUUGAUGUGAUAUGAUAAUUUAACUAUAUUUAAUAUAAUUGAUGUAUCCCAAAUAUUCUAAUAUAUCUAUAUAUAUAGUCUACAUUACGCGUAGAAUUGUCAAAAAUGAUUCGAUCCAAAGAUUUUAUGGCCCAUUAGGCCCAAAUAUGCACCCAAACCCAGCCCAUUUUUUAUUUUUGCAUUUUAAAAUUUCAACUUAUUAGUUUUAAUGAAAUUAAAUAUAAUCUUAAAUUCAAGCCAACCUAACAUCAUUAAAUACAAAGCGACAUUUUUCUUUAGUUUUUUUCCCCUAAAAUUUUAUAUCAAAAUCCCAUAUAAUUCAUUCAUAAUAAAAACUUAAAAUAAAGAUAAAUAAAUCCACAUAUUUCAAAGCCUUAAAUUAAUUUUUCCUCUCCCACCAAAAAUAAUGUCCCUUCCACUCAAGAACUUUUCUGCAAUCGUAAAUUUAAUUUCCCAAAAUCAUUUCCCUCAUUCCGCAAAAUGCACACAACUAGAUUAUCGGCAGCGAAAAGGGAGAUAGACCCAUCAGCUGAAUCGAAAAACCCAGGUCAGAAAUUUGUCAGAAACGAUUUAUUAAUGUUGAUUAAUACAAAAAGGGCUAAAAAAGUUUCAACUUUGAUAAUUAUUUACUGUUUUUUGAACUCGCAGAUGAUGAUUCUGUAAAGAAACUUCGUGUCUUUGUAAGGAAAAAGAGAGCUAAAAAAACCGUUCAAGCUAUAGUUGAAGCGAUUAAGCCUGAAACUGUUGAUCAAAAGGUAAUUUAUAUUUUUCAAUGCCUUUUGUAUUUGUGGCUUUUGAGGUAUUUCUAGUUUAAGGAGUGCUGUUGUGGUUAAAUGCCUUUUGUAUUUAUGGUGAUGAUUAGUUGACUAUGAGCUNAAGGAAACCGUUCAAGCUAUAGUUGAAGCGAUUAAGCCUGAAACUGUUGAUCAAAAGGUAAUUUAUAUUUUUCAAUGCCUUUUGUAUUUGUGGCUUUUGAGGUAUUUCUAAUUUAAGGAGUGCUGUUGUGGUUAAAUGCCUUUUGUAUUUAUGGUGAUGAUUAGUUGACUAUGAGCUCUCUAAUCUAAACAAAAUUCACACUUUAUUUGAACUAAAUGAAGUAAUAUGCGUAAGUAGCAGCUUUGCUCUUACAUUGAAUGCACAUUAAGUGUUUGAUGAAUUGCAGCCUUGCAGCCUACCUGAAAUUGAAGAUUUUGCAUAUGGGAAGCAAAGCAGUUUUUCUCGUUCGAGUACGUAUCUACCUUAAUUUAUUAUAUCCUAUUAAUCCAUCAAAGGAGUUGUAUGAUUUGGCCACAUUACUGCUCCUUUAUGUCUUCUCUUAACAAAUGAUUAUCCUGCAUUCAAUAGUGUGUUAUUGAGAUACGACUCUACAAUAAAAGCUCGCUUGUUUGCAGUGUCGUAUAUAUAGUUAAUGGGCGUUUUGUAGUUCAUUUGUGGAAAAAGCAAAAGUAGUUGAUGGAGGAUUUUGAGCUUCAAAAAGUUGAUGAUUCGUGCUCAAGGAGUACACUGGUCUAACAAUUUAAGUUAUUAAUUGUUGAAAUAAUUUUUGUAUGUUUGUUUUAAAGAUCAAGACUACUUUGGAAUCUGAUGGUUGAUACGAUAAGGUUUAAACUUUAAAAUGUAUGUGGAUGCUUGCAAUAGUUCAUCGAAUAGACUGCUUUCAUGAGGCGAUGCAUUCUAUAAAACAGUAUAAUUCGGCCGAACUUGAUGCAGUCCGAAUUUCCUUUUUUUCUUUUAAGAUGAAGUACAGCCUCCUUCUGACUGGGAAAAGGUCAUUGAAGGAAUUCGCAAAAUGAGGUCUUCUGAAGAUGCGCCUGUGGACUCAAUGGGGUGUGAGAAAGCCGGCAUUUCACUUCCUCCUAAGGUGGUUCUUACGCGAUGAUUAUAUGUUGUGAUGUCGUUUGUAUUUAUAUGCGAGUGGUGAAUGGCAAGGUGCUCCUCUAGAGGGGCGAAUGUUGUGAAUUAGGCUCAUCUUGUUUAUGUAUCCUUGUUGCUAAUGUUUUCAACAACCCUCCCCUCAUUUAAGGAAAGGAGAUUUGCAGUUCUCAUUUCUUCUCUGUUGUCGAGCCAAACGAAAGAUCAAGUUACUCAUGGCAAGUUCUAAUCUACUCAAGCUUUAAUGUCAAUAAACGAGUCACAUUCUUUGAACUACUUAACUCUCUCUGAUAUAUAUCUGUGUACAUAACGGGCAAAUUUUUUGCAGGAGCUAUUCAACGGCUUCUUCAAAACGAUUUGCUUUCAGCAGAAGCCCUCGCUAAAGCUGAUGAAGGUGCCAUCAAGGAAUUAAUCCACCCCGUACGCCCCUUUCCUUUUUCUUAGGAUUUCGUAACAGUAAUUUAUUCGAAGCAUUCGUAUAUUAGCCAAAGAAGUAUUCUACCUUGUAUGCUCCAUAACUAUCUCCUCAUUUGACAUUGUCCGUUAGUAGGUCGGUUUUUAUUCAAGAAAAGCAAGCAACAUGAGAAAAGUCGCAAAAAUUUGUCUCGACAAGUACGAUGGAGAUAUUCCUAGCACAUUAGAAGAGUUGCUCGAGCUUCCCGGGAUUGGCCCCAAAAUGGCUCAUCUGGUAUGAGAAAAGAUGUACCCUAUAUAUAGAAUCGCUUAUAUUAACGUUCUCUAUGAAACUACGUUUUUAUUUUCCUAGGUCAUGAAUGUGGGGUGGAACAAUGUACAAGGAAUAUGCGUAGACACUCACGUGCACCGUAUUUGCAAUCGCCUCGGAUGGGUUUCGCGCCCGGGCACUAAGCAGGUAAUCUUUGCAGCUAUGGCUUUCAUAAAAUGGGGCAAAAUAACCUGUGGAUUUUGUCGUUUUUUUGUUAGAGAACUUCAACGCCAGAGCAGACGAGAGAAUCUUUGCAGCUAUGGCUUCCUAAGGAGGAAUGGGUUCCCAUCAAUCCUCUUUUGGUAUAUUUUGUGUAUUCUCCAACUAUACACUUUCUGCGUGAUGCCGUCGUUUUUCAAUUGAGAGAUGAUGCUUUUACUAUAGGUUGAAUUGCUGGAAAUAUUGUUGUUGCGAUUACCCGAAUCUCAUGAUUUUUAAAAUGUUGCAAUCAUAACCACAUUUUUUAGCUUGCAAUUACAACAUCCUAAACUUUUUAGGGAAUAAAACUACGUCGUUUCAUUGGUGAAGCAACGAUUUUUUAGGGUAUACGAUUUUUUAGUGUUAUUUCCGACAAUUAACUCUUUACAUUAUUUGUGGAUUUGCAGUGUAUUUAUUUUCUCAAACAUAUUUUCUGCAUUUCUUGAAAAUAGGUAGGUUUUGGGCAGACCGUGUGCACUCCUCUUAGGCCGCGUUGUGGCAUAUGUGCAGUGAGUGGUUUUUGCCCGUCGGCCUUCAAAGAGGCGCCUAGCCCAUCACCCUCACCGAAGAAAAAACGAGCCGAGCAUUCGUAGAUUAGUUGCACCAAGUAUGUAGAAUUUUGUUGUAUAACUCAUUGUUUUUGUUAAGGCUCUCGUGCAAUUGUACGUUCUGAGGGUGAAAGGUAAUGUAGAGUUUCUACCUUGAAAAUGCCCCAAGUAAAUAUAGCCUUUAGAUUUUGAUUAUCUUACUCAAAUGUGUUUGAAUAUGUAUGAUUGUUGGGGCUGGCCUAGUUGGCCAUUUAAAAUAUUUUGGACAUCACAAUAGCACUUUUUAAUUUUUGGUGGGCCACACUCAAUUAAAACAUAACACUCAAUUUCUUAAUCUCUGUGCCUCUAAGUGACCCUCUAACUGUUGGAAGAAAUGACUAAAAGAAUCUGGUAUGCUGAGAAGAAGAAGUGCUCCAAGCCUCCAACUGUUCAUUUAUUAUUAUCGCAUUGCAACUCGAAUUUAGUUGUUUGUGAUUCAUCUCGAUCAAAACAAACAGAACAUUCCCGCUAACGCGCAAAUAUAUAAUUUGUACUUAUAUUUUUCUCAGAUAAAUGGUAAUCUAUAUCUAUUAUAUCGAAUGAACAAACUCAUGGUUGGUAAUUUAUAUCUAUAUAUACCCUAUUAUAAAACAUCUUUAUUUUACAAAAUUUGAUUUGCCGUAUAUAUCCCUCAUAUAUACUCCCUCUGUCCCAAACGAAAUUUCCUGUUUUCCUUUUUGGGCUGUUCCAAACGAAAUGUCCUGUUUUAUUUUUUGGCAAUACACUCUCUCUCUAUACUUAAUAUUUAAAUAAUUUACACCAACCCACUUUAUCUACUUUAUACACAUUUCUUAAUCUCCGUGCCGAAAAGAAAUAGGACAUUUCGUUUGGGACGGAGGGAGUACUUAAUAAGGUCAAUUAUGUAAUUUAAUACUCCCUCCGUCCCAACUUAUAGUAUUCGUCUUUUAUUUUUUGGCCGUCCCACAUUUUGUCAUUCAUUUCUAUUUUUAAUAAAAGUAGGUGGGACUUUUACUCCACUUUCAAUUAUUUUAACACUCACAUAAAAGGUGAAAUCCUUAUUCCACUCAUAAUACACUCAAUUACUUUAUUUAAACCCGUGUCAAUCUCAAAUGAAUACUAAAAGUUGAGACGAAGGGAAUAUAUUAUACAUUAAAUAAAUCUAAAAUAUAUUUGGUUUAUGUUUUAUAUUUUAAUAAUUAUUUAAGUAGUAGUAUCCAUUAGAAUCUUCAUCGACAUAAAUUACUAUUUUUUACUAUGUAAAUUUAAUAAUUUAAAAUUACAAUCGAAAGGAUUUAUUGCUUUAUUAGAAGUUUAAUUUUGCUAGAAUCCUUGGAAUUAAAAUUAAUUUUGUAAAGAUGAAACCUAAAAAUAAAUAUGAAUUUCAUAUCAAUUUUCUUUUCUUUUUGGUUGUAUUUUUUUUAAUUAUGAUAAAAUUAGGCGGUGCUUAAUUAACUAAUUAAAAUUAAAUUUGAAUAUUAAAUUUAGAUUAUUUUUAUUUUAUUUUUAUGAGUUUUAAAAUAUUAUAAUCGUCAAACAUUAUCAAAUAAUGCUUCAAAAAAUAUAUUAAAAUGAUAAUUGUUACUAUAAUUAUGUUCAAAUGCACGUCAUCUUUGCUAAUCUUUCUAAGUUGUAAUUGGAUUGUUUUUUUUUUUUUUUCCUUUACUUAUCCUUUUUUGUAAAUUGGGUCUAUGUACUUUCACCUUUUUUUUUCAUAGCCUUUUUAAUUUCGUUUGUAAACUUUACGUUGGUGUAUAUAUAUUUCUUCUAGAAUGGAUGUUUUUGUUUUUGUAUACAACUCAAACACUUCAAAAUAAGCUCGAUUUUAAAAGUAUUGAUGGCCUGGGUGUUUGUGUUUUGUAUUCAAGGCAAACGACGUAGUUUUGUUUCUGAAAAUAUCAGGAAUGUUGUAUCAUUCUAAAAGAUUUAAAAAUGGUGUUAUGACUGGAUCAAUAAUAGUCAUUUCAUUAUUCAGUGAUUAUGUUUUAUUGUAGAAUGUCACUUUCCAAUUUGGACUUUUUUUUCUUUAAAUUGCGAGACAAUUCCAACAUCAAAUUAAAUUAUCAUGAGCUAUAUGUCUGGAUUUAUAUUGAUAUUAAUUAAUCACAGCACACUUCAUCUGACUUUUGUCCUUGACUUGCAAGUCGUCUAAUUGCAUUUUAGGAAUUGUUAUAAUCAUGUAUUAACUUUCAAUUUUUGUAUCUAGAUUUUAGUUAAGAGGAUGAAUCAUUUUUCUUGCCCCUCUUUCACGUCGGUUUAUUCAAGGAGGUAAAUAGUAACUCUUUCCACGUUAACGUAUCAUGAAUUAUCUUCAAACAAUUUCAACUCCAUCCGUCCCACGAAUCUUACGAAUCUUGAGUCACUUCUUUUCGUCUUAAACACGCAUCACUCCAUCUUCCUCGAUGGAGUCCGUUGUGCGCGCCUACGUUUCUAAGGCUCUCUCUGUCUCUCUCAAAUCGACGAAAAAUUCUUCGUCUCCCUUUCUUCUUGAAUCUGACACGAUGGUGGAAGAAACUCCGUUCUCGGAGAUGGAUGUAUGUGAAUCGGACACUGUCGUGCCGGAAACCGAAGUGGCGCCGUGGUUGCUGCCGGAAACCGACGCGGCGCGCCUCCCUCUCUCUGAAUAGGAGUCGAUUCUACCGGAAUCCGGAGCGGCGACUUUCGAUCUCUGUGAAUCGCCGGAAUACAAUUCUGAUGGCUUCCAUCUCUCUGAACACAUCAGACGAGAGAGGGAAAAGGCCAAGCUUUCUUAGUCUCCGUGUCCACACCCAAAUAGGGCAUUAAAUCAUGGACGGAGGGAGUAAUUAAUAUUGAGAGUUGUGAAAAAGUGAAAGUAAGAGUAAUUAUAAGUGGUGGGGUAUAGUCAAAAAAUAGAUAAUAAGAGUAUAAUUUUAUACACAGUUUGAAAGUGACAUUUGCAAUAUGUGAGGAAACAGAUAUGUUUUGGCCUAUUUAUUACAUUUACUGCUCACGAUUUGUCUAUAAAUAUAGGAUCUAUCCCAGCAACAUUUCUCAUCCUAAACAAAAAACACAACUAUUUCACAACUCGAAGAAAAAUGAGUUCCAAACUGAUUGUUCUUCUCGGCCUUUUAGCUCUUCUAGUUUCUUCAGAAGUAGCUUCAGCCAGCAGAGAACUUGCUGAGACAACUAAUGCUAUCGACGAUCCAUGUAAGAAAAUUCUUCAAUAAUAUAUAUAUAUAUGUGUGUGUAUUUUUUGAUACAAAUUAAAACUAAUUAAAUAGAGCACAAGUUUCCGCAAUUUGGUAUCAUCCAUUUUUUUUUAUAUAUAGAUUAACAAGAAAAUAAAAAAAUUAAAAGAUCGCGAUGCGAUGAACUUGAACCUAGAACCUCUGGUCUUGGCAUUAAUCCCAUUGCACACUAGCGUUAGGCGAACACACAUGUGCGCACUUUUUUUCUAAAAAGUACACGCAAUGUAUGUUUAUAUUGUUCUGAAAAUGUCAAAAUUAUAAAUUUAUUGAUUACUUUAAUGCCUAAGGCCAAAGGUCUUGAGUUCGAGUUCUCUGUGGCGCGACCUUUUAAUUUCUUUAUUUAAUAUUGUAAAUUUAUCAAAAUAUAUAUAUAUAUAUAUAUAUUGAUUACUUGAACAUGCAUGUAGUGGAGAAAGGGUCCCCACCAUUUUUUGAAAUGAGUGGUUGAGAUUGAAUUUAAGAUGGAUUUUUGGUAAAUAAAGGGUAUUUGUAAGGAUAAAAGAUAAGAAAAAAAGAUGUCAGCCAUGUUCUAAAAAGGAAAGUGCAUACUUUUGGUGGACACAGAAAAUGAAUUCAAUAGGUCAUGUUUCCUUAUUUCAAUAGACUAUUUCCUAAAAUGGAAAGUCAAUACAUAACAAAUAUCCUCGUAUAAGGUUAUCGUAAUUAUCAUAGCGGUGGAGGUUUUCCGCCUGGCGAGGGCGGCGGAUAUGGAUCAGAUUGUGAUGGCGUUCGAUUUGGAGGUGGUCAUCCUCCCAGCGGCUGAUAUGUAGGUUAUCUGCCUCCCAACGCGCGGCGGAUAUUGAGGUUAUCCUAGCGGUGGAUAUUGAGGUUUUCCCGGCGGUUGCAGCGACUGCUGAUGAAAAGGCGGACGUCGACACUCAGAACUAAGCAAGGCAGCCUUAUAAUUAAGCCUAAGAUGUAAUGAAUAAAAUGCAUGCUCGUGGUGUGCCGGUUUUACUUGUUAUAUAUAUUAUGAUGAUGUAACCGUCUGAUUUAUGUAAUUUUGCUUUCGCUAAUACACCAACUUUUAAGUAUUUUUAGUUUGGGGGACACUUGUGUGCGCGCAAGUUUAAAACUGCGCGCAUGGUGAGCGCUAUAUUAAAAGAAAAAAUAAAAAAAUACAACGGUUUACUAGUAUUAGGCUUUUGCAUAUUUUUUUUUCCUUUUUUUUGUUUUUUUUUNUCAUUUGCGUUUUUUAUGUUUUUUUUUCCAAGGCACUUCUAUACCACAUCGAAAAGUAUAAUUUCAUAUAUUAAAGGUGUCAUUUAUUAAAAAAAAUAGUGUCAUUUAAAUAUAUUAAAAAUAUUAUUUAAAUAUAAAUAUAAUACUCCCUCCGUCCCAAACGAAAAGUCCUAUUCUUUUCGGCACGGAGAUUAAGAAAUGUGUAUAAAGUAGAUAAAGUGGGUUGGUGGAAAUUAUUUAAAUAUAAGUAUAGAGAGAGAAUGUAUUGCCAAAAAAGGAAACAUGACAUUUCGUUUGGGACAGCCCAAAAAGAAAAACAUGACAUUUCAUUUGGGACGGAGGGAGUAUUAUUUAUUAAUGCAUAUUUACAUAUAUUAAAGUGUCAUUUAAAUAUAAAAUAAUUAUUAAUGCAGAUGGUGUUAUUUAAUAAAAUAGUGUCAUUUAAAUAUUUUUAAAGUGUUUUUUACUAACAAAAAUAAUAUCAAUGUUAUAGUGUCAUUUUUUUUAUCCGAUAAACAAAUGACACUACAAUAUUUCAAAAGACACUACUCCGACAAACAAAUGAUACUAUAAGAUUUCAAAUGACACUAUAACAUUUCAAAUGACACUACUCUGACAAACAAAUAACACUAUAUGAUUUCAAAUGACACAAUAUGAUUUCAAAAAACACUAUAAUAUUUGAAAUUACACUACUUGGACAUACAAAUGAUACUAUAACACUUGAAUAUUUCAAAUGACACCACAAAAUUUCGAAUGUCACAUUAACAUUUCAAAUUACACUACUUCGACAUACAAAUGACACCAUAAGAUUUCAAAUGUCACUAUAACAUUUCGAAUGACACUUUGACAUUUCAAAUAACACUACUCUGACAAACAAAUGACACUGCAAGAUUUCAAAUGACGCUAUAAGAUUUCAAAUGACACUUUGACAUUUCGAAUAAUACUAUGUCAUUCAAAUGCCACUAUAAGAUUUCAAAUGACACUAUAAGUUUUGAAAUGACAGUAUUCCAACAUAAAAUAAUAUUAUAACAUUUCAACAUUUGAAAUGACACUUUAACAUUUCAAAUGACACUUUAACAUUUCAAAUGAAACUAGAAGAUUUCCAGUAAAUAGGGAUUUUGUAUAUUUAGUUUAAUAUUAAAAAUAAUCGAAAUAACUUGAUUAGAUAUUUAUACAAUGUUCUUGUUUCAUGAUCCUCGUACUUUUUACAAUUUUUUUAUUUGAUUCUUAUUUGAAAUAUUUAGUAAAUUGAUUAUCUUCCGCAUCACAACACUUCAUGUGGUUGAUACAACAUGUGGAGCUUGAGCCAUCUAAGUGGCCCUCUAACUGUUCGACGAAAUGACUAAAAGAAUCUGGUAUGAUGAGAAGUGCUCCAAGCCUCCAACUGUUCAUUUUUUAUUAUCGCAUUGCAAUUCGAGUUUAGUUGUUUGUGAUUCAUCUCGAUCAAAACAGACAGAACAUUCCCGCUAACGCGCAAAUAUAUAAUUUGUACUUAUAUUUUUUCUCAGAUAAAUGGUAAUCUAUAUCUAUUAUAUCGAAUGAACAAACUCAUGGUUGGUAAUUUAUAUCUAUACCUAUUAUAAAAGAGCUUUAUUUUACAAAAUUUAAUUUACCUUUUAUAUCCCUCAUAUAUACUUAAUAAGGUCAAUUAUGUAAUUUAAUACUCCAUUCGUCCCAACUUUUAGUAUUCAUCUUUUAUUUUUUAGUCAUCUCACAUUUUGUCAUCCAUUUCUAUUUUUAGUAAAAGUAGGUGAGACUCUUACUCCACUUUCAAUUAUUUUAACACUCACAUAAAAGAUGAAAUCUUUAUUCCAUUCACAAUACACUCAAUCACUUUAUUAAAACCCGUGCCAAUCUCAAAUGAAUACUAAAAGUUGAGACGAAGGGAGUAUAUUAUACAUUAAAUAAAUCUAAAAUAUAUUAUGGUUUAUGUUUUAUAUUUUAAUAAUUAUUUAAGUAGUAGUAUCCAUUAGAAUCUUCAUCGACAUAAAUUACUAUUUUUUACUAUGUAAAUUUAAUAAUUUAAAAUUACAAUCGAAAGGAUUUAUUGUUUUAUUAGAAGUUUAAUUUUGCUAGAAUCCUUGGAAUUAAAAUUAAUUUUGUAAAGAUGAAACCUAAAAAUAAAUAUGAAUUUCAUAUCAAUUUUCUUUUCUUUUUGGUUGUUUUUUUUUAAGUAUGAUAAAAUUAGGCGGUGCUUAACUAAUUAAAAUUAAAUUUGAAUAUUAAAUUUAGAUUAUUUUUAUUUUAUUUUUAUGAGUUUUAAAAUAUUAUAAUCGUCAAAUAUUAUCAAAUAAUGCUUCAAAAAAUAUAUUAAAAUGAUAAUUGUUACUAUAACUUUCACCUUUUGUUUUCAUAGCCUUUUUAAUUUCGUUUGUAAACUUUACGUUGGUGUAUAUAUAUUUCUUCUAGAAUGGAUGUUUUUGUUUUUGUAUACAACUCAAACACUUCAAAAUAAGCUCGAUUUUAAAAGUAUUGAUGGGUGUUUGUGUUUUGUAUUCAAGGCAAACGACGUAGUUUUGUUUCUGAAAAUAUUAGGAAUGUUGUAUCAUUCUAAAAGAUUUAAAAGUGGUGUUAUGACUGGAUCAAUAAUAGUCAUUUCAUUAUUCAGUGAUUAUGUUUUAUUGUAGAAUGUCACUUUCCAAUUUUGACUUUUUUUCUUUAAAUUGGGAGACAAUUCCAACAUCAAAUUAAAUUAUCAUGAGCUAUAUGUCUGGAUUUAUAUUGAUAUUAAUUAACCACAGCACACUUCAUCUGACUUUUCUCCUUGACUUGCAAGUCGUCAUUUUUAGGAAUUGUUAUAAUCAUGUAUUAACUUUCAAUUUUUGUAUCUAGAUUUUAGUUAAGAGGAUGAAUCAUUUUUCUUGCCCCUCUUUCACGUCGGUUUAUUCAAGGAGGUAAAUAGUAACUCUUUCAACAAGUGAACUAGAAUAGAAACAAGUAAUACACAGAAAUAAAAUAAAUAAGUUAAAAGACUAAGCCAUUUCCACGUUAACGUAUCAUGAAUUAUCUUCAAAUAAUUUCAACUCCAUCCGUCCCACGAAUCUUACGAAUCUUGAGUCACUUCUUUUCGUCUUAAACACGCAUCACUCCAUCUUCCUCGAUGGAGUCCGUUGUGCGCGCCUACGUUUCUAAGGCUCUCUCUGUCUCUCUCAAAUCGACGAAAAAUUCUUCGUCUCCCUUUCUUCUUGAAUCUGACACGAUGGUGGAAGAAACUCCGUUCUCGGAGAUGGAUGUAUGUGAAUCGGACACUGUCGUGCCGGAAACCGAAGUGGCGCCGUGGUUGCUGCCGAAACCGACGCGGCGCGCCUCCCUCUCUCUGAAUAGGAGUCGAUUCUACCGGAAUCCGGAGCGGCGACUUUCGAUCUCUGUGAAUCGCCGGAAUACAAUUCUGAUGGCUUCCAUCUCUCUGAACACAUCAGACGAGAGAGGGAAAAGGCCAAGCUUUCUUAGUCUCCGUGCCCACACCCAAAUAGGGCAUUAAAUCAUGGACGGAGGGAGUAAUUAAUAUUGAGAGUUGUGAAAAAGUGAAAGUAAGAGUAAUUAUAAGUGGUGGGGUAUAGUCAAAAAAUAGAUAAUAAGAGUAUAAUUUUAUACACAGUUUGAAAGUGACAUUUGCAAUAUGUGAGGAAACAGAUAUGUUUUGGCCUAUUUAUUACAUUUACUGCUCACGAUUUGUCUAUAAAUAUAGGAUCUAUCCCAGCAACAUUUCUCAUCCUAAACAAAAACACAACUAUUUCACAACUCGAAGAAAAAUGAGUUCCAAACUGAUUGUUCUUCUCGGCCUUUUAGCUCUUCUACUUUCUUCAGAAGUAGCUUCAGCCAGCAGAGAACUUGCUAAGACAACUAAUGCUGUCGAUCCAUGUAAGCAAAUUCUUCAAUAAUAUAUAUAUAUAUAUAUAUAUAUAUAUAUAUAUAUAUAUAUGUGUGUGUGUGUGUGUGUGUGUUUUUUGAUACAAAUUAAGUGCUCGUUUGGUUCAAGUAGAGGAAUGGAAAGGGAAUGGAAUCAAAUAAAGGAGUGGAAUGGUAACAAUAACCAUUACUUUUAUUGAGUGUUUGGUUUAACAAUGGAAAUGCAUCAUUAGUAAGGGAAUCUCUUUCUUUUGUUUCCCCUCUAUUUUGAGGGGUAACAAAUUGGGUGAUUGGGUUACCCUUAAGUAAGGGUAAUGAUUAUCUCAUUACCCAAACCAAACAACAAGUAAUGGAUUCAAUUACUUGAUUCCAUAUACAACCUCUAAAAUCACCCAAACAAAGUUAAAACUAAUUAAAUAGAGCACAAGUUUCCGCAAUUUGGUAUCAUCCAUUUUUUUUUAUAUAUAGAUUAACAAGAAAAUAAAAAAAUUAAAAGAUAGCGAUGCGGUGAACUUGAACCUAGAACCUCUGGUCUUGGCAUUAACCCCAUUGCACACUAGCGUUAGGCGAACACACAUGUGCGCACUUUUUUUCUAAAAAGUACACGCAAUGUAUGUUUAUAUUGUUCUGAAAAUGUCAAAAUUAUAAAUUUAUUGAUUACUUUAAUGCCUAAGGCCAAAGGUCUUGAGUUCGAGUUCUCUGUGGCGCGACCUUUUAAUUUCUUUAUUUAAUAUUGUAAAUUUAUCAAAAUAUAUAUAUAUAUAUAUAUAUUGAUUACUUGAACAUGCAUGUAGUGGAGAAAGGGUCCCCACCAUUUUUUGAAAUGAGUGGUUGAGAUUGAAUUUAAGAUGGAUUUUUGGUAAAUAAAGAGUAUUUGUAAGGAUAAAAGAUAAGAAAAAAAGAUGUCAGCCAUGUUCUAAAAAGGAAAGUGCAUACUUUUGGUGGACACAGAAAAUGAAUUCAAUAGGUCAUGUUUCCUUAUUUCAAUAGACUAUUUCCUAAAAUGGAAAGUCAAUACAUAACAAAUAUCCUCGUAUAAGGUCCUCCUAAUUUGGGAAACGGUCAUGGAGGUUAUCCGCCUGACCAAGGCCGCGGAUAUGGAUCACGUUGUGGCAUUCGAUUUGGAGAUGGUUAUCAGCCGCCUCCCGGCGGCUGAUCUAGUAGGUUAUCUACCUCCCAACGGCGGAUAUUGAGGUUAUCCUAGCGGUGGAUAUUGAGGUUUUCCCGGCGGUUGCAGCGACUGCUGAUGAAAAGGCGGACGUCGACACUCAGAGCUAAGCAAGGCAGCCUCAUAAUUAAGCCUAAUUAAGAUGUAAUGAAUAAAAUGCAUACAUACUUGUUAUAUAUAUUAUGAUAUUAUGAUGAUGUAACCGUCUGAUUUAUGUAAUUUUGCUUUCGCUAAUACACCAAGUUUCAAGUAUUUUUAGUUUGGGGGACACUUGUGUUCGCGCAAGUUUAAAACUGCGCGCAUGGUGAGCGCUAUAUUAAAAGAAAAAAAAAAAAAAUGCAAUGGUUUACUAGUAUUUAUAUAUCUGUGAAUGAAAUUAAUAUCAAAAGAACGUGUAGCGGAGUUGGUUAUAGGUCGUGGGUUCAAACUUCAGUGGAGUGAAAUAAUCCAUACGUUUAAUUUAUUAGGCUUUUGCAUAUUUUUUUUAUUGCGUUUUUUAUGUUUUGUUUUUCCAAGGCACUUCUCCACCACAUGGAAAAGUAUAAUUUCAUAUAUUAAAGGUGUCAUUUAAAUAUAAAAAUAAUUAUUAAUGCAGAUGGUGUUAUUUAAUAAAAUAGUGUCAUUUAGAUAUUUUUAAAGUGUUUUUUACUAACAAAAAUAAUAUCAAUGUUAUAGUGUCAUUUUUUUUUUAUCCCAUAAACGAAUGACACUACAAGAUUUCAAAAGAUACUAUACCAUUUCAAAUGACACUACCCGACAAACAAAUGAUAGUACUAUAAGAUUUCAAAUGACAUUACUCUGACAAACAAAUAACACUAUAAGAUUUCAAAAAACACUAUAAGAUUUGAAAUGAUAUUAUAACACUUGAAUAUUUCAAAUGACACCACAAAAUUUCGAAUGUCACAUUAACAUUUCAAAUUACACUACUUCGACAUACAAAUGACACCAUAAGAUUUCAAAUGUCACCAGGGACGGAGCCAGGAAUUAAGUUCGGGGGGGGCUGAACUUGUACGGGGGGGCGGAGGCGGUACGGCCCCCGAGAAAAUUUUUUUUGGGCAUUCUGUAUAUUUAAGAUAUUUUUUAUUAAAAUACGAGCAUAAUACUAAUAAUAACGAACAAUAUUUUCAUAGAUUAUAUAUAGUUUCAAUAUAUCACAAAAAAAAUUUGGACAUUCCGUAUAUUUAAGACAUUUUUUAUUAAAAGACAAGCAUAAUAAUAAUAAUAACAAACAACAUGUUCAUAGAUUAUAUAUUUUCUAUAUAUUACAAAUUAGUUUCAAUACAUUAUAAUUUUUUUUAGCAUUUCAUACAUAUUAGGCAUUUUUUAUUAAAAGACAAGUAUAAUAGUAAUAGUAACAAACAAUAUUUCAUAGAUUAUAUAGUUUUAAAUAACAUAAUUAUCCUUAAAUUAAGUAUAUAUAUAUGAGAGAAUAUAAUAACCAAAUACUCUUUAUAAACAAAUUAUUUAUAAUAGUAUAACAUAUAUACUAUAUAUAUUUAAAAUUAAAAAAAAAAAUUAGGAGGGGCUUACCCCCCCCCCCCCCCCCCCCGGCUCCGUCCCUGACUCUAGGUGCACAUAGUUCGGUUUACCAAUCAAUUAUCCAACUAAAAUCUACAAUCUAUAUCUAUAAUUUAUAAUAUAUAAUAUAUUAAAAACGUAACUUUUAAAUUAAAAUUAAUUUUAAAAUUAUUUGACAAUUUUAUAUUAUUUUUUUUCUUUUUUUUAUUUUAUUUUUUAAAAUUAAAAAAUUCUACUAAUUAUAAAUAUUUAAUCUACAUAUCAAAUUAAAAAUCACGAUAAAAACUUUAAUUUAAUACUCUCUUCGUCCCUUUUAAAUAUCUCAAAAUUAUAGGACAAUUCUAUAAUUUUGAAACAAUAAUAUAUUAAUAUGCAUAUGAGCUCGGACGUCAUGAAAUCUUCAAUAAGUCAUAAGGUGCUCCUCGUAAUUAGAAUGGCAAAAGGAUAAAUAAGUCGAUCGAUAAACAAAGAAUAGAGCAGAUAGUGGAAUUCGUGCUUGGAACUUGAAUUUUAGGUAUCAAUUAAUGCUAUCAUCCGUCCACAAAAUAUUUACUUAUAUUUCCUUUUUAAUCCGUCUAUCAAAUGAAUACUCAUUUCCUUUUUUUUUAUGAGUGUAUCUCACACAACCAUUCACAAUAAAAAUGAAUCCCUUAUUCCCACCCACACACUUAAUUAAUUUCUUAAAAUUAGUGUCAUCUCUAAAUGAGUACUCAUUUCGUGGAUAGAGGGAGUAUCAAUUUUGACCAAGACGUAGAAAAUGAAUCUCAGGUGCAGUCUUCGAGUAGUGGCUUUGUGGAUUUUAUGAUUUAUGUUCCUUAUAUAUUCUCGUUGUCCCUCAAACAUCUUCUUAAAAAAUGGUGAUACGAGUUUUAAUAAAAGUUAAUUGUAUAUUUAAUUAGUGAAAAAUAAAUCCCGCAAAAAGUAAAAAUUGUAAAGAUAAUUCCAAAUAUAAAUUAAGAAGAUAUUUUAAAGAUGGACCAAAAUUGAAAGAAAGAUACUCCCUCUGUCCCAAUUUUUGGUAUCUAUCUUUUCUUUUUUAGUCGUCCCAUAUUUUGGUAUCCAUCUCUAUUUUUAGUAAAAAUAGAUGAGACUCUUACUUUACUUUAAUCAUUUUAACACUCACAUAAAAGGUGGAAUCCAAAUUUUACUCACAACACACUCAACCACUUUAUUAAAAUUCGUGACACUCUCAAAUGAAUACUAAAAGCUUAGACGGAGAGAGUAUUUGAGAGAGAGACGAUGGGAGUAUCUUGUUUUUGUUUUUAAGAAAUUGCAAUGAAACUAAUAGUUUGACUUUAAAAACAAUAGAGACCAAGUCUAACUGGCCCAAAAUCUAAAUGAUAAAACUGUGGGUGUUAUGUAUAUAGAAUGUGGUUCAAAUAAAAAAAUUGUUAUCGUAAGAACUAUAUAAGAACUCUUGGAAUGAACUUAUAAAAUAAAUGACCUGAAAUAAGAAAGAAAAAAGUGUUGAUUUAUUCCCACCAUUCCCAUAAAUUUACAUCUUAAUUCAUACAUACACUAUCAUCAACAACAACUCAUUCUCAGAUCAAUAGCUUCUAACUAAAAUGCGAUCAUUCUCGUUCAUGCAGGCUGGCUAAUAGUAAUAGUUGACCUGACAAUCUGAAUCAACUUUGGGUUAUCACCGAAGCUUCAUCCGAUAUGGCUCGUUUAGAAUUCGUAGGGCUCGUCUUGAUGGGCGCCCAUAUAUCUGCACCGUUGCUGCUAACAACUCCAACGGUGAAUGAGACAGGCACAACGCAUAACCCUCUGGCGCUGAGGCUGGAUCCUUCUUCCCCCUUUUAGAACAAACACGUUAAAAACACCCCGUUUUAGGUGCCCCCGUCAACAUAGAUCAAGUAAUGUGCUAUGCAUAAGCUUUCCUAUUUUAUGGGACAUUAGUCUGUAAUAUACUAUAGGAAUGUAGAGUUGCAACGAAACAAUCUGCAAAUCUGUUAAUGUCGGAUGCGAGGUAGAAAAUAAUAAGCAUACCUGUAAUUGUGUUGGUGUACUAUACAAGUAUGGAGCACUCAGUACCUGAAAAGCACAGGAAAGUAAGAGCAAUGAGGUCACUUGACGUUAUGAGAUGCAACGUCCAAUUUUGCCGGCAAAAUGGUAUUAAAACUAAUAAAAAAGUAUGAUGGAAAUUGGGGCCAAUUUUAUUGAUUCCCUAAUUUCUAGUUUGGGCUGCAUUGUAUUCUUUGAUCAUGUCUAAUAUUGUUGGACACCAACCUAAGUUCCUUUUACUGCCUCAAUACCACCUAGCGACGAGUUAUGGUGAAAUUGAUAUAUAGAUUGUGAGAAAUGGUAAGGGUCUUGAGGAGAAUCUUGAAACGGCCCGGACAAGACAAAUGUCACUAGUGGGAAUUUGUUUACAUCUUUAACCGAAUCAUUGUGAUUUUCUCCAUGUGAUGAAAGCAAGAUUCUAGUCAUCUUAUCAACAGUUAUGCCUUACAGGUGAAUUUUUGGCCAAUUUUCAAGUCCAAAACGAAAAUGAGUUAUUCAUUAAUGAAGGCAAUGCAAGAAAAGGAUCAAACUUCAGCUCAAAGUCGCUGAUAUCUUUUAUUUAGUGAUGGUGAAGAAACGUACCUUAACCUGUUCAUGAAGAAACCUUAUGUACUCCAUUGCUUCUAAAAGGACAGAAGCUGUAUCGGUCUGUAGCGAAUGUAAGAAGUUAGGGAAGGAAAAUUAUUUCAAAAAUGUAAACUGACUGAUGGAUGAAGCACAGUAUACAAAACAUUAAUUACUCAUUUUGCCCCAACUGUCACACCUACACAGCGAAGGAUUGUUUGAACGUGUUAGGGUGUUCCAAGGGAAUGUAUUAGGAGGAAAUGUUCAUGAAAACAUGAUGUGUGUUUGAUUUUAUUUCAAUCAAAAAAAGUAAUUGGGAAGGCUUCCACCUCAUAUGCAUCCAAGAAAAUCGCGUUAUGUUGAAUGGUCAACAGCUAUAAAUUUCUGAGACUCACAUGCCAAAAUCAAAACUGUGCUUGGAGACUGCACCUACCUUCCCAUAUGGUGAGACAAGCUGUUGAAGAGCAGAAAUACGUUCGCUAAUCUUCUCUUUCUUCUCCUGCUCCGAAGAAAAGAGGUAAACAAAGUUGCAUGUGAACUUGCUAAGUCAGUAGAUGCUCAGUUGCGCAAUUGAUAACACAGAGGUUGGGCACUUAAACCCAAUGAUGCAAACAGAUAUCGGACUCGUAGCAUUACUGGAUGAACGAAAGUGACUAACCUUUGAAGAAAGAGAUUCAUCAGUCUUUAGUCGUUUUGGCAUAAUGUCCACGAAGCUGCUUUGCUCGAGAGAGAUAGGGCCUCUUUUAUGUUGCAUCAUCUUCUCCUAUACAAGUUCCUCUUACUAGACAACAAAUGGCAAAAAGUGUUACUUCUAAGCAAGAGGAAAGCGGAAUCCAAUUAAUACGCAGGCACUUAGGGUACUUGCAUACUAAUAAACAGAGUAAUAUAUCUAAUUCAACAAUAAGUGCACUAUAUUCGUUGUAUUAGAGAUGUUCCUUAACUAGACUAAAAGUAAUUAUUCGCAGAAUCAUAUAUUUCUUUAUUCUCUACCUAAAAGGAAGAUCCUCGGAUUCGAAGUUAGGAGUAAAUAAUCAACAACCAUGAAUGCUCCUAGUAGUUCUAUAAAUAGGUCAAGAAUAAACUACAGCCUCCGAAAGUUGGAAACAUCCGAGGUGGAAUAUGCGGACGGGUUCUAAACAGACAACUUGUUGCACCCGAAAGAAAUAUAAGAUUGAUACAAUGCAGUUGGUUUGAUUUAUAUGAAAAAAUUAUACGAAUUCAUAAAAAAACAGAAUAUAUGAUGCAAGUGUAGUGUAUUGAAAUUCACAAGGACAGUACUAUUUUAGUCAAAAUUCCUUAGUUAGGCCUAAAACAUCUCUUUGUUUAAUACGAAAUGUCCCCUUGAAACAACCAACAGGUCUCCUACCAAUAUCAGAUAACAUUAUUUAAUCAUACAAGCUCACAGACAGACAAGUCUACUAUAGAAUAUCAAUUGAACUUCAUGAAUAAUACGAAGCAAACUAUAUACAACGCGGGAACCUACCGACGUCUCCAAUUAUGAUCCAAUCUAGUAUUUUAUUUCACCAUUGUCUACCAAAUUACAUGCAACGAUGAGUGAUGACACAGAAAUGAAAUUGGAAUAGAUAAGGGACAAUCCUCAGCUGUUAUCAAUCCUGCAUUCUCCAAUUUUAGAAAUUCAUUAAUGAUUCAACAAACUCAAUAUCCAUCAACAAUGGAAUCCACACCAGAAACCAGAUUCUCUUGGCUGGUCAACAGCAUGCAUUUUUGUAGUAAAUGAAUGCAGUAGAUAACAACUACCCAACCACCAAAAAUAUUUUCCAAUCACUUAUUUUCCAACUCUAAUAACCCAUUUUUCUGCUUUCUAACAUUAGGAAACAAAACAAAAAAAUUUGGUAAUGUCACAUCCAGAUUUAACAUUAUUACUGACUCGUUUUCGUGUUACAGUGAAAUCUUGAUUCUCCAGAUAUACUGUGAAUGCGACCGAAAACAACAUAAUCGAAAUUAUUAACUCAGCGGGCCCAUACCAUGGACAUUUUUGCACAUAUGGAAUUAAAAAAGUUGUUUAAAUUUGCAGUACUUGGAAUUAAAAUAGCAGUACAGAGCCAUGCAUGUAGGAUUAUAAAACUAUUAUCCCAAUUAUCUAUAUCCACAAUGAAAAAAUAUUCAAAUUCAAGAUUGAUCUCAUUUUCUGUAUACCAAAAAACUUUGUCAAUGGUCUACUAAUUACGCCUUAUUUACGCAAAUUAAGACGACUAAAUACCAAUAAACCCAAGGCAGUUUAACAAUCAAACUCAGGUGGAAAAAAUAAUGUAAAAUCAACUUAUGAAAGAAACGAAAAAGUAGUAAUAAAAAAAAUAUUCAUGGCGGAAUUGAAGGCUAGAAGGGCUCACUCACCCUCAAUGCGAAAUCUGCAUCAGAAUCAGUCAGAAAAAAUGUCGACUUUCGGUAAUGAAGAACGAACAUGAGCUUCAGUAAAACCAAAAAUGGCUAUAAAAAAUCUCGACUUUCGCCGCGGAAUCCACCGCCCCACCUCGAGAAUUCCAUAACCGAAGCCCUCUUUAUACCUAUUAGUGGGCUGAGCGGCGUAGGGAUUUGUGCCAACACAUGUACAAACCUUUGCUUAUUAAGCAACAGCGUGUUUGAGUGUGUGCGUAUUCGUUUUCACACGCGGAACCGGACGCAUACACAAACAAAACACCAGAAGAAACGGCUUUCCUGAAAGGGUUGAAACAGAAAAGCAGGCUGAAAGUUGAGGAAUUCGUGAAUGGGAAUAGGAUCACGAAAAUCGUGGCUGUCUUGAGAGAGAGCGAGAGAGAGGAGAGGGAGAGGGCUGGGAGUUUAAAAGUGAGUUUAUAUACGUAUAGUUAUAGUUAGUCACAGUAUGAUAUUGUGGAAGCUUAAAAGAAGUGGAAAUUGGAAGGAAAAGAAAAAAGGGAGAGGGAGAGAGAGAGAUGUGGAAAAUGGAAAAGAGUAUUUAUUUAGUAUAGACAGCUAAUAUACAGCGAGGGAAUGGAAAGGGAAAGGAGGAAGAGUAGUUCGAAAUGAGGUCACUUCACUUUUACUUUUGACUUAUAAUGGAUAAUGACUGCUAAUGCAAGUAAUUUUUUUCUUUCUUUUACCUUUUCUUUUACUGAUUUUAUAUGGCUUUUCAGUCUUAGCUUGGGGUAAGUGUGAGUAAAAGGAAAUACCUUAUAUAGCAUAGCAUAUUAGCAUUGUUGUAGGUUUCUACAAAGUGAUCCACAUAAUGUUUUGAAUUAUCUUUAACACCAGAUUUUGGUUGGUUAGAAGGCAAGUGGCAUUUCCAAGCAACCAAUGUGAUGGAUAUCAUUCUAAGAAGAUACUGAUCUUCCUUAAAAGUGUAUUUGAUUGUUUCUAUCGUAUAAAUAAUUUGAGUUACUGUUUAAGUUCUUUGGCCUUAGAAUUUUUGGUAUCGUUUAUUUAUUGCUUCAUUUUAUUUGUAUGUCAACUUCACUAUUUUUAAUUUUAUACAAUGUAUUUAAUAUUGAGCCAUUAUCUAGGUAUAAGACAGAUUAAAGGCCUUUCAAUACGAGCCUCGAAAUUUCAGUAAAUUUAAAAUCUAUCUCUCUCUCUCUCUAUAUAUAUAUAUAUAUCAAAUAUAUGCACACCUAAAAGUUAGUUCUAAGAGCAUCCACACUAGCGAUUCGAUCUAACUGACUCGAGUAAGUUAAAGAUCGAGUCACCCCACUGUAGCCCUUCCUUACUCGAGCAUUACUCGAUUUAUCGAGUAUGGCUCUUUCUCUCUUAAGUGAAGCGUGAAUGCACGAUUUAAUUAAAAAAAAUGUUAAAUUUGAACUGCUUUCCAACUAUCUAUUAUCUUGCCAAUUAUUUCAAUUGCUUUCCCACAUCAUUUUGCUUUUCUUCUCAUAAUAUAUCUUUUCCCAAUUAUACGUGCGAAUUCUGGCCCGAAAUAAAAGGAAUAAAAUAAAUUGAUAAGUUAAAAAUCAACAUUUAAACUAAAACAAUAAACGAGACACAGAUUUUACGUGGUUCGAUCAUAAGAUCUAUAUCCACGGUGGGUCUUCGGAGUUUUUCACUAUAUCGAGAGUGUUUACAUAUCUUAUCAGUUGGUGAAUGAAUCCCCUAAAUUUACCAGUAAAUGUGCUAUUUAUAGUUUGUAAAUAAACCCUAAUUCUAAAGGCUCACUCAUUUAGUCAAUUAGGCCCAAAACUCACUACAAUAGCCUUAGUUUCGGAGCUGAAUUAUCAUACGCCGUCUGCGCGGGUAAGCUUCUUGGCUACGCGGCUGCGCGGGUAAACUUGGUUGCGCGGGUAAACUUCUUGGCUGCACGGCUGCGCGGGUACGUUUCUUGUGCAAUAAUUAUUCAUUCCAUUUACUUAGGUGGAUUUCUUACUCUUUAUCUGAGAUAUUCGAUUGUACCUGUGCUUGGUAAAUUCUAUUUAAUAAUAAUAAUAAUUGAGAAAGAUAUUUCAGUAUUAUUAAGCACAACGCUGAUGAAGGAUUUAGUCCUCAUCAUAAAUAAUGUUACAAUGUUUUCCCAAUAGUAGAGGUUUUUAAAUUUUUAAGUUUUAUGUAAUUUUUAGGAUUUUAAAAUUAAUGUAAUUUAAAUUUGAAGUAAAUUGUGUUAUUUAAAUUUGUGCAAUUAAAGUUAAAUGAAAAAUACAAAAAUCAAAAUUAAAAAGAUCAAGUAAGAGAUCAAGUCAUCUCAUUGUGACAUCCUUACUCAUUGUAGUCGCAUCAUUCUAUCAAGUAAGCUAUCAAGUCAUCCCACUGUAGAUGCUCUAAAAACCUACCCAUAAACCAAUUGUCAAAAUCAAAGAUAUGACCCAAGCCCACGGAUACAUAGCAUGUGAUCGAGGCCGGCUGCGUCGAACGUAUGUGUAUUUACACAUAAUUUAUUUUGUGCAUAUAAUUAUUACAAUCAAAUUUGUAAUAACUUUAUAUAAACAUACUGAAUAUUAAUUAAUCAAUGUGAAAUAAAUAUUAAGUAAUUUUUUAAACAUGCAUAAUUUAUUCAUAACAACUUUACUUUUAAGUGUAUUAGUAGUAAUUAAUAAAGGUAUUUUGUUUUUAAAUCUGGAUUGACAAAAUUGUUUGCUAUCAAAUAGUCGCGUUCGAAAACAAAUAGUUGAGUGAACUUUAAAAUUGAAUUAUAAUGACGAUGAGAAAAAUGUUUGAAGUCAUUAUUUUAUACUCCCUCCGUCCACAAAGUAUUGUCUCAUUUACUGUUCGGCACAUGUUUUAAGAAAGCCGAUAAAGUGAUUGUGAGUGAAAUAUAAGGGUAGUUGACUAACGUGAUAAAGGUAGUUGACUAAAGUGUUAAAGGUGUUGUGUGGUGGGUCCACUAGUAAUAAAGUGGAAUAAAGUAGAAUAUAAAAAUAAAAUAAGUUGUUGUAUGGUGGGUCCAUUAAUGACAAUUGAUGGUAAAUAAAUGAAAGAAAAAAGGGUGUAGUGGUACAAAAAGCAGAGUAAGACAUUACUUUGUGGACAAGAAAAAAUGAGUAAAUAGGGCAAUAUUUCGUGGACGGAUGGAGUAGUAUCUAGCGCAUAUUUUAUACGAAUGGGUCAUAGUACUUCAUUCGUCCCAAUUUUUAGUAUCUAACUUUCAUUUUUUAAUCGUCUCACAUUUUAAUAUUUAUUUUUAUUUUUAGUAAAAGUAGGUGAGAUCUAUUUUAAUACUCAUAUAAAAUAUAAAACCCUUAUUUCACUCGCAAUACAUUCAACCACUUUAUUAAAACUUGUGCUAACCUCAAAUAGAUACUACAAGUUGGAACAGAGGGAGUAUUUAAAAGUAGAAUUUACUAAUUACUUGCAUUUAAAUUUUAAAAUAUGAUAAAUGUUGGGCGUAAAAUGUAAUUAAACACAGUAAAAGUCAAGUCCUUUUCUUUUAUUUAAUUAUUUCCCUUUAGAAUGGGUUUUUGAAAAAAUGAGCAUUUGUUUCCUGCUUGGCGCCAAUUUGCUAUCUGACGAGCUUUUAGUAGUAAGUAGAGUGUAGUGUCCCCACAUCUGGACGGUGAUUGGAACCGUACACGUGUCACAUCGGAGACACGUGUAAGCCUGAGAAAAGUGAAGAAGAAAUCUGGUGCGGGGCCCCUACUGGUACUGAGCCGUGCACAAAAGUCCAACGUUGGGGGUGCAAUUCUAGAAAGUGGGCCCACGCGGUUUGGACUUUGCUUCACUUCCACUUACAAUGUCUUUGUACAAUUUUACCCUCGCAAUGCUGCAAUAAUUUUGUACGACGCUUCACUUGCAUUCUUGCAAUUAUCCAACAAAACCCUUGUUUUAUCUAAUCCUAUUCAUUUUCUGUUAGAUGUUUUAAAAAAUUAACUGUUUAUUUAGCUAUACAUUAUAUUACCUCCGUCUCUAAUUUAUCAUUUUCGUUCGUCUUUAUAAAAUAUAUUCAAUUUAUUUUCAAUAAAUUUUUCAUUUAUAAUAAAAUGAGACUCUUACUCCACUCACAAUAUAUUUCAUCACUUUAUUAAAAUUUAUAUCAUUAAUAUAUUUUAUGAAGACGAAAGAAAUAUCAUCUCAAACGAAAUUAAUUAUGUCGGAAAGUUCAAGAGAUUAUGGAAUGUGGGAAGAUGCAAUAUUGCAUCCUACCUUUUGAAUCUUUUAUCACACCAUAAUUGGAUUUUCAAAUGUUUACAAUUUGGCACUUUCUCUAUCUCAUGAAAUUUAAGCAAAUUUUUUUUUACACGAAUUUAAAGAGUUAGUAUUUUGAAUACGUUAGUGUGGUAUGUGAAAAUAAAAAAGAAAAUAUGAGUAAAGAAAGAAAAAUAUCAUAUAAAAAAAGUGUUCAAAUUUUAUAGGACAAUUCAAAUAGAAUAUCGUUCAAACUUCACGAACCGAGAGAGUAAUAUCUAAGAUUAAUAUUUAAGAUUUAUUCCGAUAUUCAAAUUCAAGUACUUGAAAUCAACAUGGACGGUGUGGUGGGACUCUUAAUAUAUAAUAAUGUCAAAUUUCAAAACAAAAAUAUUGUUGAAAUAUUAUAAUCCACGUCACAUCAAAAUGACGAUGUUUUGAUAUAUAAAUUCGAAAUAAUUGAAAAGACAUGUCAUUUAUCAUGUUUUUGAAGCGUAUGGUGGUGACGAAGUGGCGUCAUUUUUAGAAUAUAUUUGUCUCUAAAAAUUGUAAUCUUAUUAUUAUUAUUAUUAUAUAUAUUGAUAUAUAUUUAAAAAUUAUGAUAUUUUUUUAUUUGAAAAUGAUUUCAUAAAUUCUCAUUUCAUCAUUUACAAAAUAAUGUGGAAUCAGUUUCCACUCAAACACAAUUAUCAUAUAUUUUCCUAAAAAUUAUGUUAUCUUUAUUGGGUCACAAUUUUUAGGGACGAAUGGAAUAUAUUUUUAUCUUAUUUUAUAAUUAUCUUUUAUAAGGGGUUUGAUUAAAAUAAUUAGUAAGAAGAUAUUACUCCCUUGAUCCACAAAAAUAAAACCUAAGGAAAGAUGGUACGAGUUUUAAAAAAAAUUGUACAUUGUUUAUUGAAUGAGUAGAGAAAUAAGCACACAAAUUAGGGAAAAUAGAAAAAAUAAAUAAAUAAAUUAGUGAGUGGACAAAUGAGCCAGAGUUAGUGAGUAGAAAAGGUAGCCCACAAAUUAGUCAAAUCUUUAUUAAAAAUAGAUUAAGAUAUAUUUUUGUAGACGAACGAAAAUAACAAAUUAAGUAUUAUUUUUGUUUUUAAUAAAAUGUUGUAUAGUGUAUUGAGAGUGGAGAAAAAGUUGUAAAGUGUAUUGGGAAUUGUGAAAAAGUAUUAAUAAUUUAUUGUGUUAUUUUAAUUAAUGUUAUUUGAGUGGUGAGAAUUGUCUUAAAAGGGGAGUAUUUUUUAAGUGGUGGGGUAUUGUCCCAAAAUAGGAAAAAGUAGGAAGUUCUUUCGUGGACGUCCCGAAAUAGAAAAAUAGGAAGUUCUUUCGUGGACGGAGGGAGUAUUUCUUAAAAUCGGUGUCGUGUACAAAUAAAUACUCAUUUCGUGGACGGAUGGACGGAGAGAGUAUUAUUCUUCCUAAAUAUCCGGUCAUGUACAGCUGUCUGGUUUGGUUCUCACUCAAGAAAAUAUUUCUUUAUUUGGCUUAAAAAGGAAUACAUAUAUUUCUCUAUUUAAUCUCGUAUUCUACGAAAAUUCUUUUCUCUCACAUCAAAAACUAGAUUUUGAAGAUGGCGAAAAAAGUGGAGGUGAUUUCUUCAUCUCUUGUCCGCGGCACUGCUACGGCUGCUUCAAUGUCAAGAUUAGAGCUUAAUCCAUGGGAUUUACGAUUCCUCUCAUUCGUCCCCAGUGAAAGAGGCCUCAUAUUCCACAGCCCUCACUUUCAAUCCAAGCAAAACCUAAUCCAACACCUCAAAAACUCCCUCUCCCGCGCUCUCGACUUCUUCCCUCCCCUCGCCGGCCGCCUCGCCGCCACCAGUCACGGCGGCGACACGGCGAGCUUCUUCGUGGACUGCAACAACGCAGGAGCCGAGUUCACUCAUGCAGUCGCCGCCGCCGUCUCCAUCUCCGACAUCAUUGAGCCGAGGUAUAUACCGGAAAUCGUAUCCUCCUUGUUCCCGAUCAACAUCGGCGUCACCAAUUACGAAGGAAUUUCAAAACCUCUGUUGGCGGUGCAAGUCACGGAGCUCGCCGACGGCGUCUGCAUCGGCUGCGCCGCCAAUCACGCCGUCGUGGACGGCACCUCCUUCUGGCAUUUCUUCAGUUCCUGGUCGGAGAUCUCCCGCGGUUUGAAAUCGAUUUUGAAAUCCCCAAUUUUCGACCGCGCCGCCAUUGAUAACAGACUCAUCCAUAUCCCUACAUUAGAGAAAAACCUAAUCGCUCCAUCUCAAUUGCCGCAGAAGGUAUUCCACUUCAGCAAGGAAAAAUUAGGUCAAUUGAAGGCUAAAGCCAAUUCCGAGGCCGGCACUGACAAAAUAUCUACUCUGCAAGCACUCAUGGCUCAUCUAUGGCGGAGCGCAGUUAGCUCUCAGACCACCAACGAUUCAACCACUCGCGUUAUACUAUUCGCCGUCGGUGCAAGAGCGAGGAUGUCGUCUUUGCCGGAUGCCUAUUUCGGGAACGCAUCUUACCUUGCUGUGUUGGUGAUUAGCGAGAGCGAUCUAUUGCAGAGAGGAUUGGGCGCCGCCGCGCUCAGGAUCAACGACCUGAUUUCUCGGCAAACCGACGAAGCGGCGGUGCGCGACUUGGCGAAGAAGGUGGAAUUUCUCGCGUCUGACGGGAGUGGCGCUCCGCCGCCUCUUAUCAUCGGGAGUUCUCCGCGACUCGACGUGUACGGGUGCGAUUUUGGGUGGGGGAAGCCAAUUGGUGUGAGGAGUGGGAAGAUGCAGAAAAUGGAGGGGUUGGUGUUAGUUUUUCCGGCGGCGGAGGGCGGCGGUAUCGACGUAGAAGUUUGCUUGGCGGAGGAGACAUUAGAUGCAAUGGAGUGUAUGAUGCGUUAAUAUAUGGGUUUUUGUAUUAUUCGUGUUUCAUGGUUGAAUCUUGAAUGAAGGAUCGUAUAAAAAAUAUAAUAAACUUAAUCCCUUAUUUAUUUUGAUGGAUCGUAACUUUGAGAUAUUUCAAGGCUCUUGAUUAUUUUUUUUAUUUAAGUUAGUUUUGUUUAAUUCUAAUCCGAUCAAAAUGGUGAAAUUAGAAUAAUUCUAUUUUUAAGGACAAAAAUACUCAAUUCUCUAUUUUAUCAAUCAUACUAAGUAAAUGUCCCCUUAGGGCUCGUUUGGUGCUCAGUAAGGAAUUAGUCAGUAUAGUUAGUAAACUAGAUUAUUAGCGUGAAUAAAUAUGUGUUACUAAUAUUGGUUGGUUGUUUGCUAUUAUGGUUAAUUAAUCAUGAUUUUUGUUUGGUAUCCAUAUUUCUAGAUUAGAUAAGUUUAAAAAUGGACACAAUUGAAGGGUCGUAUUAAUUAUCCUGCAUAAUCCGAGGGGAAGGCGGUAUUAAAAAUGGACACAAUUGCAUGACCUUUUGUGAAAGUUCGGAAUUAAUAUUUACCACUAAAAAUUGAAAUUAAAAAAAAUUAUAUAUCCUAACUAUGAAUUAAUUAAUCCAAAUAAUUCAUUAUUAAUUCAAAUAAAUAUAACAAAAAAAAAUUAUAAACCCUCAUUGUAUGAGCUAGUGAACCCUUGUUAAUUAAUUCAUCUGUCUCAAAUUUUGGUAUCUAUGGACUACAUUCUCAUUUUAAUUCGUCCCAUAUUUUGAUAUGUAAUAGUAAAAGAUUUAUUGAGAAUAUAUAAACAUUUAUAUAACAUAUAACGACAAUAAUAAUUAAAAAAAACAAAACAAAUUUGGAAACUUAAGGAUUUACAUUCAACAUACAUAGAUUACACAAAAAUGGACCACAAACAAAUUUGGAAACUUUAAGGAUUUAUUCAAGCAUUUACAUUCAACAUACAUGGAUUACCCAAAAAUGGACAACAAACAAAUUUGGAAACUUUAAGGAUUUAUUCAAGCAUUUACAUUCAACAUACAUAGAUUACACACAAAUGGACAACAAAAUUACAUUUUAUAGCUGUCCAACACAUUAUUAACUUUCCAACACAAUAAGCUUCACUCAAACCCUCUCUCUCUCUUCAAAUCUACAGCAAAAUGAAAAUCUAUUUCCAGCUAACAUCUAUUUAAUCUGUGUAUUCUACCAAAAAAAUUUCUCUCUCACACCCAACAUUAGAAUUUGAAGAUGGCAAAAAAAGUCGAGCUGAUUUCUUCAUCUCUUGUUCGCGCCACUGCAACUGCUGCUUCAAUCUCAAGAUUAGAGCUUACUCGAAGCGAUUUAUGGUUACUCACACACUUUCCCGUUCAAAGAGGCCUCAUAUUCCACAGCCCUCGCUUUCAAUCCCAUCAACACCUAAUCCAACACCUCAAAAACUCCCUCUCCCGCGCUCUCGACUUCUUCCCUCCCCUCGCCGGCCGCCUCGCCGCCGCCCCGUACGGCGGCGACACGGCCAGCUUCUCCGUGGACUGCAACAACGCCGGAGCCGAGUUCACUCACGCAGUCGCCGCCUCCGUCACCGUCUCCGACCUCCUCGGGCCGAGCUACACGGAAAUCGAUUCUUCCUUGUUCCCGAUCAACGUCGGCGUCCAUAAUUUCCAAGGAAUUCAAAGCCUCUAUUCGCGGUGCAAGUCACGGAGCUCGACGACGGCCUCUUCAUCGGCUGCGCCGCCAACCACGUCGUCGUGGACGGCACUUCCUUCUGGCAUUUCUUCAACUCCUGGUCGGAGAUCUCACGCGGUUCGGAAUCGAUUUCGAAAUCCCCAAUUUUCGACAGCUGCAAUACCGCCGCCGCCGCCGCCGCCGUUGAUAACAGACUCAUCCAUAUCCCUACAUUAGAGAAAAACCUAAUCGCUCCAUCUCGAUUGCGGCAGAAGGUAUUCCAUUUCAGCAAAGAAAAAUUAUUUCAAUUGAAGGCUAAAGCCAAAUCCGAAACCGGCACUGAGAAAAUAUCUACUCUGCAAGCACUCAUCGCUCAUCUAUGGCGGAGCACAGUGCGCUCUCAAAUCGCUAACAACUAUCCAACCACUGGCGUUUUGAAAAUCGUGAUUGGCGCGAGAGCGAGGAUGUUGUCUUUGCCGGAUGGAUAUUUUGGGAACGCGCUUUGUUCUGCUGCGUUGGCGAUCGGCGAGGGCGAGCUAUUGCAGAAAGGAUUGGGCGCCACCGCGCUCAGGAUCAAUGAGGUGAUUUCUGCGCAAUCUGAGGAGGCGAUGGCGCGCGACGCGGAGAAGAAGGUGGAAUUUCGGCAAAUGGAGGUGGGCGUGGGGAGCGCGCCCCCUCUUAUCAUUGCAGAAUCUCACCGGUACGAUGUGUAUGGCUGUGAUUUUGGGUGGGGGGAAACCAAUUGCUGUGAGGAGUAAGAAGGAUCAGAUAUUUGACGGGUCGGUGGCGGUUUUUCCGGCGGCGGAAGCCGGCGGUAUCGACCUUGAUGUUUGCUUGAAGGAGGAGACGUUACGGGGAAUGGAGGAGUUCCUCCAUCAAUAAGGGCAUGCACUAUGGGGCGCGGACGCCGGCGCGCACCGGGCGCGCGCCCCCCAUUGCCGCACCUCCUUCCCCCGCUCCCAGUCCCCUUUCGAACCCGAUGCACAUCCGUUUUUGAUUGGGCACGUGUUAUACACAGCUCGAUCAAUCAGAAAAAUAGAAGCAUAUUAAAAAAUAUAUAUUUUAUUAUCUUUUCCAUUCACUUCCUUAUUCUCACUUUUCUAUUUACAGUCAUUUUCACGCUCGCCUCCACGAUGAUUUAGUCUAUGAACAGACAUACCUGAGCUGGGUUCUUUGAACAGACAUCUUUUUUGUGGCUGUUACUUCCACAAAGGCUACAAUGCUGUGUCUUCCCUUUCCUACUCAGCUUGUGUUGAUGCCUGGGCUCAUGUUUAGCCCCCAGCCUAUUCUUUUUUGGCCUCCCAACCUUUCCUCACACUUUUUUUCUCUCAAAAUGCACUCACCAAACUCGUCGAUCCCGUGAAUUUGACAUGUUUUAAUUUGGCUUCUUGUCAAGGUUUUGUUCGCUAUUAUUUUCACCACGCCGCAAGUAUACGGGUAGUUGUAAUAUAUGGAAGCAAGGUCGUAUUCCACAAGGAUUAGUAGUUCAAUCUAGUGAUUAUCCUAAUUCAUUUUACUCGACUAUUUAGACUAAACGAUUGAGUGAUUGGUUUGAUUAUCUAACUAAAUACUUAACAAGCGCAAAGACAAAUAAAAAUCAAAUAAGCAAAGUGGAUAAAUAAGAUGAUUAAGGCGAUUUAGGGACUAGGCAUCGAUGAUUAAGUAAAAGACUUCAAUUAUAGCUCAAUAUUAAUCUUGACAAUCCUAAUUAUCUAGAGUGAUCUCCCAACUAGUUCUAGCCCCCUCCCGGACGACUAGAGCGGUAGAUUACGGGUCAUAGUUGCCGUCCCCGGUCAACUUCUAACCUAUAACUCCCAAAAGCACACAAGGAUCGACAUACUCUCACCCAACUCUCAACCUCCCGGUUAUCGAAUUGAUAUGUUUCAAACACCUUAUCUAUUGCAAUUAUCCUCUCCCGAUUCAAUGUGCAAAUUAGAAAUGCAUAGAAUGUGGCCAACAAUCCAUACAAGAAAUAAAUCAAGGGUUUGAAAAGAUAAUGUGCAAAUGAACAAACAAGAUUUAUAUUGAGCAUAAAUAAUCAAUCCAUUACAAUAAUCAUCUAGCCUAAUCCCCAAAUCAAAGAGAAAUUUAGCCUAACAUGUUCAAACACAAUAAAUCAAAAUUAAAGGUGUACAUAAUGAAAGAGAGAGUAAGAAAUGACAAAUCCUAUUAUCUUGAUCUUCAAUCAUGUAGUCUUGAUGAGCUCCUUUCCAAGUCUUCCCCUUCUUUAUUUGAUUUUGGUGUUGUUUUUGUGUGUGAAAGAGAGAAAAAUGGUAGAGAUGAAGGCUAGGGUUUGGAAUUGGAGUGUUGGGGAAGAUGAAGUGGGUGUGUGUGGUGAAUGAUAUGAGAAAAGAGGGGAAAAAUGGAGUUUUGGGCUAAAAAUCACGUCUGGGCCCACCAAAAGGCGGAUCCCCGCCUCUUCCCCGCGGUCACGGCAUGAACCGCGGUUGAAAACGCGGCUGGAAGCAGGGGAGGCCGCGGUCAUGGGCCGCGGCCGCGGCUCGGACCGCGGGUGACUGUAAAAAACGGGUGUCUGCGAGCUGACCGGGCAAUUUUGGAGCAGAGGCCCGCGGUCGGGCCCGUGGCCGCGGCCCGGACCGCGGGUGCUUGGGCUUUAUGCGCAGUCAGCUUGUUCGGCUCCGUUCUCCCUCGUCCGGACUCGGAUUUGGUCACCGUUUGCGCUCACGAAUUCCUAUCGAGACGUACUUCGAUUUCAUGUCUUCAAAAUCCUCCAAUUAAUCCUUGAUUUUCCCUGAAAUCACUCCAAAACUACACCAAGGAAUCAAAACUCAAAAUUGGGAUACAAACACAUAUUAGCAAUCAAUUCAUGGGGGAAAAUGACAACAAUUCAUGCGAUAUUGAGGUACAAAAACCAUGUUUGUCAACCCCCCAAACUUAAAGCGUUGUUUGUCCCCAAACAACAAAGAGAAGAGAAAUAAAAGAUAACAAACAUGUGAGAAUGAAUUGGUGUCAUUUCAAGGGCUUCAAAUUUUUCAAAAAAUCUUUAAAAAGUGUAUCACAAGUAGAAAUGCAUUCCAAGAAAUCACAAGUGAUGAAGAGUUCAAUAUUAUGGCCUCCAAGCUUGAAUCCUCACAAAUGUGGAUGUUUCAAUGAUGCACUCAACUCUCAAGUGUUUAGAUUGGACGUGUUUGCACUCAAAUUGAACCAUGUAUGCAAUCUACCAUAGGCUUGCCAUUUAUCCUAACUCUCUAUACUUCAAUGUGUUAUAAAUAAUGAUCAACAAGGGCUUUCAUAAGGUUGUAAUGAGGGCUCUUUGGUGAGGUGAGGUGUUUUUAGGCAAAUGACUCAUAUUCCACAAUCUAACAAUCACAAUGAACAAGUCAAAUUCACCAUUUCUCUUUUUUAAUCAAUCAAAAACCAAUAUCCCCACAUUUCUUCUUUUCACCCUUAGUGAUACUUAUCAUGAUAUGAUUCAAAAGGCAAAUCACUCCCCUUUAUGCUCUUUUAUUCACAUUCAUUUUCUAUUUUUUUUUCUUUUUUUUCUUUUUCUUUUUAAGUCUCAUAGGGGACUAGUGAUUUUCACUCAAUCAAAGCUUGAUAAGCAAUUUCAAUCAUUUCCCAAACAUUUUCAUCAAAGUAACCACUAACAAUCUAAGUUCUACCCAUCAUUGGUUAAUUCAAAGAAAUGCUACAAGGCACAAAGAGGGUAAACUAGGAUCAUAUGAGAAUUUGGACACAAUUUAAGUCAAGUGGCUAACAAGGAUGGCCUUAAAUCACUUCAAUAUUAACAACACAUCUACUUUUAUUUUCAAGAGAGGACUCAUGGCAAGUUCUAGAGAUCAACACACAUGCUCAAAUGAUUUACACUCAAGAACAAAAUGAGAUUGUAAAUGUAUGACAAUCAAAGGCUCAAUUCUCACAAGCUCAUUUCUUUUUCAAGUUCUUGGAGGUACAACAUUUAGCUCAUUGUCACAAGUUCAAACUCUACAUGCAAAAUCAACAAGUGAUACACAACAAUUUCUUUUCAAAAGCAACAUUCAUAUCAUAAGCCCAACACACAUUUCAUCCAACUCAUGUGUUUCAACAAUCAAGCUCAAAAACAAAAGACAAGGAAAAGCUCAAAAACAGAGACAAAAUCUCAUUAUUCGAAAACUAAACUAACUAAAUAAAUAAACAACGGAUAAACGAGAUAAGUAACCCAUCUUCACCCUCCCCCAAACUUAUUUCACACAAAAGAGAAAUAAGUUUGGAUGAAGGAGAAAAUGGUUACUUGUCUCGUACUCACAAACGAGGUGGAGGCUUAGGCGGUGGCCAUUCUCAUCAAAUUUGCAUGCUCCAUCCACCGCGACCCAAAAAUAUGGUGGCUUUGCAAUUCUUGAGACAUCCCGGGCGUCAUGGUAAUCUCGUUCACCAUCUAGAGUACCACCACACUCAAACAAUUCCUUAUUAGACAAAUCAAAGUGAAAAUCAAAAGAUGAAGAUAAAUAAAAGUGAAAGAAGCAAGCCUUCAUAGAAUCGCCCGUGGCGAGGUAAGGAUCGACAAAAUUUUUGACUUUGCUUUCUUUAAAGCUUGUGAAAUCUUCAUCUUUUUGAAAUUGUAGAGGUUGUGUCGGAAAAGUUGGGCUCUCGACUUCAAGGGGUUUGGAGAAUUGAUCCUCAUCUUCUUCAUACUCUUCUUCAACUUCUUGAGGCUCUUCACUUAGCAUUGGCAUUGGUUCCUCAUACAAGGUUCCAUUUUGAAGGCUAAUGGCCAUGCACAAAUCAUCAAUUCGCUUUUGAUUUUCCAUAGUGGUANAGACGUUAUCUCCGUAUGACCGCAUUUGAUUGAUUAUUUUCCAUUAUUCUUGUAGAAAUAAUCUUUUUGUCGGCUUCUGAAUCUUUCAUUUUAAGAUUCUCUAGUUCUCGCCUUAAACUUUGCAGUUUAAUGGUUCGAACUUUAACAUUUCCUUGGAACUCCUCCUUAAGGAUAUCCCAAGCUUCUUUUGCAGUAGUAGUCUCGUGAAUAGUGGAAUGAGGUAGACUCGCUCAGUCCAUCCUAAUAUCGGGGAUUUUAGGAGCCAUAAGUAAAGAAAUUAGAGGAAGGUGCUUGUAUAGCGAGAGAUCUGUUGCGAAGGAUUGGCGCGGACGGAUCAACGGAGGAAUGCGAAGAGAAGCGAAGAGUGAAGUAAAACAAGGUAGAAUCGACAAUAGGAACGGAUGCAGCGCUCCGCCGCUAUAUGGAGUAUCCCCGACACUGUAGGCGAUUUGGUGAGCGGUGUGAGGAGUGGGAAGAUGCAGAAAGUUGAGGGGUUGGUGAUAGUUUUUCCGGCGGCGGAGACCGGCGGUAUCGAUGUAGAAGUUUGCUUGGCGGAGGAGACGUUACAUGCAAUGGAGUGUAUGAUGCGUUAAUAUACGUAAAAAUCCAGUCAAAUAUAGUCUCAUUGAUAAUAUUUCACUAUUUUUAAAUAUAAGAUUUAUAAAAAUAUAGUUAGUAUGUAAAGUGAGUUGAAGAAAAAUAUUUAUGAAUUAUUUUAAAUGAGGUGGUUUAUAUUCAAUUUUAGCGGUUUUAUGUUAUGAAUUCCAUUUUAACUUUUAUAAUUUAUUGAUUAUAUUCCAAUCUUUUCAAUUUAUCAAAUUUAUUCUAAUUUUUCUAACUUGUACCAAUUUUAUAAAUUGUUUUCCCGAUAAUUAUUUUUUUAAUGAUAAAAAUUAAAGUGAAAUUAUAAUAUUCUCCCACAUAAAACAUAUUUUUCGAAUUGAGAUGUUAGAAGAAUCAUGAUACAAUGCAAUAGAUACGUUUUACUAAUAAGCUUAGUCAGUCCAGUUAAAUAUCCGAUACGAAAAUUUUAAAUACAUGAUCAAAUUAAAACAUAUAUGUAAAAUUCAUGAUUUUUGAAAAUAUAUCAAAAUUGAAGUCAUACAUCAUGAAAACGUUAAAAUUGGCAUUAAAAUCCAAAUAAAAAUAUUAUAAAUAUAUCAUCUUUGUAAAAAUACAUGCUUUUAUAAUAAAAUAAAUUACGAAAAUACCUCUACAAAAAUCACAAAAUCUUAGGAGGGUUAAGUAAUUCCACUGUCUCCAUGUGGCUCCGCCGCAUAUUCAAAUUGUUAGCUCUCAAAAGAUCGAAGCAAAACAAAAAUAAAGAAAUUUAAUUAGACGAGAUUUACGUGGUUUGACUGUGAAAGUUUACGGCCACAGAGGGCCAAUCGCAAUCUCAUUAACUUCGUCGGAGAAGAUAACCGGAAUUACAGACACUCACUUUCAGCUAACGAGAAACUCAAUUAGUGAACUCUCCACAGUGUAUCUCUCAAAAACUCUUUUUCUCUCUGAAUCAAAACUAGAUUCACAGAGUCACUCAUGCAAAAGCUGCUGCACCGAAUACAUACAAAAUAUCGCAACUAAUUCUAAAGAAGAAGAGCAAAACGACGUAGUCUUUCACAAUGGUAGUUAUAACUACUUUACAUCCACUUUGCAACUAACUCCUCUGACUUCUGUAUUUUGCACAUAAGCCCCUAUGCAUCUUUAGUAGGCAUCCCAUGUAACACAAAUCAUUACACUUAUGCUAUUUUGGUCCGUUCACAAUAUCAUUUAUGGUCCACAUAACACUUUAUUUUCCUUCACAUAUUUAUAAUGGAACCCAAACUCCACUUACAUCAAUAUUCACUAUUAUCCAUAAUUUUGUUAAAACUCGUGUCGUUCACAAUGUAGAAACUAUAUCGUGGAUGAAUGGAGUAUAUUUUAACAAAAAUACUUACAAAUAUCAUAUUGAAGAGGCGUUUAUUUUGCAUGAUUGAUAAAAUGGAUAAUUAAGCAUUUGUAUACUCAAUAGUAGGAUUACUUCAUUCUCACCCUUUUGAUAUGAUGAAAAGUAAUCAAGGAUCUUGAAAUAUUUCAAAGUUUCAAACCAAUAAAAUAAAUAACGGAUUAAUCUUACUAUUUUUAUCUAUCAAAGUUAAUUCUUAAAAGUAAAGACCCCUAAAUAUAUAAGUGAUCUGAACGGUCGCACGUAAAAUAAAAGUUAGAUAUUUAAGCUUCAUUCUAUCAAAAUUCUUUUCUCUCACGUCCAAAAAAUUAGAGUUUGAAGAUGGCAAAAAAAAUGGUCGAGCUGAUUUCUUAAUUUUCGUGCCAAAAAAAUUUUAAGCCACUUAUAGUGAGACGAAGGGAGUAUCUUUUAUCAUCAAGUUGAGAAAAAAAAUACAAAACAAUUCGUAUCUUAUAUCAAAAUAAAAUAAACCUAAAUACGCAAGAAAAUUAUAAGUAAAUACAAAAUUUGGUAAGAAUAUACACUUACAUAACAAUAAUAAACAAAUUUGAAAACUUCCAAAGGUCUUUAGUUCGAGUUCCCUGUGGAGCGGCCUUUUAAUUUUUUUUAUUUACUAUUGUAAAUUUAUCCAAAAAAAAAACAAAAACAAGAUUUAUUCAACCAUUUACAUUCAACAUACAUAGAUUACACACAAAUGGACAACAAAAUUACAUUUUAUAGUUGUCCAACAAAUUAUUAACAUUCCAAUUGCUAUCAAAACUUUGAUAGUAGACAACAAUCUAAGCAUCACUCAAACCCUCUCUACAAAUCUACAGCAGAGGCUCUCUCUGAUUAGUAACAACAGCUACACAUCGAUUACCCUUAGCCCUCUCCUGCCAUAUUCUCUCCACUUCCUCAAACGACAAGCCCUUCGUUUCCGGAAUGUAAACAGCCACAAAUACGAACGCCACGACAGCUAUGGCAGCAAGAAUCAAGAACGUCGGGCCGGUGCCCGUGGCCUCGGCUAUCGACAGAAAGCUUUGAGCUACAAUGAGAUUCGAUAUCCAGUUCACAGUAGCCGACAUCCCUCCGCAGAGUCCUCGGUAGGCUUCUGGGUAUAUUUCUGAGUUCACGGUCCAUGGAACGGGACCCAUCCCCGGUGCAAAGAAAGCGAUAUAAAGAGCCAGACCUAAAACUGCGAGCCAACCGUAGACUCCGGUUGUAGAAUCGGACGGCUGGAGGAUAAAGGCCAUAGCGAGGAUUAUGAGAGAGAUGGUCACUCCAAACAAACUGCUCAGCGCCAGCUUCCUACGACCGAAUUGAUCGAUGAGGUAGAUUCCGAGAACGGUACCUAGGGCUUCAUAAAUGCUACAAUGAGGGAUAGGAGGAGUGCUAGUUGGUUGGAGUGGAAUCCGGCCAUUUGGACUAUAGUUGGGCUGUAAUACAUCACCGUGUUGAUGCCGGUGAACUGUUGGAAUGCCUGCAAAAUCGGAAAAAAAACAGAUAUUCAAACUAUCGAGCCUCAUCAAUGAAUCUUAAUACAGAAGAAUCACACUGUUUCAGUUUAAAGAAUGCAUUAAACAGCAGAUUCAAAACUAUCCUCUUGGAAGACACUUGAGUCUCACCCUUGCAGAUGGAUUGAUUAAUAUUUACAAAAUAGACACGUGCCAUCGACCCCCCUGCCCCCUACCGAUGCAGUCAAAUCAUCUUUACUCUGGAACAAAACUAUAAAAGCCUUCUUAUUACCUGCAUUCCAGCUCCAGCCAUAAAGGCAAGUCUUAGCGGUUUUACUCUGAUGACAUCAAAGUAACUGACUAGAGUCUUCCGUUGGCGCUCUUCUUCAAGUGCAGUGGCAAGUUGAUCGAUUUCCUCUUCCAAGCGAAACGGAUCAUAGAUUUUUGAUAGCACAGCAAUGGCGUCAGAUUUCUCCUUCUGAGAGAAAGUAAGAUGUAAAAUGAAGUAUAAGUAAUCGAAUAAACCUCAAGGAAAUACAAAUGCUAUAGAAACAACGAAUCGUCACCUUCAUGUAAAGCCAGCGUGGAGACUCUGGCAAAAAUAGCAUGAGAAAGAACUGGAUAAUAGCAGGUAACCCGGAUACCCCAAGCAUCCACCGCCAUGUACCAGGAACCUAAAUUACCACGGCAAUGAGUUAAUAAAAACAUUUGUAUCACAUCAUUCAGCAUAGAACAAUUGUUAGAAAGAUAAAAAAACCCCAACAAUUCAGCAGUUUCCAGCUUCCUAACUAUGCUUGCAAACCAUCUGCUAUCCAUAUAUUCAAAUAAAAGAAAAUUAUCACCUACUGAAAUACCCAACACCAAAGGAACAGAAAAUUUGAGCAGGAACAAGAAACGCACAACAAAAUACCGAGUGCCGUCAAAAGAUAAGCAUAGAAAAUUUAAAAAGAAGACCAAUACCAAUCCUUCAAUGUACCGCCUACCUCAACCCCAAAUAACCAUACAGCAGUGGUACGUAUUCCAAGAUUUUUAUGGUCAAUUAAAAACUGAAGGACUUUAAAAGCACAUUUCAAAUCUAAUGUUGAUGUCUUAGCACACUGCUUAUUUUUUCACUGAGUUAUGAAUGUCUUAGCGAUCAAAAAGAGAAGUGCUUUGUUUCUAAAAGUAAUAGGCUUCAAUGGAUGAGAAGUAAUAUUCUCCUAAUACAUCAUAAGUAGGGAGUCCAGAAAGCAAAUCCUAAGUGCUCGACCUGGUAUAAAGCCAGAAAAAUGAGGAGUGUGAACAAUGUGUUCCGACAAGCUAAUAAAGUAUUUUACCAAAAGGAGAACGGGUUAUACUAUAUGAAAUACACUUGAUGAGCUGGCUGAUGAGAUAUAUCACAUACAGAGUACACAUAAAGCAUCAAGUUAUUAACAACUACUGAAGAGAAAGCAUUGAUUUACCAACAUGAAUUAUCACAAACAGAACAAGGACCGGAGAGAAACUACAAUUCCCCUUUGAAAUUACUCUUAGAGGAAACUUAAAUGCAGGUCCCGAGUUCUAUCUUGGAGGUGAAACUUCAGAUCAGCAAGAUGGCACCUUUCAGAACAACAAAGCAGAUAAGUAUGACUACAUAUAAUCUCAUUAUCACAAUGAAAUAGAUGCACAACGCACCACGGGAGUUACCCAACCGAUAUCAACCUUCCUGUUCAGAGUUUACACUCCCUAAAAGUACUGGCAGGAGAUAUGGUUUAAAAUAGAUAGUUCCCGACAGCAUUUUGUCGCUAAAACAACAUUGACUAUAUAACUAAGACAUAUCCAAAACCUACUGUCAACUGUAAUGCAGCUAUUAUAAUUUCAAAAUUCUACUUGAACUAGAUACCAUGCAGCUACAAAGAGAUUUCCUUUUAAUGACAGGCAAUGCAACAGAGUAAUGGUUUAGGCAAAAACGUAGGAAACAGAACUGUGAGUGACAACAUCACAAACUCAUUCAGAUAAUUCCUAUUCCAAGUUCAGAAAAUCUGGCUAAUGCUCCGACAUACAACCUCUCUGAUGUUCUAAGCCCUAAAAAAGUGGGCUCCAAGUAUAACAAGGAUAAAUCCAAAUAGCAUCAAAUGCCCAUAGCCUUUGCCCACACAAUGACCAUCAGGACAUAUAUGAGCCAAGAGGCAGUGCCCAAUAUAUACCAUGGGAAGGCAUAUCCUAACUCAACUGUACCUCAAAAUAACAAAAAUAGAAAUAUGAACAUUUAUUUAGAGAAAGGCCAUAUGAGGAGAUACAUGACCAAGGCAAAAGAUCUGACCUCAGUAAAAGCAAGGUUCACAAGGUAAGAGAGAAACUGUCCACCGGUAAUCAUAAGAACAUUUGUGCUCACUAGGCCACCUCUAAUUUCUGAUGGAGCGGCCUCUGCAAUAUACACGGGAGCAGUGAUUGAUGCUAUACCUACCCCGAGGCCAACAAAGAACCGUCCAAUAAUAAGAAUGUAUGGAUCUGGAGCUGCGGCCAUGACAAUAGCUCCUAGUGCGAAUACAACAUCAGCUGACAGGGUAGCUUUCUUGCGCCCAAAAGCAUCACUAAACCAACCGCCUACUGCAGCUCCAAUCAUGGCACCAACCAAAGCCAUGCUGACGAUUGUUUCCUGUAAAUUUAUUGAUUUAAGAACAUUAAAGAAUUAACGAGCUGAAAAGGCCUAAUGGAGUAUAAGCUAUUAAUAACUAUUAUAAGUAAAGACUUAGUUGAAACUGAGUUUUUUAAUUGAUUUAGCAAAAUCAGUAGAGAAGGAACUCGUUAUAGUCCAGAGUGAAACAGUCCAGUUUCCCUGGAACCAAAAUGUAACCUUUGAGGAAUUGAAGAAAGGGCAAUAUACUGCAACCAUAAAAAAACAAUUUCCACAAUCUAAACAGAGAAGCAGCAUUCCCUCUGCUAGUCACCUCCAGAAUAAUAUUCUCUCUCCAUAUAUAUCACAUAUACCACGCAAGGAACUCAGUUGCACACCUGUAAAAAGCUACUCUGAUCGACCUCCUCAAAUUCAUCACGGAUAUAUAGAAGUGCUCCUGAUAUAACUCCUGUGACCAAAACAGAAACAUCAGAAGAUGUGGAGUGAAAACAUGCUGAUAUUGUGCUAUUCUACGUCAAAACCACAUUCGUAAAAAUAAAACUAAUAUAUAAAAUUAUUUUUUUACAAAACGAUGGUUAAGUUAAAAAGCCUAAAAAGACGAUACACAAGAUAUAUUGCGUGUUAUAGGUAUAGCACAACGGCCCCAGACACUGUAGCCUUCCAUGAGUAUGAUAAUUGCACGAACAAUCUAUACUCUAAAUUAUAAGCUUCAUUUUUUAGAUAGUGAUCGCAAUUAACAAAUAAACAUAUCCUGGAAUCAGAAACAAAUUAUUAUUACUUAUUUUAAAUUUUGCCAUCUCGAUUUAGGAGAAUAAAGCCUUACUAACAAAAAGACGACUGUAGUCUUCCCCCCAGAACACCUUACAAAUGGUCCCAACAAAAUUUUACUAUAUAUUUCUAUAUUCUCUCUCUCUCUCUCUCGUUGCCUAGUGCAGGGUUUCUGGCUCUGUAGAAAUUUAUGUCGUUAUCACUCAGUGCAAUAUUUCUGUAGAAAUUCACGAUUUCUUGCUCUGUAGAAAUUUAUGUCGUUAUCGCUCUCAACAAACAAACAGGGAGAGCCUGACUUGAACCAAAACGCUUCGCUGCAGCAGAUUCCAAAUAAAUUUAAAACGUGAACUCCACCUACAGGCUACAGUUGGCCACCAAACCAAAAUCUGAAGCUCCAAAUUAGAAGUAGACUAGGGAAAAAGUCGUUAGUUACUUUAUUUCUGAAGAAGACAGUUGAAAAACGCACCAAAAUCAAAUAUUUACGUAUGAAACCAUCUUCCAAAAACCGAAAACCUCAGAAGUAAGUAAUUAUUAACUAAAAAAAUUAUACCCACAAAAUCUCAAUUCCAAAGGAACAUCGAAAAUUUCAAUGAACAUGAUUUAUUUAUUUAUUAAAAAAAACGAGAAAUAAAAGAAAAAGGAAAAUGCAUUUCCCGUUUUCCACGAGCUGAAGCUGCCAAAAAACCUAGCAAACGAGAGAGAGAAAUUACCAGUAUCAUAGCCGAAGAGCAGGCCGCCGAUACCAGCAACUACAGUCAAUCCCAGCACGUAAGAAUUGCUGAAAUACGUAAUCUUCCGACGACUCCCACUCAAAUAACCAGAACUCUCUCCAAACGAUUGAAUCGUCAUCUUCCGCUCCAAAAACUCGGCAAUGAACGCACCGUCGGAAACGAAUUCACGGAGAAAUCAGCCACAACCGCAGAAAAAAAACGAAACGGAUGGGCUGAUUCCGAGAUUUUGCGAGGCUGUUGACGCCGCGAUUAAAAUAAGAAAACGAUUUACAAACGAGUAAAUAAUUUCAGCUCGGCCGUGAAAUUGGGGCCCGAAAAUUUGGGGAUUUUGGACAAAUGGAAGGGGAGAUGGAUUUUGUGUGAGACAAUGAAGAAAUGAAACUUGAUUGUUUAUAUUGCGAGUUUUUCCGGUUUGGAUAAGAACCUUAAAAUAAACAAAUAGUAAGAAAAUCGAAUUAAUCCAAAAACAAAAAAACAAAAAAACGAGUUAAUAUUUAAUAAGUAAUUCAACGUUUAGUGGCCCAUUUCCUUUUUAUGGAGCUGCCAUACAAGUCCAAUUUCAUUUUUUAAUUUUUUUUUAAAACGGGAAUAUUUUGGAAAAAGAGUCAUAUUUUCGGAUUAAAAAAAAAAUUACCCGAUUUUCGAAUAAUUAAAAGUUCUUGCUUAUUCAUUUCGACUUUUAACAAUAUUAUUGGAAAAAGAGUCAUAUAUUGUGUUGCAUGCAAUAUUAUAAAAUUAGUCAAAGCCAUUUUUCAUGUAAUUAGAGGAACAAUAAGUACAUUACCGAAAUAUAUGUUGUAAAAGACCACAAGGAUUGGGCUAUUAUUUUUAAAUUAUACUAUUAAUUUUGAUUUUAUUAUAACUUUUUAAUUUGAAUUUAUAAGAAUUAGUCUUUAUUCAUUUUCGUUGUUUACUUAAUUAUUUUUAAUAAACUAUAUAAGUAAAUAAAGAAAUUUAAAGACCGUCGGACAAAAGAUUCGAACCCAAAAUCUCAAAUCUUCGAUAUUAACCUUCUACCGUUACACUAACACAUGCACGCCUUGAUUAAAAAUUUUGAUCAACUAAAAACUAACGUAUCUCGUGGAAUGUUAAUUCGGCAUAAUUAAAUUUGUCUACUUGCAUGGUUGAUCAUAUUGAAUUAUAGGUAGUGGAUAAUGCAUGAGGUGUCCGUAUUAAAAAUUUAGGGUUUGCAUAUGUGUGAUGUGAUUAAUAUAUUUAUGUGUUACUAUGCAUGGUAUUACAAUAAUACAUUGAACGUGUGCCACAUUAUUUAAUACUCCAUUUGUUUUAUUAGAAUAAAUUGAACACGAAGAUUAAAAAAUUCAUUUAUAAAGAGAAAAAUAGUGUGAUCCAUAUUAAUUAAAUAUUAAAUUUUUUAUUCAAAAUAAAAAAAUAAAUCUAUUUUAAUGGGACAUCCUAAAAUAAAAAAUGAAUCAAUUAGAGUUGGACGGCCAAUUGCAAGAAUUCCAGUCUCAUAAGAUGCAAGGUUGAGCUAAGUCUAUUUCCAAAUCUGAUUAGUUGUUAAUUUUUGAAUUGUCAUACCCAAUCAUAUAACCUUUGCGAAACAAUAUAUUUCUCUAUCAGAGCAAAAAGAUAAACUUAAAAAAUAGAAUAGAAAAAAAUUAGUGGCUAAGAAAAGAGAAAAUGACAUGGACAUCACAAUGUAACUUCAUUAUAUUAUAUUAUUUGAUAGCAAAAUAUUAGCAUGUAAAAUCAUUGAAGUAAUCAUAAUAAAGUUCAAGAACGGUGAAAUAAAUUCCCAACAAACUAGAAGAGGAAAUUGAAAACAUUAUUGAAAAAGUAAUUGCUCCAACUUUCAAAAGAUUAUAAAUAAAGCCAAAUAUAUCAAUUCAUUCAAGAUCUAUAAAUGAAUUAUAAAGAACGACGUUUUAAAUAAUUAACUUUUAAAGUUUUAAAUUAAUUUUGAGUCUCAAAGUCAAAUGAAUAUCUAAAUUUAACACAUAAACUCGUGCAAAAUAAAUAGAAGAGGAAAUUUGCAAUAAAUUUAAACAUUGAGACAUUAUUGAAACUCUUUAAACAUCGAAUCUAGCUAGCUAGUAAUAAGAUCCAAAUUUGAGAUUAUCCUAAUUGCAAUUAUUUGAAGAAAGAAAGAAAACUCAACUUGUAAACUUAAAAAAAUGGUAAUAAUAAAUUAAAUUUGACAUUAGGUUUAUUUACCCACUUUUCGGUGCUAAAUUUGGUGAUGGAGCGAAUGUAUAUAUGAAAACGUUGCAACAAAUUAAUUUAUUUUUCAUAAAAAGAUGUAGACCACAAUUUAGAUACCGAUAUUCAUCAUCUACGUUUGUUGUCUUUUUUAUAGUAUAUUUUUUAUUUAUAUUUUUUCUAGUGAGUCCAAAUGUAUGGCUGAAAUUUAUUAUAUUCAUUUUUUUCUCUCUCCUUUGCAGAUUAUUGUUCACGAAAUGUUUGAUUUUGAUCGAUGCAUCCCAUUCCGCUGCACAGCUCAACAUUUUCAAAUCAUUUUUAGACUCUCACGAUAAAUAAAUAUUUAAUAAAAAAAUAAUACUUUAAUACUCCAUCCUACUUUAUAGUCCAUAUUAUUUUUCACACAUAUUAAAAGAAUAUAAUUAAUAUUAUUUGAAAAAUAUAAUUUAUAUGUAAUUAUUUUAUUUUGCCCUUAUUUAUUGUUUUAUAUAUUAUCUUCACAUACAUUAAAUAUGAUUAUUUUAAUAAAAAAUAUCUUCAGUAUAAUUUAAAUUUAAAAAUUAGACUAUAUUUUAAGACAUUCCAAAAAAGACAGAUUGAUGGAGCAGUUUUUUUUUUUUGGGAGUGUGAGUCUAUAUAAUAUAAUGCUCCAUUGCAUAAAUUUUAUCGGAUUUUAUUAGAUUUCGUUAACCCGACUAUGAUAUCCACUUCAUAGGUCGUAUUAUAGUUUUAUUGAAUAUAUUUAGGUUCGUCUGAUACAGAUGAUUUGGGUAUAUAUAUCUAUGACAUUCUAAUAUUUUGUUUGACAAAAAAUAAUGAUUCUUUAUAAAUUAAAAGCCCGAAAAUAUUAUAUUGAUUUGAGAGAUUUUAUAUAUCCUAUACCGUGUACUAAACGAGUCAUAAGUUUUUUUUUUUUUGAGGAAAUGAGUCCUAAGGUUAUGAAUUACAAAAAAUUGUAAGAGAUCGUUUCACAUACAAAUGACACCGAUUCUAAUUCGUAUUUGCGGGGUAUUUAUAUUAUUUUUUUUGCACCUAAUUAUGUUUGUGAUUCUAAAUUUCUAAUAGAAGUUUGUACGAUAUAUAUGUAAUAAGCUACCCAUUUGAAUCCAAACACAAUAAAAUUUUCAAAAACUAUAAUAUAUUACAAAGAAUUGUACAUUUUUUUUGUGGGGCUGAGAACUAUACCAAUUUUUUGACAAAAGAACUAUACCAAUUUUGAAUCACAAAUUAGUAGCUUGCAUGAAUGGGCUCGAUUAUAUUGGACAAUGAAAAUGGGCCGACACAUUAAACAAAUACAAAAGUGCUGCUAUUGGGCUUGGGCUUGGGCUUGGGCUUGUAACUUAAUUGCUUAGAAGAUGCUUUAAAUAUUUAUUUAAUUGGGCAGAAGAUUCUGAUAUAAGAUAUAAAGAUUCAUUAAUGAGCCAAAAAAAAAAGAUACAAAGAUUCAUUAAGCUACAAAAUUCAAGAUUGUUUUGCAGAUGAUUAUUAUUUAAUAAAUAUGACCGAUUUUUUUUUAUCAAUAAAUCUAUGCAGCCACAUUGUGGCUACCCACACACUAAUAUAAUAAGGAUAAUCUUAAUUUAUUUAAUUUAUUUUUUUAAAAUAAAAAUAGGAUUUAGUUAUAUUAUUAUAUUCUCUAUAUUGUACUUAUUUUUUUAAUUUUUUUUUGCAUUUUUUAUUUUUAAUUUAUUUUUUAAUAAAAAUAAAAAAGUUGCCAAAAAAUUGCAAAAAAAAUUACUAUAAUGUAGAGAAUAUGAUAAAAUGACUAAAUCUUAUUUUUAUUUUAAAAAAUAAGUUAAAUAAAUUAAAUUAUUUUCUACUUAAGUAAAUUGUGGGCAGCACAAUGUGGCUGUUUAGCAUUACUAUUUUUUUAUUAAACCCCUCGAUAGUUAAGUUACUAGAAUGGUGUGGCUGUUUAGCAUUACUAUUUUUUUAUUAAACCCCUCGAUAGUUAAGUUACUAGAAUGGUGUCAUGAUUAUCUCAAAAAAAGAAAAAGAAAAAGAAUGGUGUCAUGAUGAGUAUCAAUGCUUUUUAUCAAGUGAUUUAAGUCACAAACUUAAUUAUAAUCCAUUCUAAAAUAAAAGUAACUUCGGUUAAAACUUUUAAUUUUUUUAAUAUAAUAAUUUCGCAACUUUCAAAGUGAAUUAUGUCACGAGUCAUGCCCAAAUCUGUCUUUGUUUAACCUAAAAAAUUAUAGUAAUAAAUUUGUCGGUCACCAGACACGCAAAAUUUUUUAGAGCCCUUUUUCUUUUUAUUAGCUUGAAAAAUUACAAUUUAAGAAAGAGGGACUAUUUUUUUUUAAUAUAAAAAAAAGACGUUAAAUCCGGAUAUUUUUUAUACAUAUUUUUUAAAAUAGAAAACGGGUUAUAUAUGGCCAAAAAAUAAAUAAAUUUUAUAAAAAGAUUGUAAUUUUCAUCUAAACUUUCAAUUAGGCUAAAAAAUAUAUUAAUUUAUAUUUUUAUUACAAUUUUCACUUGAGUUUGACUUUUGACGAAAUUAGAGUUUAGUUGACAAUCGAAAGUCCACCUAAUGUUCGUCUAACUUCUGAUGAUGAUGAGUAUUUAGAAGUUCGGAGGUAUAAGAAGACAAAAAUUAAUAAAUUAGACUUAAUUUCGAUUAUCAAUUAAGCUCUAAUUUCGUUGAAAGUCAAACUUUGCAACAAAAAUAUAAAUUCAUACUCCAUCCGUCCCCAAAAUAAGUUCAUCUUUUUCCAUUUUGGGACGUCCCCCAAAUAAGUUCAUCUUUCUUUCUUUCUAUUUUUGGACAACUACCCCACCACUAAUAAUACUUUAUUUAUUCUUACUUUUCACUUUUUCACCACUCUCAAUACUAAUUAUAACACUCUUUCACCUUUUCACCACUCCCAAUACUAAUUAUAACAUAUUUUUCUCCACUAUCAAUACACUUUACUAUUUUCCUUAAAACAUGUGUCGUCCCAAAGAGAAACUUAUUUUAGAGAAGAAUGGAGUAUAAUUUUUAACUUAAUUAAAAAUUCACGUGAAAAUUAUGAUCUUUUUCAGAGUUCAUGUAUGUUAUUUUUUGCCAUUAACCCAAUAGAAAAAUUUUAAUGGUAUGAUUGGUAAAUGAAAGUGUCGGUGGGGAUUAUACAUAAGCUGGGUGGGCCCCAGCCCCCCCCUAAACCCUACCAAGCUUUCUUUUAUUCUCAAACCAGCCUGUUUCAGUUCCAAAUGCCAAACUCAUCACAGCCGUUGAUUUUGAUCGUGGGUCCCAUCUCAUGCAAAUCAAACUAUGUAGCACGAGGGCAUUCUCGUAAAAUUAGGAUCAUUUGAUUCAUUUCCAACAUUUACAAUAAUUAUUUUAUAAAUGAUGAAAAAUAUGAAAAGCAUUAAAAAAAAGGAAAAAUUGAAGAACGUGAAAGAGACAGCUGAUCUAACUAACACAGUCUGUCGUCGGUGGGAUUCUUUCUCCUCUUCUGUGUUUUCUCUUUGCAUUUCAUCCAAACAAAUUAAAUCCCUAAUUUCCACCAUUUUUUUCUGAUUAUUUCCUCCAUUCUCUGCAAAAAGAUCCAAAAAAAAAAGGAAAAAUUAUUUUAGAGAGAAGAAUCUCGAGUUUUCACUGAGUGUGAGUAAGCAGUAGCUAACCCUUCACUUUCUUUCCCUUUCUUUAAUCUUCAAUGCGUUUGAUGCAUUUGCGUCGAAUUCAUACUCAUUAGUCAAUCACGCACCGAAUUCCAUAAAUCUCCAGCUUUCUUCUGAAAUCACUCGAUUUCAGCGAAAAUUCGACAAUUUCUGAAUUUUUUUCGGUGAUUAAGCAGGAAAAUGGAGGCGAGGAGCGGAGGAUUCGCGAAGAUCGGUCUGGCAAUCUGCGUGAUGGCAAUGGCGGCGUGUUUGGCCGGCGCGGCGGACAAGGAAAUCAAGGUGAGGACGGUGAGGGGGGAGAAGGUGUGCACCCAAGGAUGGGAGUGCAACGGCUGGUCCAAAUUCUGCUGCAAUCUCACCAUCUCGGACAUCUUCCAGACCUACCAGUUCGAGAAUCUCUUCUCGAAGAGGAACUCGCCGGUGGCGAACGCCGUCGGCUUCUGGGAUUACCGGUCGUUCAUCCUCGCCGCAUCCAUGUUCGAGCACCUCGGAUUCGGGACCACCGGCGGCAAGCUCAUGCAGAUGAAGGAGAUCGCCGCAUUCCUCGGCCACGUCGGCUGCAAAACUUCUUGUGAGUUUUUUUUUUUGGAUUUCUGUAAAUGUGCAGGAUUGGGAUGUGGAAUUAAUUGUCUGAGUAGAACAUUUAGGGGUUUGAUUUUAUACGCUGUGGAUGCUAUUAACUUAAUCGAAUUAUUAAAUUUGUAGUAUGAUUAUUAUGUGUUAUGGAUCUAGAUUGUUGGUGUCCAUUUGAGCUUGUAGCUGAUUGUUUUUCUUUCUUUUUUUGAUUUUUUUGGUAGUUGAUGAACAUUUCCAUUUACCCAAUUGAUGUUGACUUGGUAAUUUUGCCUAAGUUGGAGUGAUUCUUCAGUCAUUGUUACUUGGACCUUGGUAGUAUUGACUGAUUUUUUGGGGGGAUUGAUUUAGGUCUGUCGGUGCGAUAAUUUUAUUUUCGUUGCUGUUCAAUACAGUCUACUCAAUUGUGACCUUUACUUUGUAACGUUGUUGGUUAGUUUGUGAAUACUCUUUCUGCCUGCCUAUGUUUUUUGUGAUCGAAAUGCUGUUUAUGUCUAUAGCUGAUAUGAAUAUGGUUGUUACUGUCGAAUAAUAUCCAUAAGAUGUCAGUUUUAUAGUAGCUACUUUAUGCAUGAUGACAUACCAAGUUAGUUAUAAAAGAGAGGAAAAGAUUGUAUGAUUGCUAUGUAUUUCAUAGUCAUGGCAAUCGGUCAUUAUUGGUAACUGCCUUCUCUCUUGACUGAAGAUUAAAACCGUGCAGAAUCUCCACAGCCUUGUUUUGAAGAAUGCAGCUUUAUGUUGCAAUUAUUAGUUAUUACCGCAGUCUGUAAUAUUGAAAACUUUUGGGAAAUUUGAGAUACAUAUUCAGUAUUAUAGAAAUAGGAUUUUGAUUGAGCUGGUGAAUUCGGUGGCUACUGAAUUGGCUGUGGAGAAACAAUAUUGUAGAUAUGAGACAGACUCUUAUACUCUUGCAAAUAUAUCUAUCUUGUGCCACUUUGAAAUAAACAUAUGUAGGGUGAAUUUGUGUCCAUCUUCCUUCCUUCUAGCAGAGUAACCAGUGUCGAAAUAAUGCAGGUGGUUAUGGAGUGGCUACGGGCGGACCGCUAGCAUGGGGUCUAUGCUUCAAUAAAGAAAUGAGUCCCAGCCAAAAAUAUUGUGAUGACUUCUACAAAUAUGACUAUCCAUGUGCUCCUGGAGCAGAAUACUACGGCCGUGGAGCUAUUCCAAUCUAUUGGUACUUCAUCUUUCUCCUGAGCUUUUUUCCUUCUUUUCCCGAAUGAAAGUCCUUGAUUUUUUGGUUAACCUUGUUGCUAUGUAUCAACUGGUGGUAGUGAAUCGAUUGAUGCAAGUGUGUCCGGGUUAAAUGUGUACUUUCCUAAUGCCUACAUACCAAUCCCCUGUUGAUAGUAAGACUAUAAUUAGGAAUCAUUACUUGAUGUCAUUAAGGUUUGUUUUAUUUUUUAAUCUCAUAUUGCUAUGGAUCUGCUAACAUCAUGUAAAAAUCAUUCCAGGAACUACAACUACGGAGCAAUUGGUAAAGGCAUCAAUCAGGAUUUGUUGAACCAUCCCGAAUACGUUGAACAGAAUGCAACGAUCGCCUUCCAGGCUGCGAUCUAUAGGUGGAUGACGUCCGUGAAAAAGAAGCAGCCAUCUGCUCACGAUGUCUUCGUUGGGAACUGGAAACCCACCAAGAAUGACACGUUGGCGAAACGAUUUCCUGGAUUCGGAAGCACCAUGAAUCUUCUGUACGGCGAGCAAACUUGUGGCCAGGGCGACAUUGAUCCCAUGAACAACAUCAUCUCUCACUACCUCUAUUAUCUCGACUUGUUGGGCGUGGGGCGAGAGCAAGCAGGACCCCACGAAGUGCUCUCCUGCGCCGAACAGGUUCCGUUCAAUCCAUCUACUACCAAAUCAUCGUCUUGAAUUCCUAUCUGAAUCUCUCUUAUAAUAAGAUUUGUGUUGGGCCACCUCUCCUGUAUUCGUGUGAUUAUUGAAUUUGUAAUAUGUCGACUGCUUUUGCUCUGCUUCAUUGCUAUAUAUACAGGUUUUGUGAAUUCAAAUUGUUUGUGUUGCUAGUGUAUCAUUAAGGUGUAAUAUUUUAUACAUGAAUGUACUUUUCUCAGUUUAUACUCGAGGACUCAUUAUAUUCGAUUAAUUUUUUCGUUUUGGAGGUGUUUGGUUAUUAUUAUUAUUAUACUCGAUGACGCAUUAUAUUUUAUUAAUUUUUUCGUUGUGGUGGUUGAUUAUCAUUAUGUCUCUUUUUUUGUUUGAUUAACAUAUAAAUUGACAUCUUGAUUGAAUACAGAGCUUUCAAACUCACGUGGUUCAAGAAACUUUAGCCUUUUAACUUCUUCUAAGAUAACUAUCAAUUUCUGCAAAGGUAUAAAUCACAAAAGAGAAGUCUUCUUGAUCUAAAAAAAGAGUCGAUUUUCUUUUCUUUUUGGUGUGUAGAGAAGUAACUAGAGACCCCUAUUUAUAAUACUAGUUGAUGGAGAGUAGUAUUGAAGAGUUUCGAUUGAUAUUAAUCUCAAAAAACCUUACUAUCUCUAGGUUAAAUCUUACUUGUUUGCUUUUUCACACAAAAUUUCUCGAUAAUUUACCAUUUUCAUAGUCACAUAGACAAGACAAGAUAAGAUGUUUGUCUCACUCCAUUCAAUUAUUGAGGUUUUAGAUAAAACAGUGCAACUUAAUUGGAAAGACGUUUUUCCUCCAAUCAAUUAGGUCGGAAGUUCGACUCUAUGCUGAAAUGCUUGAUAAAAUUCAGAAUUAAACACAAACUCAACAAGUGGAAAAGGGAAAGUAAACAAGACGAGAAAAGUAGAUAAGAUCACUUAUCAAAACUCAUACUUGGUUUGGUGAAAGUUUGUUUAACCUUUGAUUAGACUGAUAAACAAAACUAGUGAGCUUAGCCUCUUAACAAUCCUAGAACCCACAUCUAAAUAGUGAUAACAUAAGCAAUUUCCUCAUUCGCGCUCGAGCUGUCCAAAAUACUUGCCUGUUAUGGUCACAAGGAUGUUGAGGACAACAACUUCAUCGUCUACCUCCGCUUUAGCAGCUCGCAAGCUUGCACAUUUUCGCAGCAAUGACCGAAGGGCUGCACUUGUGUCAGCAUGGAGAGGGCAAUCUAGUGCUGCACAGAGAGCAAACAACCAUAAACCGUCGUUGUAUGGUAAUACGUCCAUGUUCACCACGGAGUUUACUCGUUUUUUGAGCAGUGAAGUUCGAGCAGCAGAAUCCAUCUUCAGAAUUGCAGAGAGGGUGGGGCGAUCAACUUUGGGGACGGAGCUUUCAGGAGAAGAUGGGCCGGAUUUGGCAUCACUAGUCUCCAAGAUGCAAGAAUCGUCCACAGAUUCUAAGUUGACGAAUUUCUCAAAGUUAUUACUCUCAACCAUCUGAUUCAAAAAAUCCUCUUUGGUUGAAGUUUCUGCAGUGGGUUCUUCGAGGUCUAACUGCGCGAAAGCCUGAGAGAAAAUAGUUUAUUUCAUUCAUGUCCAUGAAAACCCGUUAACUUACGGGUGUUUGGUGAGCUCCAACAGCUUAUAUAAGCUCCCUAGAAAGAAAAAAAAUCUCAACCCUAACUUAUUCUUUCAUAAUAUUAUAAGCGACAUUAUUUUACAAAAGUAACCCUACUAUGAUUCGUUAUUUUCAUCAUAUAUCCUUCCAAUUUCAGUUCUCUUCAAUUUUCCCUUUUUAACUAGGAUUUUCUCUUUGACAACUUAUAAACUCUCUAAAAUAAACUUAGCCAAACACCCCCUUAGUUGCUCCAAGAUACAUGCAAACAUUGCUAUAAAUAUUAUUUCCUUGAAGGUUCUAACAUGUGCUAAAUGAAAAGAAAUAGAAAUAAAAUGAAAGGAAGUGAGGAGUGCAAUAUUUACCUCUCUCAGCUGUGAAAAAUCAGAAAGAAAGCUGUCCUCCCAUUGUUUGAGAGGCAACAAAUUCUCCGGGCACUUCAUAACAUCAGGAAUUUGAGGCAUAUAGACACUCUGUUGUUUGACUUUAUUGAUCCUGACAACUUUUACCUUGGGAAUUCUAGCAGCCUCCCACCUACAAAACAAGUGACAUCGCACUUCAAGAGUUCACAUCAUCUCAACAUUCUCAUAAUCAUAACAAGCACACAAAAUGAAAAGUUGGUUGAUAAAUACGAAGGUUUUUCAAUAUGAAGUUUAAAGGUAGAUAAGCAAGAGCAUGGUCUACGAAGAAUGUCUAGUAGUCAAAUGUAUAAUCACAAAAAAUAACAAGAGAAAUAAACAUGAAUAGCCAGAGAUGAAGCAGAUAGGUACCUUACACGCCUAAGAUAUUCAAGUCCAUCCAAUGGAGGGCCAGAAUCAAAAUCAGGUUCUCCUGUGACAGAAAAGGCAGGCCUCUGAAUACUGUACUCUUCAUCACUAUCAUCAUCUUCGCAAUAGUCUUCUUCCACUGCCGAGGACCCUCGUUCAUCACUAAUAGGAGGAAAAGAAGGAGGAUCCGAUGCGUUCAAAUUCUCAAGGUGAUCACCUUCAACUUUUGGGCACACUUCACCUGAAAAAUGUAUAUGCUAACUUAGUUAAUCCUUCAAAAUACUUAAUAAAGAUAAUGCAACCAGAACACAAAUCAUUGAGCUGAAAUCAAGGGACCAAACUUCGCAAUUCAAAGCAUGUAUUAAAGAUAAAUGAUUGUAUGUAAAGGAGGUGAAACGAAAUCCAAAUGAUUCUAUCUGAGUCAAUACGUUAUAACUUAUAAGUGGCCAAAAAAAAAAAUAUCUGUAUUCAUAAAACAAGGCAUUCACAAAUCCUACAAACCAUUCUUCAACGCACAAAGAUAAUCAGAUGUUUUCCUUUCCCAAUUGCAGCCAUCACACCUGUGCACAUGGAAAAACUAACCCAUCAAAUUGACACAACCAGAGCAAGACAUCCACAACGUAAAGGAAAUACAAAUAAGAUACACAAAACCUCCCAACUCCAUUAUUUUCCAAGCUUAUACACGAACAAGAAGAUAUGGGAUAAAAAAGGUGGAAUCCACUCAAAUAUGAUAAAAUUUUCCCCUCAUUCUCAUCUCUUCUUUUCUUAUGAUAAAUUUGCAACCAAAGAGAUACUUGUAAUAUAAUCCACCAACCAUAUCACUAAGUUCAUCAUGCACAAUUUCUUGAACGUAGAUAAAGAGGAUACUUUAACAAAAAGAAUGUUCAUUAAAACCACAGCACAAGAACCUUGUUCGAAACGCAAAAACUCCCAAAUAAAAAAGAUAAAUGUAUGAUUCUGAAAGUAGAAGAGCAUACCCAGAUUAGCACAUUUCUGAAACUGAGGCCGAGGAUCAAAGUUGAAGCUCGGGACGCUAUCCUUCUCACGAGCUCUAUCCAAUCUGACCAGUCCAUCAUACUCAUCUACCACUGUCGCACCAAGCCGGCAGUAUAUCUCAAUCCACUUCUUCUUUUGCUCUUCAAGCUCCUCAAACCUUAGAGCCUCGAUCUCCUCUCUCGAAUACAUCAGCCCCUUCUUUUCUCUCCUUUCACUAGGAUAACAAUUCAACCCCUCAUUGUUUCUCCUACCCCUUCCUCCCCUUCGUUUAGGCCUCUUCUCCUUGGGCUCCUGCUGCUUCCAAUUCCUCUUGCUACCACUCUCCUCGUGAUUAAUAAAUUCAGUGUGUUCAAACACCUGAACUUCACUCGCGCAUUUCUUCGAACAGUUAAUCUGCACUUCUUCGUCCAUUUUUUCCUCAAUUCUUUCCACACCAAUCUGCGUCGUUGGAUAAGACGGCUCCAUAUGCAUCGGACUCCUGAACGACGCCGUCGCGGAUGCUUUCUUCAACAGGAACAGAGGCGCUGCUGUUUGUGGAAUUAUCGGAAGCGUCUCUUGCGGCUUCCGCAGUGAAAUUGCCUGAGCCGUUGGAAGAUUGUAGAUUAAUGAGACCGUGAGGCGGCGCUUCCGCCGGAGUAUCGACGAAGCUCCGGUGAACUGCGGCGGCUUCGCGGCCGUCCGAAUCUAUGAGAGUAGAUUGUGCUAACAUCGGAAAAUAGUUGAGCUGUAAUUUGAAAGAAUUUAGGCAAUACCAAAUCCGUAUAUAUAGUGAAUUGGAACACCUCCUCCCAAAAAUUUCGGUCCAAUUUCAAUUUUUUAACAUUUAAAAAAACACACAAAAAAACUAAAAAUACACUAUAUAAUUAUAAUCAUGUAGAUUUUUGUUUAUUGUAAUUACUUUGUUUUUCAGAUUCUGUUUUUGAAUAUUUGUUGGAGUAUAAUUAUAAUCAUGUAGAUGAUAUAGUCUUGAUAUUGUUUGAUUUAUUGUAAUAACGCAUGUAGUAACAAAAUUAUUCCUAUAAUUUUAUUUUGAUCUUCAAGAGAUAUUCUAUGUUUUAAUCUAUUUUAUUUUAAUUUUCAAGAGAUAUUAUAUGUUUUAAUCUGAUUUUUUAUUAUAAAUUAAUAAUUAAAUAAAUAAAUUCAAAAAUCGCAUCACGAUAAACUCAAAAUCCAAACCUUAAAACAUUUAUCACUCAACUAACACACACAAUUCUUGUACUUUCACAUUAAAAUAUGUUAGUUCAAAUGAGUUUAAAUCUCGAUGUAACAUUUUAAAAAUUACUAUAAAAAUGUAUUCAAAAAAAGAAUUGCCACCUAUAUGAUAUGAAAUUUUGAGUAUUAUUUAUUCGAUUAAAGUGAUAAAUCCACUGAAAAUUAUUUCUAUUUACCAGAUGCUAAACUUUCAAAAAUCCCUAACAAACAAACAAACACACUCUAGUUUGCUUUAAGCAGAGUAAGAGCUAAGUGCAGUUACCAAACAGUUACAACAAUCUCAUUAUUUGCUAAGCACAAAUCAAUACAAGUUGCAGCAAAAUUGUUACACAUCAUCGAUGAACAGCUUUAACUAAGUUUCUAAGUUCUAGUAGAUACAAGAUAUAGCAAAGGCGUUUCGCCCAUCGUCGUCCCACUACCAAAACAGAAAGACCAAACGGGAUCAAACUGAAUAUCGAUCAGCAACUCGAGAAGAAGACAAUGCUCCCAACCUUAAGCUACUAACAAGGCAUUCCUUCAAGUGCUAAUUCUUCACUUACAAUGUGUGCAUUACCUUGCUUUCGUUGGGAUCUUCAGUUUUUAGGCGGUUCUUGAACCCCAAGAGCUUGUUGAGGGCGCUAACAUAGGCUCGAACACUUGAGAUGACAAUGUCCAUGGAUGCUCCAGUCCCACUGUUUAUAUAGAAGAAGAAUGGUGUUACAAAAAAAUGACAAUUCAAUGAAUCAAUCUUUUUCUGUUUUAUCAUCCUUUAAAAAAAUUAUUCCGAAAGCUGCAAAGAAUUUCAGUACCUGAAUGCGCGGUUGACAGAUUCUCCUGUGUAAGCAUGGGUUGCUGUUACACUAUCUUCGCCACGAAUUAGAACCCGUGUUGUGGCUAUAGCAUCGAUGCCUUCAGUAACACCACUCAUGGAAUACUCAAGAAGAAUUACGGGAACCUGUGAGCAAGCAAAACUGUAUAUAAGCUUGUUUCAUAUAAUUACACGAACAGCGAACUAAUAAGAGAAUCUCGAGGUCCAAACAUUGAGGUUCAAGUGUUGUCUGAUAAUGAGAUUAGACCCCCUGCAAUGGUGAAUGAUGACAAAUAAUUUCAACCCUACUACAAAUCCUCACAAGAUCUAGCAACAAUUUCUAUAAUACAUGUUGUGAUCCCUAAUUUGCGGCCUGAAGAAGUGUAUUCACGAGUAAAACAAAUUAUGAAACAUAUUUGGUUGCAGAAAAACUAAGCAGCAGAAACUCAAAGCAACUAAUUUUGACGCAUUAUAUAUGUGUGUAAUUAUAUUCACUUUUAUAGCAGCAGAAGACACCGAUAAUGAUUUGUGCACAUUUUCAAAGAUGUCCCCGGAUCAAACUAGAAAGGCAAAACAGUGUACAUCAGCUUUUGAAGUUAUUAACCUUAACAAUAAGGUCAACUGCCUUGUAUGCUGCAUCAACAGGCCCAGUCCCAACAGAACAAGAAAUAUGCUCAUCACCAUUUUCAUGAAUGAGUUUGACUGUUGCGGUUGAAAGGCCAAGAGAUCCACAUGUAACCUGUCGACAAGGUACAAGUAUGGUAAUAGAAUGAACUAUCUCAAUGUACCGCAACUGUAUCUAGUGAUUAACCACUAUGUAGAAAGUUGGAUGUAGACAUGCCUGUACAUCUUCAAGUUUCCAAACAGUUUGUGGCUGGAACACUUCAUCCGAAACUAGGGCUACUAGGUCAUCAUCGGUGAUAUUCUGGAACACCAACAGAAUAUAAACAUGCAGGAAAUAGUGUUGCAAUAUUAUAAGGUUUGACAUAUGUGCAUGUAUAGUUGGCUGAGAAGUACUUCAGUUAAAAUGAGAGAGAGAGAGAGAGUUAUGAAAUAUAAAAAAAGAGGAACCAGUUAUCGUGUGCACGCAUAAUCCCUUUUAUUUAGGAAACCAGACUUGAGGCAUAAUAUGAAACACAUUCUUCUAGUCUUCUACAUCUGUCUUAUCAGAUUUCAGGCAGUACCUUUUUAUUUCCAGCCACAGCUUUGAAGCGUGAAAAUAGAUCAUCAAGUUCCUUUCCAUCAAUAUCAUACCCAAGCUGCAGAUUCAUUUGGAGGAAACAUUGAUGCAUGGGUGGAAUAAUUGCAUAAGCUACUUUAAUAGUUAAUAAUAAGCUCAGGAUUGCAAUUUACCUCCAACAUUUUGGCUUUCAGAGCAUGGCGUCCACUGUAAAAUAAUGCCCCCAACAAAAAAAGAAUAAAACAUUACAAUAAAUACUCCGGGUACAUCAUAUGGUGAUCAGCAUCAUGAAAAUAACAAUGAUCGCGAAAGUAACUUAUAGCAAAAAUGUUAUAACUAAGAUUGACUUAAAGACGAGUAUUGAAAGAUCCUUAUGUUUCUAGAGCCUAUGGAGACGCACACCUAUUAGUUGAGUUAAGUCCAUUAUAAGAGAGUAGUAACACAUGCAACGGCAGUUACAUCCAGCAUACCUGAGUUUUCCAAGCACUAUACCAGAUUCAUUAGAACGAAGAAGUCCAAUAUCUUCAGGAGACAUAAUUUCGUAGGUGUUUCUAUGUUUCAGCAUUCCAUCCUGCAAAAAAACUCAGAUAAAAUGUAUAAACAAUAAAUUUCAGUUACAACUUAAAAUGGUCCAACUCAAUAUUUGCAAAUUUGCAAUAAAUGAAAAAUGUACAUCAAAAUUAAUCAACCAAAGCUAUAAUUUCGAUGUAAAUGCAGAAGACUCUUAACAUAAAAGAAAACCAUUAACCACCAACCUGAUGAAUUCCGCUUUCAUGAGCAAAAGCAUUAGCUCCAACAAUUGCUUUGUGUGGCUGAAUACGCAGCCCACUAUAUUCUUCUACCUGAAACACAGAGUUCAACAAUGUGAGGACAUGUAUGUUUAUAAAAAUGUGAGUAUAUAUCUCAAGAGAAUGACAAGAAGCAUAAAUGAUGCAGAGGAUAGUAUACCAUCUUGCUCGCCAUGACAAUAUGUUGAGUGUUGAUCCCUGUGUAAAGACCAUCAAGAGCUUGCUCUCCACGGCAUUUUAUGGCCAUUACAACCUGCAGUGAAUUAGAAAUAGAAACAUAUUUUCAUUUGGAGGAAAAUAUGGACCUAGACAGUCCUUGAGCCAAUUGGGUGCUUGGACGGAAAGAAUUAUUGUAAUUUCAAGCCAAGAUAAUUUAAAUUAUGACCAUUAAGGACACCUUGUACCAUGCUUCCUUAGAUUUUAAUGAUUAAGACUCAAAACUAACUACCCAAGAUAGAGCCUCCUCCCCCCCCCCCCCAAAAAAAAAAAAAGAAAAGAAAUAAAAGAGCAAGAGAACACACCUCCUCUAAUGACGCAUUACCAGCUCUUUCACCAAUGCCAUUAAUGGUAACCUCUACUUGCCUUGCACCAGCAUAUGCCCCCUGAAGUUGAGAAAAGCAUCAGUGUCAAUCCAACCUGAAUUUUUGUCCAGCACUCCAAGCGUAAGAAAUACGUACCGCUAAAGUAUUAGCAGUAGAAAGUCCAAGGUCAUUCUGGCAAUGUGUUGAGAUAAUGACAUUUUCAAUUCCAGGGGUGUUUGCUUUUAUGUCUGCAAUUAGCUGUCCAAAUUCAGAGGGCAAAGUGUAGCCUACUGUAUCAGGGAUGUUAAGAGUUGUUGCGCCUGCCUUAAUAACCUCUCCCAGAAUUUGAUAAAGGAAUUCUCUGUCUGAUCUGUAAGAAACCAAAUAAAAGAAAGAUGAGAUAACGAAUUAACGAGGUUGCAUUAAGGAUGCAAUAUCUACACCAGACACUCCUCCUUGCCCUAAGUCCCUAGAAAUUCAAAACCUUAAAAUAUCUGUUCCAAUCAGAAAAUUUUCAGAGAUCAUACUCUACUCCGAAUCCCAAUUUAUGAACCUCAAGGUGGUCAGCACCCCACCACACUUUUAAAGAUACAGCUUUACUUUUGAGAUUUUCAGAGAAUAUACUCUACUCCGAAUCCCAAUUUAUGAACCUCAAGGUGGUCAGCACCCCACCACACUUUUAAAGAUACAGCUUUACUUUUGAGAUUGGAACCGACAUUUGAAAGGUUAGCCAAAUACUUUUUUCCAGUCAUUCAAUGGCCAAGGAACAAAAGAAACAUGAAGAAUAAAAUACAAAAUAAAACAUUUCCGCUGCAGAUAUAAUACAAAUCAAAUACUAACAUUUUAUUCCAAUUCAAACAUAGUUCCAUUGGAAGAAAAGAAAUCACACUAUCACAAAUAUUUGAAUAGGAAAUGCUCGACCCCUUAAAUCCAGUUCACAAUGUACUACAACACAAGUUCAUACUCUCUAAAUGCGUUUGUAUGUGUCAUGGUUAACUUUCCUUCUAAAAGCAGCAAUUUGGAUAAUCUGAUUACUGUUGUUAUUUUAGUACUUCCACAACAGUUAAGAGAAAUAAUUUGAGCUUGAAUUGCAGACUUGCAGUAUUCAUUUAAAGCUUCUUCCUUAAUUCUUCCAAUUUCGAGGGGGCAAAACCAAACAGUCAUUUAAUUCAUUAUCAAAUAAUUAAUUACUAAUUUACUGUAACUAAUUCUAGAAGCUGUUUGUGUUCAUCGAGAUAAAUCAAAAUCACAGAAGUAAAUCAAUCCGCGUCACCUUCCCGCAUCUUCGGGGCUAAACUCAACAUCUUCACACCCCAAACUCCGAGCAUAAGCCACCAUGCUCCUCGCCUUCUCCACCACUUGCUCCGGCGUCAUCUUCAGCUUGAACUUCAUAUGAAUCUCACUCGUCGCAAUGAAGGUGUGAAUCCGCGGCUUCUUCGCGUGCUUCACCGCAUCCCAGGACCGCUCAAUAUCCCUCUUAUUACAUCUCGCCAGGCCGCAGAUCACCGGAACAUGAUCGGAAUCCACCGCAUUUCCGAACUCGCGCGCGAUCAAUUCGACGGCUUCGAAGUCGGCUUCGGAGGACGCCGGAAAUCCGGCCUCGAUGAUGUCGACGCCGAGGCGCGCGAGCUGCCGCGCGAUGUCGAGCUUCUCCUUGGUGGUCAUGGUGGCGCCGGGGGACUGCUCGCCGUCGCGGAGGGUGGUGUCGAAGAUGCGCACGUACUUGGGGUCCGGUAUGUGGUUGGGGAUGUAAUCCGGGCGGAGGAGGGAGCAGCGGACGGCGGCGGCGGAGGAUGGACGGCCAUUUCUGAUGAGGUAGAGCGGGCGGAUGGGAUUUUUGUGGGGCGGAAGGUGGUGGGAGGUGGCGGGAUGGCUGCGUGCUUGCAAAUCGAAGACGCCAUUGUUGAAUUGAAUUUGGGAGGUGAAGUGAAGGAUAGGAUUUAUUUAGAGAGGUUAAUGUCAGUUAAAAAACCCUAAUAUUUUUAACAAGGUUUAAGAAAUUUGGGUCCCUGUGGGGUCCGCACUUGUCCUAUGUCGCCUAUCGAAUCUCAUAAUUGACUAUUCUAAUCAUAGUAUUAGAUUAGACAAAUUGUUACUACUUGUCAAUUCUCCAAUGUAUUCUUUAAUUAUUAAUUCUUCUAUUACGAUAAGCUAAUAAAAUUUAAUGUAAGUGACAAAGCUAAAAUAUACAGAAACUCUUUUUUAUAAGAGGUUUUGCAUUCAAUCCAGCUCCUAAUAAUUAGAGUGUUUGAUAAAAAAACAACUUAAUAUUCAUUUUAUUAAACUUACCUACAACAACUUUUCAUGUACAUUGAGUUAAUAAAAGACUUGUCCGAAUUGUAGAGAACAGUUUAUAUAUCAAAAUAUUGAUUUUAUUAUUAUAUAGAUAUAAAAUAGUCAUAAUUUUUUUAAAUAACAUGGUUGUAGAGAUUAAAAAAAAUUAAAAAUAACUAUUUCAUUCGUUCAACAUAAAUGUGGUGUGAAUGAGAUGACACAAAUUUAGGAAAAUAUUUGUGUAUGAAGACGNNNNNNNNNNNNNNNNNNNNNNNNNNNNNNNNNNNNNNNNNNNNNNNNNNNNNNNNNNNNNNNNNNNNNNNNNNNNNNNNNNNNNNNNNNNNNNNNNNNNNNNNNNNNNNNNNNNNNNNNNNNNNNNNNNNNNNNNNNNNNNNNNNNNNNNNNNNNNNNNNNNNNNNNNNNNNNNAAUUCACGUCAAUUAGCUUUAAUUUACCAUUAAAAACUUUUGCAAUUAUAAAUUAUAAUCUAAAUAUAAUUAAUUAGUGAUCUUCGUAGUUACAAAUUGUAGGGAAAAUAAGGUCAAUUCACGACUCAAAAAUAUCGUAUGCAAAAUCAGAUCAAUAGUUUUUUUUUUUGAGAACAAAAUCAGAUCAAUAGUUGAGAAGCUUUGUGAUGGUGAAUUAUAUAUAAAAUGUGAUCAAUCCAUGAUUAAUUUUUUUUUAUGGCCGUGAAUAAUUAUAAUAAUAAAGAUAAAAUUGUAGGAACCAACUAUUUCUCAUCCUUCACGAUAACUAAUUUUUUAUUUUUACGAUAACAAAAGGAAUAUUUUUAUUAGUUGACUUAAAAAUUAAAAAACCCACUACACACUCCUUAUUAACACGAUCACAUCCCUUCAAACCUUGUAGCUGCAAACAUAAUUCUUCACCAUCUAGCCAACUUUUUAUUCCACAAACAAGAAACCAAAUCCUCACACAACCCUCCAAUAUAUAAAAGAGCCUACAGCUUCCCAGAAACGACGACGAAGACAUUACUGAGAAGCUCAAACUCAUUGUUCUCACCUGCGAUGGCGAUGGGCUGCGACGGCGCCAUGGCAAACGCCUUCCGGCACGCAUCGGCGUCGCCGGAGACGGUGUCCGCGCGGACUUCACGUCGCGGAAGGCGCGCGCCCGCAGCUUCUCCCUGGCCGCGGCGAGGGCGCCGAGCGCGGCGCUGUAGUAGUUCGAGCAGAAGCUGUAGACCACCUUCAGAUUGGGAUCGCUGGUUUGGGGGAGGAGGGAUUGGAUUUUGGAGCUCGUUUUGGCGGCGCUCGCCGCCGUCGCGUCGAUCACGAACUGAUCGAGGUCUUGUAGGUUUGCGUUUGCGUGAGGCUGUAGGAGAUUGUAGCAGAAAUUAGGGUUUUUGGCUUGUUUGCAGAUGGAGUCGAGAGGGUAGGAUGAGAUUGGGACUGCGAAGAGGAGAAGUGUGUGGAGGAGGAGGGAGAUGGUGAGGGAAGAGGCCAUUGCUUUUUUUUGAAGAAAAAAAAGUGUUUAUUGGAAUUGUGGGUGAUUUGUUUUUGUUGUGGUUGAUGGUUGAUAUAUAUAUUGAGGUAGGUGUUGAGAUUAUUUAUGCAUGGAGAUUUGGGUUGUGAUUGUUUUGGCUUUUGGGUGGAUUGAGGUAAUUGGGUUACAUAAAUGAUAAAGCUCGUUGAGGGAAAAUAAAGGAAAAGAGUAAUUAAUUUCAUAUGCUGUUAAAGUCAGUCGAGAAUCUCAGCUAUGAAGCCUAAAAUGAUACUCAAUUCAUCUAUAAAAAAUAAUCUCUUUUUAAUAUUUUGAGAAUUUCAAAAAUUAAAAACAAAAAUUUCUGCAUAUAUUAAUUAAGUUAUUUUAUUCACGCACAAUACAAUUAAUUAUCAUUAUUAACAUAAGAUUCUUUUUCCACCUACAAUAUAUUAACCAUUUUUAUUUAAAACNNNNNNNNNNNNNNNNNNNNNNNNNNNNNNNNNNNNNNNNNNNNNNNNNNNNNNNNNNNNNNNNNNNNNNNNNNNNNNNNNNNNNNNNNNNNNNNNNNNNNNNNNNNNNNNNNNNNNNNNNNNNNNNNNNNNNNNNNNNNNNNNNNNNNNNNNNNNNNNNNNNNNNNNNNNNNNNNNNNNNNNNNNNNNNNNNNNNNNNNNNNNNNNNNNNNNNNNNNNNNNNNNNNNNNNNNNNNNNNNNNNNNNNNNNNNNNNNNNNNNNNNNNNNNNNNNNNNNNNNNNNNUGAGUAAUAAUUGAGAGAUGCACAAAAUUCCUACUUUUCACUUUCGUGUAACGAAAUCUCAAUCUCAAUCUCAAUCUCAAAUUACAAGUAAAGAAAUAUUUCUAAUAUAAACAAAUAUACCUAAGGUAUUGGGCAGGGAAGUGCGAGAAUUUCAAAAAAUUUACCUUGAUUUUUUAUAUUUUAUUGAUUGGGCAGAUAACUUGAUCCAUUUGUGUAACCUAAUUAUGCAAUCUGGAAAAAAGAAAAAACAAAACAAAUAUUCAAGCGAAAAUUAAGAAACCAGCUCUUAAUUUUGCAAAUAGACUUUAUAAAGGCGAUACUACGAGUUCACAUAAAUUUCCUUUUUAUUUUAGGUUGCCUUCUUUUUUAUUAAAAAAGGGUGGAAAAGUAUUUGCACUAUUUUUCCAUAGAUAAUUUUUCAAAACAAUAUUUUUUUGUUUACUUUCACUCCAAUUCAUGAUAGUAUGAUAUGAUAAUAUUUCUUCAUAUUAAAGAUUAUUUUUUCAGCUUAAAAAACAUGAAAUAGAAAAUAUGAGACCACUAAAAUGUGAUAAUUUUUUUGUCAUUUUUUUUAUCACUUAUUUUCUUAUAAUAAAUUUACAAUAAAAAGAACUCAAUCUUAAUUUAUAUUUAGAUGAGUGUAUUUAAGUUCCAGCAGUUACCAUGUAAAUAUAAGGAUCAGAGCGGCCUCCAGCUCCAAAUCUCUUCACUGCUUGCAGCUUCAGCAACCUGUUCAUAACAUACAAGAUUUAUACUAGUAAUCAAAUUCACAGAAAGCAAAUUCAAAUCAAAUGAAGAUCUAAAUUCAACAAACUCUGUGAUGUGAUGUUAUAAAUCCAAAGAAGAAGUAAAGAAGUUCCAAGAUAGCUCAAGGAAGUCAUCAAAUUUAGUGUAUAUCUAUCUAGUUCUCACAUUUCCCCUAAUGUUCCAGAGUCAUAAAGAUCAUCUAAACCAUUGUUGCUCAAAUUUCCCAAUUAAGUUAUAGAAACUAACAAUGCCAAUGAUCAAAAACAUCAAAGUUUUUAUAAGAAGGGUUCGAUUGAUGAUACUCACAUUCGCAAGGCUUUGCUCGUGGACGGGCUGUCUCCGAGCAACUGACGAAUCAUCACUUCAGAGGCACUUCCAUCAGCAAGAAACCUCAUAAUGGCUGCAGCUUUGUGGCUCAUGUGACUGGGGAUCACUGGCUUCCUCCCCUUAUCAGCAGCACUAGUUUUACUACCAAGGCUUUGCCCACUGGAGUUGCUAGAAAGGCAUGAUGAAGCCUCAGUUGUUAUCUCAGAAAAAGUCUCAGACGACGCAGAAAAGGCAGGAGUUGCUACUGGCUUGCUGCUGGUUUUCGGUUUCUUGCCAUUGGAGAUGUAGAUGCUUUUUGAACGUUUCUUCUGCACUAUCUGCAAAAAAAGUAAAGAAGCAUUGCUUGUGAGACGAGAUCCAAAUUGAAUGUGCACUUUAGUUACCAAUGCAAAAGACUGUGAGCAGAGCUAAUGAUGUUUCAACAUAAUAUGUAAUCUGUGGGAGAGCAUAAGAAAACUUCUCCAAGUUAUAGCAAGAAAAUACACAGAUAACAGAUAACUUCUUGUGAUGAGGUUUGAAAUGUUCAUUGCAGAUUUAGAUACUUUUUGAGCAUUUCUGACGCACUAUCUGAGGAUCACUUAAGCCAUUUACAUGGAGGAGUGGUGAAAGAGUAAAGAAGCAUUGCUUGAGAGUUGAAAUCCAAAUUGAAAGGGCAUUUUAGCUACCAUUACAACAGACUGUGUGAGCAGAGAAAAUAAUGUUUCAACAUAAUAUGUAACUGCAGGAGAGCAUUAGACAGAGAACUUCACCAAUUAUUGCAAGAAAAAUCAGAAUUAAGAGAUAAAUUCUUGUGAAAGCCAGAAAUGUUCUAAAAACACAAUUCGUUUGAAUCUAAGCAACAGAAAAGGCCAGCUAAAGCUGAACAUACUUGAACUGUUACAAGCAAAGGAAACUCUUAACGCGGAAGGAAAUUUGUAAGGACUAAGAUCAGAACAUAGCACACAGUCAGAAUCUUCACUGAUUGAACAAAUAACGAUCUCAUUGUUAAAAGAAGGCUUAAAUAAUAUGCUCAAAAUAGCGUCCAUGAAUUCGAAAACACAGUAGUUUUUCGGGAUUUAUUCAUUUAUAAAUACAUCAUCCGUUUUACAUGCAUUUCAAUUGUACAAACCGCAGCUUCACAUGAGAUCCAUACCAAAACCGGAGAGGACAGAUAGUACUAAAAUAAGAGGAGAAUUAAAUAUCAAUUUACAAUCAAUCGGUAAUUUUCUGAUAGAUUUAUAAUCAAUUGGCAGUUCAAAUUUGGCAAGUAUCAUCAGAGAUCACGAACAAUCAGCUCAUCAACUUGACUUGAGCUUCAAGCUCAGAGGAAAGCAAAUCUGAUCUCAAUCAGCUACUAGCAACAAUACAGAAAAUCGAAAUUGUAGUAGUCUAAUCCAAAUGACGCAGCAAACAGAAAUUUCAAGCUCAAAAACACCACAAGCAGCUGAGAUCUCCACAAAACCGAAGCAAAAUGAGGAGCAGAAGAUCACCUUCAGCUUCAGAUCAUGCGAUCCGGACACAAACGCCGCCGCCAUCAGCUGCUGAGCGCUCGACGAUUCAUCAUCCACACUCGCCUCCACCUCGGCUGGCGAUCCGCCGCUUCUGAGGGCGGAAAUCGCCGUGCUCUCGAGGCUCUCUGGACUGUCGCCGUCGCCGCCGCUCAUUCCGCUGCGAAGAAAAGAAAAGAAAAAAACUCAAGUCAAAACCACAAUCAACGAUGGGAAUUUAACUAUCAAAAGCAACACCGAGGAAACAAAACGAUCAAUCCGAGCUGAACGGCGAUUGAAUCCCUUACACGGAAGGACAGGAGGAGAGACUGAGAAGCGCGGAUGCGACGCUGCGUUCGAUGUUUGAAGGAAAUGAAACUUCCACAGUUUUGGACACCAUUUUUUGGUUUUUGCUUUUUCGUAUUUUGAAAAUGGCGGGACCGUUUUGAAUUCUGAGCUUUUCUUUUUCCUUUUUGGUUAUUUUCAGUUUCUCUCAAAUAUUUAUACUACGUAUAAAAUUUUGCUGUGAGUACUUACUCUCACCACACAAAAGUAUAAAUGCAUACGCAUGACCACAUAUGGAAAAUUUUCAUUGGAAACUCAACUAUCAUUAAUUUUUUUAUUUUGCAUACAAACUUUAAUUAUUAAAUUAUUUUGAUUAGUCAAUUAUCAUUAUUCAAGUAACUUUUCACAAAUUAAUAGCUAAUAUUUCCCACAAAAUCUUGGGUGUACCGUACAACCGGGUUGACCCAUACCCAAAAUAGUGUUAUUUAUAUGAGUUGGGUCAGGAUAUGGGUUCAAAUCAGAGUGCGGGUCAAAGUUUAAGUGAAGGUGUGAUUCGGUUGUACGGUACACCCGGGUGUACCCAAGACCACCUCAAUAUUUCCUCACUCCGCCAAAAGUAUAUCACAAUAUUGUUUUUUCCCACGAAAUCUAAUUUAAAGACAUACUCCCUUCGUCCCAUGAAGCAUGACACACUUCUUUUCGGCACGAAAAUUAAGAAAUUGAUAUUUUAUGUGUUAAGUGUGGUAGGUGAAAAUGUGAAUAAAGGGUAAUUUUUUUGUCAUUUUUAGAAACAUGUCAUGCUUCGUGGAACAGACCAAAAAAGAAACUGUGUCAUGCUUCGUGGAACGGAGGGAGUAAAUUUUUAUUAUCUCUUUUGUCGUGGAUAAAUUUAUCCAUGAAAGUAAAACUUGUUACUAUGACACAACUCUUUCUUGUAAUUAUUAUGGAGCUAAAGCAAGAAAUGUUAAGCCCCAAAUUCCAAAAAAUAAGUAAAAAAGAGAACAAUUAAGCUCAAGAGCGUAAACUGUAUUGAAACAUAAAAACGUUUUUGAAACUUAAAAUCGCAUUUCCAUCAUCAAAGACAAUAUGAAGAAGUUCAUAGAACUUCCCAGUGAAAAUGAACUCAUUGUAUUGUAUGAACAUAAUUCUGAUCUCCCUAAGGUAUCAUCAUUUCUCUUCUACAACUACAACAAAAACCAUACAGAAAAAGCAAAAAGAAUAUAUCAAAAAACUCUAAAAAAUAAUACUAUAAAGAAAAACUACAAACUAAAAUCAAGUUCAUCCGAAAACUCAGUCAACUUCCAUAUCAUAAACUGCUUCAUUCAAGAUCUGCUGAAGUUCUUUCACUCGUUUUCGCGCUAAUAUUAUGCAAUCCUGCAGGCAACAACAUUUCUUAUUAACAUCUGUCCAUUUUGAACAAGCAUUGCUACAUGAAUAAAUAUAAAGCUUAAACAUGCUUUGAUAGAUUGGUCCAAACAACGACAACAUCAAACUGGGAAGUGGGAUCAUAUAUAUAUCGACUUAUUUCUCAUUGCAAACUGGAAACUGCUAUCCGAAAGAAAUGAUCUUACACAGUGUUAUUCAAUUUAACACAGCACACCAAUGCUUCUUCGCCCAAAAGAUAAUUAUUCUGAUAUAGAAAUGAUGAAAGCACAGGAAAAAAACGAGGCGAAAUUCACCUGGAUUGAUGAUGUGCUUGCUAGACCUGGUCCACCUGGUUUAUUGAGAGACACGAGCUGAUGAUUCGUAUCCAGCACGACUGUCAGGUACGUUUCCAUGAUGGACUCUUCCUCAGAGGUCGGAUCUGCUAGAAUGUAGUUCUUGUGAAGAAUGCAUGUUAAGGAGAAUGGCGACUGUUCAUCUUAAGCUUGAUCUUCUCCUCAUUUACAGGUUUCUUUUCCUUCUUUGAUCUGCCAUUCUCCUCAGACACAAGAACUAUUCUCCCAUCAUCAUUGAGAGAGACUAUUGGAAUUUGCACUGCAAGGUGGAGUUUCUUUAGAAUGUUGAUAAUCAAAGCAAAGAUGGUAGACUUUAUCCGUUUAUCGAGUGGAGUCCCCAGGUAAAACUUACAAUGUGAGAAGGCAGCCACUGCGGAAAGCAAUGCUGCAUCAAAAAGGGCACCAUCAGCAUCCAAACAGUAUAUGUCCUGCAAGAGUCAUUUCCUACGGUGUUAGGUGAUGAUAGUAGAAGCAUGAACCCAAAAUUCAGCUAGUACGGAGAAAUUAAAUGAUUGAAUGAAUAUACUUUACCAGAUAGGCCAUCCAAGCAGCCUUGCCGCUAACCAAACAUAACUCUUUCAGAUCGAUCAUGCCAGAACUGCACAAUUAUAGGCAAUGAGAAAAUUUGAUGGUAUGAUACAUAUGUCAACUUUUCUGUUAAAACAAAGGAGGAAUCGUGGAGAUGUUUAAGCAUAUGAUGCACCAAUGACAUGACCACGCAUACUCAUAUAGAUUAUUAUGACAUGUCAAAAUAUGAAUGUAAGAAAGAUAGGCACAUAUAUUUUAACAUAAGUGGUAUGAACCCGAAGAUCUAUAGAUUUCAAUUAACACUUAUAUGCAAAUAUUACUAAUGAACAUAACAUUCUAAAUGAUUUUUUUUCUAUCAAGACAGAAUCGAAUCAUUUUAAGUGCCCAUACAUAAUCUAUAUAAAUACAUAUAUUAUCACAACUACUACACUAUUACACUAUUUUGUGUGUGAAAUGUGUGUGUAUCUGUACAGUAAGAACAACGUGCAUGAAUUAAUGAUGCCAAAAUAGUGUCAUAUGAUCUCUUGCCUCAGUAUGGUGUCAGACAACUGCUUCGAUAUCACCGGAGCCAAAUCUGCAGGCCUGCCGGGGCGAAUUAGUGGAGAACAAAUUGGAGGCAUGUGGAAGUCAAUGGCUGCAAAGAACAAGUAUCAACUUACUAACAUUAUUAGAAGAAAAGAAUGUUUAAAAUGCGAUAAACUGAUAGUACAAUAAUAUGUUUACCUAUGCAUCCCUCAUCAGGUGCCUCUAUAGUUGGAGUCAUGACUUCCAAUUUAAUGGCAGCCAACAUAGUCUGAGGAUGAUGUAGAACUUUGAAUUAGUGCUCACAAAUAACUCAAAUAGUCUUGAGCCCAUAAGAAACGACACACUUACAGUGCAUCCUAUCUUUGCUAGAGCUGAUCCAUUAGCAGAUGCAACAGCUCCUAGAUUUACAAAUGUUGGAUAUUCAGCAAGGGUAUCAGCUAUCGGCAGUAUAAUAAAUGAGAGGUAACAAAACAGAGUGACAAACCAAGACUAAGCGUAGUCUCUCUAGCCCUUCCAAGGGGACGCCCGUCGGGCCUUAUAGAUUCAAGAAGAUGUCGCUCGUGAAAACGUAGAGGAAAAAGGCGUCGAAAAGCAUCCAGCUCCAUCUCUGAAGACAAAUCAUUGGUUCCACUCGCAGCAGCCAUGUUCUUUCUUGUUGUUUAUUCUGUUAAAACAAAAUUGUACCAACAGCAGCAGAUAAACUAAUCAAUAAAUGAUUCACUCCCUCAUUUCUGGAGACAUUUACGUAAGAACACAAACAAUUUUACCGCCAAAUUUUGAAUUGGGGAUUUCAUUUUGAGGCAGCAAUAUAGCAGAACCAGCAUAGGAGUUUGUAAGUAUUAGUAUAUUUAUUGUAGAAUCAGUAAUCAAAGGCCACAAACAAUUGCACUACCAAAUCAGUUUUGUUCAAAAACUACAAAAUUGUUCACUUCACUUACACAUAUCAGUUGAGCAAUGAAAGAAUAAUACAAAUAAUUAAAAACCAUAGAUGCAAUGCGAUACAAAAACCGUCUGAAUCAGUUAUAUUUCAAAAUACAAAAUCAUGAAACGAGCUUUCUCGUUUAGCGCCUCUUUAUUGUACGCCCGUAAUUAUCAGCAGUUAAAUUUUCAAAACUAAGCUUAUAAAUUCUUAUACAUCACUCGAAUCUGACUCUGUUUCAUUUUCCGGUUCCCUUGAAAAAUCCUAUUAACAAAAAUAUGUCACCUCAGUUCUGAUUAUAAGCGAUUUACACCGUCAGAAAGCUUUGAGGCGGAACGGCGGCGGCGGCGGGAAGAGUGAGGAGGAGCGGCGGCCGGAAGAGUGGUCGAGGCCGAGCUGCUCUGGACUGAGGUACUAGGUUUCGUGUGAGUGUGAUGAAUUAAAAAAAGAUGUAGGUUUUUUUUUUCCUAGUGAUGUUUGGGCCUAAUUUUUUCGGCUUUUGAAAUAUUUUUUUACUAGUAAUUGGGCCAUUUAUAUUUUUAUUAGGAUUAAUAGUGUUUUAUGUUCCGAACUUUCAGCGUUUUUCACAAAAUGUUCCGAAUUUUCAUUUUCUUCUAAACAAUCCUCAAUUUUCAAUUUUUUCCAUAAAAUGUCCCACUAUACAAAAUUCGGUGACAAAAAAAAUGAAUUAUCUCCCCGAAUGAAAUAUUUUGGGGACCACUAUUGUUGGAAAAUUAUACUGAGAACCACCAUUGUUGGAAGACGGUGAAAGUUCGGGAUUUUUUUUUUAUCAUCUUUAUGUCUUCAAAUUUUGUAUAGCGGGAUAUUUAUGAAAAAAAUUGAAAAUUUCGGAUUUUGAGAAAACGCUAAAAGUUCGGGACACUUUGUGAAAAAACGCGACAUAAAACACUAUUAACCCUUUUUAUUAUCCACAUUUACGUCCACUACAUUCUAUGUAAGGUUAUUUAUUGCAUUAUGCAUGUAUUCGUAGUGUUAUUAUAAUAUGAUGAUGAUGAUUAACUAGUAUUUUUUUUUUUUGCGGUAUUACGGUUACUCAUAUUAACCGGCUCAUAUAAUUGUGCGGGCUUGAGUUUGGAUACUAGAAUUCGAUUACAUUUGGAUACGAGUACCCACAUUUCGGGUUUGGGUUAAUCGUACCUGACCUAUUUAUCAUAUCAUAUAAAAACAAUAUAUAAAAACUAACAAUUUAAAUAAAUAGUUAUAACAACUAUUAUAUUUAUUAAUUUUUUUGAUAAAUAGAUGUUCUAUUUUGUUAAUCGUCAUAGCAUGGGAUGUAAGUAAAAAAAAAAUAUUAGUGUUGAAACUUGAAUGACAAUCUUAUAUCAAAUGAAACUAAUGCCACUUUACCAUUACUUUGGUUUUCUUGCACGGUAAGAUUUUUCUAACCGUUCCUCAUACCAAAAAAAAAUGCACCACAAACAGUAGUAAAUUGAAAUAAAUUUAUUCUCUAUGUCUCACUUUAAUAAUUCAUAUUAUUUUUUAUACAUAUUCAAAAAAUACAUUUAAUAAUUUUUGAAAAAUAUAAUUUAUAUAUAAUUUUUCUUUUUUACCCUUAUUUAUUGUUGUUAUUUUAAUAAAAAAUAUAAUUUAAAUUCAGAAAGUGGACUAUAUUUUAGAAUAUCUAAUAAAAAAGGAAAUUCUGAAAAUAAAAUAGAGGAAAUAUAAAUUAUAGUAAAAUAAGUUAAACUAAAAAAGUGUCAAAAAUAUUUAUAUGUAAUUUAACCCUGUGUUCAAAAUUUAGAUGUUUUGUUGUACAAUUAUUGGGCCUGUUACAUUUAUGGGCCUUCACUCAAUUAGCUCAACAAAAUCAACCCAAAUCUACGGCUCACACAACUACAUAUAAACCCUCAAUCUAGGGUUUCUGCGGCUCUCUCUCAGCAUUCUCGACUCUCUCUCACACACUCGUAGCGGUCGGCCGAAGCUUACUCUCACACAGCGACAAUGGUGAAAGGCCGCCAGGGGGAGCGCGUCAGGUUCUCUCUCAAUCCGAUUCAUUUUUGCCUAAUUCAGUGUGAAUCCAAUGCCGAUAUCUAGCUCAAUUUUGAUUUUUGUUCUUAAACAUUUCUUCUUGUUCGGAUCGUUUUAAUGCAGGCUCUACGUCCGCGGGACUAUAUUGGGGUACAAGAGGUAAAAAGAAGCUACAAUUUUGUGUUUGAUUGAUGGAUAAUAAUAUUAAAAAAACUCGAUUCAGUGUGUUUAUUGCGUGAAAUUAUAGGUCUAAGUCGAAUCAGUACCCAAACACGUCGUUGAUUCAGAUCGAGGGCGUCAACACUCAAGAGGAGGUGGCGUGGUACCGCGGGAAGCGCAUGGCGUACAUUUACAAGGCCAAGGUGAAGAAGAACGGGUCUCACUACCGUUGCAUUUGGGGAAAGGUCACGCGGCCGCAUGGUAACAGCGGUGUUGUCCGCGCCAAGUUCAAGUCCAACCUUCCCCCGAAAUCAAUGGUGCGUUUCUCUUUCAAUGAAUUUUUGUUGUUGUUUGCAGUGGAUGCUUGAUGUGUGAUGUGUGGUAAUUUUGUUUGUGUGACAGGGAGCUAGAGUGAGGGUGAUGAUGUAUCCUAGCAACAUCUAAGGUACGGUUCUCAUAUGUUUGGCGCUGUUUUCAGCUCGUAUUGUUAUCUGAUGUGUGAGUGGAAAAUUGUGUUUUUGAUGUGGCGGUUGCUAUGUUACCUGCUGAUAUAGUUUGAUGAAAUAACAUGAUAUGCAUUUCUUAGACAUAAUUUGAAUAGUGUUUCAUUGAACUGGAAGAGAAGUUCUUGAGCAUCAUCUUUCCUACUAAGACAAUUUUGUGCAUAUUUUCAAUUUCUGCAGCUCUAUAGAUUAAGUGUUUUAAGUUUAUUUUGCAUGUACUUAUUCCAUCUAAAUGGUAAUAGCACCUGAGUGGUUCACUUGAAGAUUUUGUUCUGUUGUAGAGAAAUUUAUUAGACAUCUAUAACUUGAAAACAGUUUGGGUCUUGUAACUUCACUAUUGUUACCUUCACCAGUCAUCCCUUACCCUCUACAAAUUUUGAUUAGGUCUGAUAUUGGCUUGAAAUAAUGUUAAAUCUAAUGAUUACUUACAAAAAUAUAGAAAUUAGAGUUUGGUAUAAAGUUCUUGCCACCUCCUUUGUAGUUCAAGAUAUAAAUGUGAAGACACUCUAAUUUCAAGAUUCGAUCCUCCUCUAAGCUAGGUUUUAGAUGAUUCAACCCACUAUUCAAUACACGGAGACAGCUUUUCCUUUCUAUGGAGUGAGUAAUUGUUCUCAGUUAUCUUUGCUUUCUCACCUAUUUUUUAGGGCAUGGUUGUUAUCUUGUAUUAUGAACUGCACGAGAGCUUUUUUUGUAUUAUUUUUAUUGAUAUUUGCCUAAAUUUGUUUGAUUAUUUUGCGCAGGCGGGAUCGUUUGCGUUCUUGGAUACCUCAAAGUGAAGCCCAGUUUGUCUCGGAUUUCUAGGUGGCAUUUUGAGGUAGGAAAGUUUUGUAUCAUCUUAGUCAAGUUUUCUUUCACCUUUUCGUGGUGCACUGAUUUUGAGAUUGCAAAUGCACAUCAUUAAAUAGAGUUUUACAAGUUUGCUGAAAGCUUCAGCUUUUCAUUGUUGUUUACAAUUUCAUUAUGCAGUAUUCAAUUUAACUUUUGAUGGUCUUAUGAAAGCUGUAAUUUCUAAUAAUCUUAUGUUUGAAAUAAUUUAUUUGGUGAUUUUCCUGGCAUGUUGAACUUGCAUAAGUAUGUCUCAAUUCCUAAUUUGCAGUGGAAGAAUUGCUAAUUAAAAUUGUUACCACACAUUUUUCUGUAACCACACAUUUUUCUGUAACCACCACUGUCGUAAUUUGUUACUUAUGAAUUGCAAUAGAGGUACCAUAUUUAUUGGAGACGUAUACCUUUUUAAUAUGUUGGUGAUAUAUUAGUUGAUUCUAAUGUAUCUUAUUCACUCUAUCCAUAAAAAAUACUAUAGUUUAUUUUUGUCAUUUUGGAGCAUUCAUAAAAUUAGCCCAUUUAUAUUUUUGAAAACAUUCAAUCACAUUUUUGGAGACAUUUUUAGUGCAUGGAAGGAGUAUUAAAUUCUUACUAUUUAAGUGUGUUUUUCACACAAACGAACUUGAACGAGCUUUUUUUGAGCCGAGCUCCGAAUAGUUUGCGAGCGGCUUGGUUUGUUUACACCUUAAUUAUAACAUUUUUUCACCUUUUCACCACUCCCAAUAUUAAUUAUAACAUAUUUUUCUCUACUAUUAAUAUACUUUACCACUUUUACUUUACCACUUUUCUUAAAACACGUGCCGUCCCCAAAAAAGAACUUAUUUCAGGGACGGAGGGAGUAUUUACUUUUAUAUAAAGUAUCAUCUGAUUUUAUAAGAAAUAUUAUUUACGAAUAUCAUUUGUAUACAAUAAAAAAUAUUAUUUUAUAUUAUUAAAAGUAUCAUUUGUUGUUAAUAAAAUAUUAUUUCUGUUGAUCGAAAAAAAUUGAACGAAAAAAAAUUAAAUGAAAAGAAUAAAGGGCGGGUGAAAUCGGGUGUAGAAGUGUUGUGGGCCGGGUUGAUCCGUCCGCCCAGGAAAGCACCUCAAUUAUGAAAUGUAAAGUUAGAGAACAGUAGGGUUUGAAAAUAUCAUUGACGAAGACGAUGAUGAUGCGGUACAAGUUGGGUAGCACACAGUACCACCAUUCAUCAACCAAAACAAUUCACAAGUCUGGUAGAAAAUAAGAAAGCAUACUUAAUAUUUUGGGAAUAGCUUAACAGAGGUGAUCUCCAGGGUGAGCACGAAGAUUACCAAAAUACCCUUUGGGGUUACUCUCAAACACGCUCCUCGGCAUCCUGCAGUUCCGGCCUGGGGCUUUCAUCAUCCUCACCCCCCUUCCGCCGCCGCAGCAGCAGCGGCAGCAACACCGGCAGAAGUAAAUCAGCACCGUCAGUAGCACGGCGGCGAUGAUCCACGGCAGAGCCAACUGGAACCAGCGGCUGACCGUGUCGCCCCUUGUUUCCGGCGGAAACACAUCAUCGAACCAAGCCAACGCCUCGCCGCCGAAAUUCUCCACCGCAAGCAGAGCUUCCUUCAGCUUCUCCACCACAAACUUCAUCGCCUCCUCCACCCCCAUCUCUCUCUCUCUCUCUCCUGUUUGUGAUUGUUGAGAGAGUGGUGUACUUAAGAGCAAAAUUUACUGCUUUAUUAAAACAGAUCUCGCGUAACUUUUUUUUUGUUUUUUUUUUAGGAAAUCUCGCUUAACUUUUUUAUUUUGGAACGAAAAUCUCGCUUAACUUUAAACAUACCUAAUUUCUUUAUUAAAUAAAAAAGGAAAUUCAAUAUCUCACUUUAAUUGACUCAAUGAAAAUUGUCUUUUACUAAAAAAAUUGUCUUCUACUAUAAUUAAAAAAAAUUAUUAGUAACUAAUUCUGACUCAUACAACUAUUUAUAAAAAUAUUCUCCCUCUGUUUUUUUUUUAAUUAAAUGUUCUAUUUUAAUAUUUUUUUUGUUUCAUAAUAAGUGUUCCAUUUCAAAAUUUGGGAGUAUAUUUUUGAUAUUUUUUUAUUUUAUUCUUAUUUAAUAUUUAUUAGUAUAAAUAAUUAAUUGUACAUAUGUAUUUAUUAUGAUAAAUAAUAAGGUUAUAAAUAUAUUUUUGUAAUUUUAUUGAUAUGUAUAAUUUGAUUGGUGGGGACAUUUAAUAAAAAAUAGAGACGCAAUAGCUCUUUGCGAACUUGAUUUGAUGUUGUUAAAUUGUGGUGUAUAUUCCAUGUUUGCAUGGGGCUAUUUGGCAAUUAUACCAAAGAUUAGGGAGUAGUUGGCUAAUAUCAAGGAUUUAGGUAUAACUAACUGGAUCCUUCCAUUUCUGCAGCUCGGCUUUUAUGCGCACUAGUACGCCCGCUCGUGCGAUGCACGACUAAUAUUAAAAGUGAGUGAUAUUUUAAAUAAAUAAAUAUACAUAUUAAAUGUAAGUAAAUAUAAUUGAUAUUGUGUAUAAAUAUAAAAAUCAUCAAAUAUCAAAAGCAAGUAAAUGAUAAUGAGUAUCAUUAUGUAUCAUAUAAUAUUCUAAGAUUUACUCCUAUAAAUUUAUACAAAUCUAAAUAUCACCUUUAAAAAUUUACUUUUAAGCUAAAGAGUUCUAAAAUGAACAAAUUAUAAGUUUAAUCUUUUUAGUCGCAUAAAUAUUAAAAAUGAUGUCUAAUAAAAAUACUAUAAAAAUAAAAUAAAAUUAAUAAAGAAAAGGGAAUGAAAUAGGGAAAAGAUAUAACCGUGAAAUUCAAAAAAAUGGAUUUAGGAGAGAGAAGAUGAUAGAUGAGAGAUGAGAGAGAAAAAGAAAUAAAUUUAUGACUUUAAAUGAUAAUAACUUAUUUAUUUUAAAUUUAUUUUUUGUAAUUUUUACAUCAAAUUAAAGAUCUUUUCAUUAUCUUUAGUUUAACAUCCAUAUUGAAUAUAUUUUUAUGAAUUAAAAUUGAUGAUUUUUAAAAAAGAAGACAAAUUAGAAAAAAAAGAUGAAGAAGAGAAAUUUGGUGGGAAAAAGUUUACGUUAAACUGGUGUUUUAUAUAUUAUAUAGAUUUAUUAUCACCAAAUAUGGCGAGACACGCAACAAAUAGAGAUAAAGAGAUAAAAACGAUACAAUUCUCAAAUACAAAUAGCCGUUCUUCCAAAUUAAAAUCUCAAAUAUUCUCACUCUUUCUUUUUUAUUUUUUUCUUUUUCUUAUAAAGAAAUCGUCUAUACACAACUAAAUUAUUACAUGACACCAAGCAAAUAAACUGAAAUAGACCAUUGAAAAUUAAACCGCAACACUAUACAAAGAAUUCAACUCAAAAUUCUUAGCUACAAAACUUAGCAGCAACAAAAUUUAGCUCCUCCUGAUCUAUCUCCACAAGCAAGUAUAUCUGUCAAGGACAUAUUUUUUAGUGAGACAAUGGAAUUCAAGUAACAUGGCACUGAAAAAAAAAUAUUUCAAUUGGAGGAAAAACUACAAUACUAUAGGAAAGUAAGAGCUCAUAAACAGAGCUAACGUUUCUUCGUAAGUAUUAUCCUUCACAUCUCUUGUUGCAAAAGUUCAAGAAAGUGAAGAUCGUUCCGAAACAGAUUGAAGUCCAAUUGACUGACACUAAGAUCUAAACUAACAUCUUACAUGAUUACACUAAGUGAUUUGAUGUUCCAAUGUCUGUAUAUGAAGUUGCGUGCGUGUGUUGGUUGGUAGUGUGGUUUAUCGCUUGAGGCUAAAGGUCUCGGGUUCGAGUCCACCAUCAUGCGGUCUAUAAAUUUACUUGUUUAUUCGUAAAAAAGAGUCUAUCUACAAGAAACUGAAAUAACAUCCCGAGAAAUCUCAUUUUACUAGAUUUCUAACCAUCUAUGUUCUUCAAGUUAUACAUCAACGUAAUCAUCUCUAAGAAGUAAGAACAAUAUGUGAGUCAUGUGACACUUUCCAUUUAUGACAAAAUUCCCAACAAAUUUGGAAUCUCAAUUAUUUGGUUCUCACAAACAAUUAUAUGUAAAAGAACGAGGAACGCAAGGAGAUACCUGUACAGUUUCGAGCUGACCUAGCUCCAGAUAAACGGGUUUCUAAACUGAGUAGCCAUUGCCUCUGAUAGAAACUUAACAAGGUUUUCCCUCUCAACUUCUUUUUCUCUCUUGAGCUCUAGAUGUCGGACCUAAGUCAUGAGCUAGAAAUAUUAGAGGUACAUUGCAAAAGACCAAUGCUAAGUGUAAGAAAGAAGCCAUGAUAGUCACAAAUAAGUUAGACUCCAACCUGAACUGAGCCUUUUUGGGAUACACCGGAGUCAGUGAUGACAACAAGACAUUUGAUAUCAUGCUCGCUUGCAUAUUCGUACUGUUCAGUAAGGCUUGGAUCACGCAACGGGACAAACUCUGCCUGUAAUACUUGCUUUCAGUAACUAUUAUUUGUGCAGCAGGAAUAUAAAAAAUUCUUGCACAAGAUCCGAUUACUGACCCUGAUAUUCUCCUCCCACAAUUCGGCCACCAGUUCCAUGCGCUCGAACAAUAAACCACCCCCUCCUCUCGAACAGACAAGAAUAUUAAUGCCUAUGUCAUUUCUGUUCACGUUAUAAAGAAAUUCCGACACAUUCAGUAGAUGCAUUAAAUAGGAACAUAGUCGGCAACAGCAGUGGAUCUAUAGAAGAAAAGAUUAUCACCUAUGAGAUUUAUUAUCAACAGAAGAAUGUAGCAAAAUAGUUUCUAGCGCAAUACUUGUUCCAACUGCACUGGGUGGACUUGAUUUCUGGCAAAAAGAUAGGAACAAUCAUGAGCACCUUUCUGCUAGGAACAAGUAAAUACAUCUAUAGUGUUCGAUGGAAACAAAGAAAGUGGGGAGAGAUGCUACAUAUAAAAUUUUAAUUAUUUGAGCAAGACCAUGUAGUCAAUCAAACAUUAAUGAACUGUCUUUUAGUAUAAAAAUAUGAUACUAACAUGAUUGAUGCGAUAUUCUAUAACAAAAUAUGUGAUUAUGGUGUGAUAUUCUCACCAUAAUCGAACCAAGGAUGCAAGCAUGGGAAUAUAAACUUCAGAAGACCUACAUAUUCAGAAUCAGCCAUCUGCUGAAGCAAGUAAUCAUAACGACCACCAACAGCAAGCAGGGUUCCCUCCGUUAGUGCUACAGGAUUGUUAUCCUUUUUGAGAUAUAUCUGCAUUAAGAAAUUGAGUAUCAAAGAACUGUUUUUAUCAUGUUUUAACAGAAAGUGCUGCUCAUCACCUCAAGCAAAUAACUUCAACAAGUUAAGAUACAAAUCCCAGUUCAGGAAGGCACAUCUUCUGUCUCUUUUUAUUUGACUAUCCAAAUGACCAAGGACAAAAUAACUUGCUUGUGAUUCAAGCUUUUACGGAGAGAAUCUAUGGUUCAAGCUUUUACGGAGAGAAUCUAAGGCAGGACAUCCAAUACUCAGAAAUGAAAGAAAUCUAGAUUUUUGGCAGACGAAAACUUUAAGAACUUAACAUUGAAUGACAAAGAACUAAGCAAGUACGUAUCUGAAAGGAAUAUAUUUGCAUAAGAACUUGUACUAGUACCUGGAAAUACAAGUUCCUGUGAUAAUAUUCGGUAGGUGGCAUAAGUGCAUCAACGAAGACAUGCCUUUCAAUCUUCCAAACUCUCAAGUAGUUGAAAAGUUCGGAAACCUCAUCAAGUGCCUUACGUAUGGACUUAUCUGCAAUCGUGAUCAACCACAACUUCUGCUAUUGGCUGCUUUCCAAAGAUAUAAAUAUUUAAAUAUGAAAGUUUCAGUUAAAGCAAUUAACUAGUGAAAAGAUACCUGCAGGCAGGGCACCUCGUAGUCUUGGAAGUGCCUGUUCAGCAGUUCCACAGAACCUCAAUCCCACAGUUUGUAAUCUAUUUAAAGCAUCAUCAGAAAGAUCAAGUUCCUGAAAUUAACAAAGAAAGAAAAUAUUCGAACCCUCAUGAUUCUUGAAGUUGAUAGAACAAGUGUGCAACAUUCAUAGAGAAAGAGCUUGCAGACCUGUCGAAGUUGGCGCCUGAUAAGCACCCAUUUUGACUUCCUUUCGGAAGACUGAGGACGCAAGGAACCCAAAAGUGAGAGAAGCUGCAACCAUACAAAACAAUUAAUAAAUACGUUGUCAACAUAGCUUAAUCAUCAAUAUCCAUCUAACCUCAGCUACUUUCUGUCUAUUUUGAGGUUUGAUUCCUGUCCAAGUCCAUAUUGCCUCCAUUAUGUCCCCAUGAUUUAGAUGAAUGUCACAUGAUUCUGAAUUGAAAAAUUGAGAAACAAUGUCCACAGAAGCCUGCAAUUGAACAACAACAAAAGAAAAACUUUGUAUCUUAUUGAUCACUGACAUGAUCAGGGUUAUUAUCAUUAUGUUGAUAUUCAUAUUAUGGACAUGUGUUAUAUGCCAAGUGUAGGACCUUUAUGAUCUCUGCCUCUGUCAAUGCAGUUGCUCCUCCAACAAUAUCAAAAUCCCCCUGUAAGAUUAGGAUUUAUAGCAAAUACGGCCAUCAUUUCCUUUACCAAGUGGCACCAUGGUAAAUUUUAUAUGCAAAAAAAAUAAAAAAAUGACCUGUAAGUACCGAUUCGGAGGUGAAUGGCCAAUUGCUCUGCGGUAUACAUAUGAUAUUUCGUACCGCCUGAAAAAUGAUUUCUGCAAAAGAUAGAAUAGUUAAUUUCUCCACGAAAGGAUCUCAAACAGAAUAUCACAAGUGCUGAAACAAAUGAUGAAAAUAAUAACAAUGACAAACAUAAAGAUAAAAUAAAAGGAAAACUACAGAGCACCAAUUGCAAAUGAUUGAAAUGAAAACAUGGGAUAUACAUCUAAACAUGCAUAUAGUGUUUUUUUGAAAGGUUCAACUGGAAUGUAGUAAUUAAAGCAAGACUGGGAGACCACUGGAAUAAUGAGAAAAAGGACCCAGAAUCAGGAACACCCUAAACAAAGUAAAGAUUAUAAUCCAAGUGUUCUGUAAAAGAUGAAUGUAAUGGAAUGGAAGAAAAUAAAGCAGAAAAUCCUGCUAUGAUAAUGCUUCAGUCAAUUUAUGAAAGUUGUGAGAACACACACACACA